GAUUUAAAAUAGUCCGAUAUAUGAGAUGUAAUAGGGUUAAGCUUCUUAAUACUAUGUAGCAUUUUGAGCGAUGGUUAGAUUCGAGAGAUUAAAAUGGUUAAGCAUGCUAAAAUUAGAAUAGUUCUAGUAUAGAGAAAGCGGGGCAUCAUACAUGCAGCAAUUUUUUUUACGACUAUUAUAUUUUUACAAUUAAAAAGGUUUCAAAAUCAAAUAAUCUCCAACUCUACAUCUUUAGUUUGCUUUAAAAUGGGUUCUUUUUUCCAAAUUGGCAAGUAAAGAAUGAUAUUUGUGUAAGCAAAGUUUUUACUUUCAGUCAACAGCACGCCAAAUUAUUUACAUAUGUGACAAUCCUUUUUAAGACAAUAAUAUUAUUUGUAUAAACCAUUAAAACUAGAAAAAUAAAUUUGGUUUGCAAUAAGUAAAUCUAUCAGUCGCUGCAUCUUAAAUUUCCUUGCUUUAAAAUAUGGCUAAAUUACAGAAAACCUCCCUGUAAUAACCCGCUUUUUCACUUUCCCCCCCUGACAUUUAAAAACCUACACUUUGCCCCCUUGUAAAAUGAAAAAUGUGCACUUCACCCCUUCCGUUAGGGUUCCGUUAGGGGUUCUGUUAAAAAAUAUUUUUUUAUACCGAAAAUACCCCUCUGCCUCUUCUCGGAUGCUUCGCUCCCUCCGGCUCGCCGCUUCGCCGCUUCGCCGCCUUGCCGCCUCGCCGCCUCGCCGUCCUCCACUGCUUCGCCCUCGCCCACGUCCCCUUCGUCCUCCUCCGCAGCCUCGUCUUCGCUCUCGUUGUCCCUGUCUACCUCUCCAUCAACACCCAUCGCCGAAAUCGAUGGGCGGCGACGGUGUAGGAGGAGAAGGGGAGCUGGUGGAGAAGAAAUUUGAGAGGAAUCGUGGCCGAUUGAGGUGGAAAACCGGCGGAUCGAAGGGGCGGCUGAGGAAGCUCAGGAAGAAGACAACAAUGGCGAGGGGCAAAAUGGUCAUUUUACACACCGUAACCCCCCUGUGAACAUUUUUCAUUUUACAAGGGGGCAAAGUGUAGGUUUUUAAAUGUCAGGGGGGGAAAGUGAAAAAGCGGGUUAUUACAGGGGGGUUUUCUGUAAUUUAGCCUUAAAAUAUACUCCUUCCCAACAUAGCAAGUAAAGAGUAGGACUUUAUUUCUCAUACUUGCUAAUUAAUACAUUACUUUCUAAUUGCUUUGUUCAGCAAGUUGAAAGCCAUUUGGAUCUCUCUGCGGCUCUUUAAUUUCUCCAUAACGCACAAAUACAAAUUUAAUCAUUCGGGUACGCACACAUUUAAUUUCUUACAUUAUUCUUAUUACUUAUCUUUUGAUUUUUAUUUCAUUAUUUUUCUGAUUUUAUUAUUGGUUAUUGUAAUUGAGAUUUAAGGCUUCUUUUUAUUCAAUAGGGAUUAAGCCCCUUAAAUAACAUGAUUACAUAACUGCAAAAAAAAAAAAAAGAACUUCUAAUAAUAUAAGAUAAUUAUUCAAAUAUUAAAUCAAGCUUUGAAGGAAAGAAAUAACAUUCUAAUAUGGUAUGUAAUUAAAACCCAAAUGAAAACCAUGGUAUAUGGUUUAUUAAACAAAUAUAUUGCUUUUCUAACACAGCUUAUUUUUUAAACUAUUUGACACUUUAGCAAUAGUUUUAAGAUCUAUAAAUUUUUAUGUACAAACUAUGUAACGCUCUAGAUUAGGUGUUUUUNNNNNNNNNNNNNNNNNNNNNNNNNNNNNNNNNNNNNNNNNNNNNNNNNNNNNNNNNNNNNNNNNNNNNNNNNNNNNNNNNNNNNNNNNNNNNNNNNNNNNNNNNNNNNNNNNNNNNNNNNNNNNNNNNNNNNNNNNNNNNNNNNNNNNNNNNNNNNNNNNNNNNNNNNNNNNNNNNNNNNNNNNNNNNNNNNNNNNNNNNNNNNNNNNNNNNNNNNNNNNNNNNNNNNNNNNNNNNNNNNNNNNNNNNNNNNNNNNNNNNNNNNNNNNNNNNNNNNNNNNNNNNNNNNNNNNNNNNNNNNNNNNNNNNNNNNNNNNNNNNNNNNNNNNNNNNNNNNNNNNNNNNNNNNNNNNNNNNNNNNNNNNNNNNNNNNNNNNNNNNNNNNNNNNNNNNNNNNNNNNNNNNNNNNNNNNNNNNNNNNNNNNNNNNNNNNNNNNNNNNNNNNNNNNNNNNNNNNNNNNNNNNNNNNNNNNNNNNNNNNNNNNNNNNNNNNNNNNNNNNNNNNNNNNNNNNNNNNNGUAGCAAUUAAGCUACCCACCAAAUAUCAAAUGACCAACCAACUAGUGGUGGUAAGCUUAAUUAACAUUUAAUUUAAGGGUUAAUUUCAUGAGUGUCCCUCUACCCAUAUCUAAUUACAAAGAAACCAUCCAAAAAUUGUCAAUAUCAAAAAUACUUUUUACAUUUAGAAAGAUUAUAUGGCUUAAAUGCUCAUUUUAACCCUCUUACCUUUUCAAUUGCUGUAAUAUAUAUUAUUUUCAAAAAAAGAAUGCAUUUUUUAUUAAUUAGUAUUCUUAUGUUUAUAUUUUUAUUACUUUUAUUUAGACUACUUUGGGUAUCCUAAAUAAGGAAGCUAUUCCAAGAGACAUAAAUUAAUACAAAAGUCACAAAUUAUAUGUUAAUUAACUAUUAUGAGGGGUAAAUACGUCUUUUUGGUAUUCUAACUUAAGCAAAUUUGACGAAAUUAAUGGACAUUUGCAAUAUAAUUUAUAGAUUUGUAGGAGUAAUAUUGAUAUAUAUUGACAACUUUGAAGAGGUAUCUUUGAUAUUUUUUAAAUUUUGAGGGGCAUGUUUGAAUUGCCCCUAAAAAAAAUGUUCAAAAAAUCAAACUUUCCAUUGAUCACCCCUAAAUCGAUAUGAAAAUUUUCCUUGUAAAGUUUAAUAUCAAUGUAAAUAAUUUUAAAGGUGUGUGAAAAAGUUUUAAAACAUUUUACAUAAAGUGAAAAAAUUUGUAUUUAAUUAGUAAUAGAGAAUCUGAAAGGCUACGAAGGUUUAAAUUUUUAUUUAAUUAUAUUUAUUAGUGGAAUAUUUUAAGUUUAGGUUUUCUUAGUUGAUAGAGUAAUUAAUAAAUCAAGAGUCUAAAACAUAUUUAGUACUGCACAAGUAUAGAUAAUUUAUUUAAUUUUUUGCUUUAUAGUACAAUGUAGAUGCAGAUAUAGAUGGGCAAAAUUGCGCUCGUAAACGCACGUUUAGAAUGAAAAAUUAUAGCAGAACAUAAACAAUUUAAUCAAAACGUAGUAAGCGAAAAGAAAUGAAAUUUUAUUUAAAUGAAAAGGGAAAAUUAUUUAAUUUUACUUACUAAAGAGUGAUUAAAACUAUUUAACUUGAUAAAAUCUCAUCAAGCAAUUUGAUAAAUUGAUCCUUUUUUUUUCCUUACAGUUACUUAGUUCUAAAAAAUCAAAAUUAGUUCCAGAAAAAGUGUAAAUCCAAAAAUAAAUAAAUUAAUUAAUUACUUAUAAGUUAUAACAAGGAAAACCUUUUCACCAUCGUAGUUAUAGUGCAUAGGAUUUGCAACACCUAAUCAAAUAUCUCCCUAUUACAUAAAAAUAAAAUAAAAUAAAAUUACUAUUUUAAUGUACAAUUACUUUUUCUUUUCUUUUUUUUCUAAUCGGGCUUUUUUUUUUUUCUAACUGUUUUAAUUUACAACCCAUUCAACUUAAUUUUUAAGAUUUAAAAUGCAUUUAAACAAAUUUUAAAAUAUAUAAAAUUAUAAGUUUAAAAUCAUCAAAAAUUAUAAGUUUAUUAAUUUUCAAACUUUAAAAAUAAAUAAUGUAAUAUUUAAAACUGUGUAAAUUUAAUACUCUUUAUUUUCAAAGCUUUUAAUUCGUAAUAAUUUAAUAUUUCACAAUCUCUUACAUACGUACCUUCAAGUAGCCACAACCCACAACGGGUGUGUGUGUGUCUAAAAUUAUGAAAAUAUCUCAAUUUGUAAUUAAUUAGAUAUACUGUUUUUGUUUGAAUAAUAAAUCAUAUAUAUAUAGAGGCCAGGUUAAUUUGUAGCUAGCGAGCAGGGAGAAUUAUUAAUUAAGAAAAGAAAAGAAAGCUACAAAUUAAUUGACUAGCUCGAUCGAUCGGUGAAUAUAUAUAUAUAUUAUUCUCUGCACAGAUGGAUGACGAUCGAUUAAAUUAAAACCCAGCUAUCAACAUGAGCAUCCGGCGGUUUCCCUACGAAAGGCAAAAGGAUUUUGUGCUUGAAACCUUGCUCAAUGGAUCCUAUCAGAAGAUCUACGUGGAGGCAUGGGAGGGAGUCGGGGCGACCGCUUUACUCCGAGAGGUGGCGGAAGCGGUCGAGAAGUCGGAGAAGCGCGAGUUUGAGACGGUGAUCAAGGUGGUGCGGCCCGCACCAUUUCGGAACGGCAGGGAGAUGCAGAGGGCGGUGGCGGAGCAGCUGAAUCUUCUACUACGAUCUCCUUCGGUGACGGCUGCUGCUUUCGACGCGGCGGACGAAAACGACGACUUCUCGGGUGUGGAAUUCAGCUCAAGAGGCCUGCUUUUGGAGGUCGCAAAGGAGAUCUACCGAGCUGUGGAGGGUCGUAUCGUGCUGCUCGUCUUUUGCAAUAGUAUUGCGGAUGACAAAUUAAUUGACCCUAUUGAUUUGGGUAUUCCUAUCAUAAAGGGGUUGAUCAGCAAUGCGGUGUUGUGGACCUCUGGGAUGACUAUUAGCAGGGAAGCCACGUCAGUGACUGCGGAUUAUAUCGUAAGGUUUCGGCCAUCAAACGAAACAACCGCACUUGAUCUUGUGUACAAGGAGGCCGUCGAGAUUGCCCGAUAUAUUGACGAGAGCAGCGGUGGGCGCUUGCGGACCACCACGGAAUUAGUCCUCCGCUGCUUUUGGUAUUGCCUGCUGUUGUUGCGUAGAGCAGCGUUUAACCGAUCGGCACUACUACCCGAUGGUGGUCGGCCCCUGGAAGAUGCUGCCAAGUAUUUUGUGUGCGACGGAAUUUUACCAGGAGAUGAUGCGGCGGCAUGGGAGAUUGGGAAAGCACUAGCUCCGGUGAUUGGACCCAUAGUAAAUGAUCAACAACUGCAAUAUUGGCAGGAAGAAUUAACCUCUUCCACUUGGACGCGGAGGGAGGAAAAGAAAGAGUUGUUGCCCCCGAAGACUUUAUUGGUCGACUCUACCACAUGGGGAGAUUGGGUAAAGUUCUCAUUGCCAUCAUCGGAGGAGGAGGAGGAGAGUUACCGUUGGAUCUCAGUAUGCUUUCCUCAAACUAGUAUUCCAAAGCCAUGGGAUUUCUUCUUCGAAGUAUGUCGCAGUUCAGUCACGUCCGACGUUUCAUCCGUCUUCUUCGAGCAUUUUGAGGAAACGCACGAAGCUCUACCGGACGGCUUCUUCGUCGACCAUUUCAGCAACGUUCGAGUGCUAGACCUUCUCGGCUGCGUAGUAAGUCCUAUAGGACAUUCCUCCUUCCUUCGUCUUCGCAACCUGAGAAUGCUUAGGCUGGAGCUGUGCAAAGUAACUUCUCUUGAUCCUAAUUCUCAUUCUUCAGCACCAGAGGGGCGACGAGAACCAUUACUUUUUGAUAACUUAUGGGUCCUGAAUUUAUACAACUCGGAUGCCGAUGCAUUUCUUUUAGGAGGCAAAGCCUUUGAGCUCACGCCUAACCUCCGGGAGCUCGGUCUCACUGAUUGCGAGGGUUUACAAUAUCUAAACUUCAAUCUCCCUACAACAAUCGAAACAAUCAGCCUACAAAGGUGCGCAUCGCUAAAAGAGGUGGAGCUAGUCGGCCCUGCAGCUGCUCCUUUGCCCAACCUCAAGACCUUCCGCCUCAGCGGCUCUAAGCUGAUCGCCAAGCUCUCCCUACAAGGAUGCCAUAAGUUGGAGAACGUAGACCUGCAGGAAUUGACGGGGCUCGAGGUGCUCGAUCUUUCAUGCACCGCAAUAAAAGUAGUGGAUAUCAGCAAACUCCCACAACUGAAGCAAUUAUUUCUUCUCAGAUGCAAGCAACUCCUUAGAGUAGCCGGUCUUUAUAAAAUAUCAGAAGAACUAGAUGUGAUGUACUUGGAUAACUACAACGGCGGCGGUGCUUGCGACGUCGAUCGGUGCCUUGAUUCUUUUCGAAAUCAAAGACUAAGUGAGUUAAACAAAGGGAUUAAUGAUGCUGAUCAAAGAUUAUUCCAUGCUCAUGUGGUCGUGAGGGAUGUUAGGCUCUCCCGGUCACUUUAUGAUGCUUUUUUUAAUUUAAGCAGAGCAAAAUCCUGCUUCCAUAUCCACGUCAAGGGUUCUUCAACUGCUAAGAGAGGCACUAAUAUUGGUACUACCACCAGAUUGAAUGCUACUAUAACGUCGGCAUCAUGUUAUGCAGAUGUUUUAAACACUAUGAUAGAUCGUCACCGUCGACAUCACCCGUCGCCACCUGCUAUGCACCUGAAUAAUCACAUAGAAGUUGACGGAGGUCACGAUUCCAGAAUAGUAAAGGAAUUUGCAUUUAGGGCCAUAAUGGGAUAUUUUGCUAAUUCUUUAUUCAUUCACGACAACACAUCUAAUUUUACCAUGGACAUUAAAUUCAGAGAUCUCAAAUGUUUCAGCAUUGAGAGGUGCCCUAAUUUGGAGUUUAUCUUCUCUUGGGAGGAUGAGUAUAAUUAUUUGCUGGAAUUAGAAAGCAUAUGGCUCAGCCAACUUCCGACGCUCAAAGCUUUAUAUAAACAAGGAAGGAUUGGGCAACUAAAGCAUAUUGACUUAGAGUUUUGUGCGAGACUAGAAUAUGUAUUUCCCCCGGUAUCGGAGCUGCAUGACUUGGAAACAAUCAACAUCCGUUAUUGCGGCGAUCUAACGGCAAUUUUCAAAUCUGAUGAUGAUGAUAAUAAAGAUAAAAGAGGAGCUGCUCCAAAGCUACUUCCGAAACUGAGGUCCAUCCAUCUACAGGAGCUUCCAAAGCUACAACACAUAUACAAGCUAAACAUUUGUGCUCCGUCGCUGGAAGAGAUCAAGAUUGUGGGGUGUUUCAAUCUGAAAAAACUUCCUCUUUUCGGCCGAUCGGACGCUCGUUCAAUGAGAGCUGUGAAGAUUAGCUGCGAGAAGGAUUGGUGGGAUAAGCUACAAUGGGAUGGAUUAGAAUCCAACCACCACUCCUCUCUCUUCAAGCCAAAACAUUGUCCUUACUAUAAGAAGCGUAUGAAAGCUAGAUAUUUAUGAAGCACAGCUCUGCUCCAAUGUUCAUAUGCAAGGUGAACCCCCUCUCUCUCUCUCUCUCUCUCUCUCUCUCUCUCUCUCUCUCUCUCUCUACAUAUUAAUUGUGUAUUUGUGUGCAUAUACACGCAUAUGUGUGCUUGAUCGUGUGCGUCUAUAUAUAUUGAUGUUUGCGAAGCUCUUCAUAUGCUUUUGAGAAAUAAGCUAGCCACAGUGCAGCAUGUUCUUUCUUUUCUAUUUACAGGCGUGAGCUUGUCUACGUGUGUAAAAAUAUUAUAUAUAUAUUUAAUUUCUUGAGACUUGAGUGUGUAAUAAAGAAAAUGUCUAAGCAUAUAUUUGACUUUUGCAGACAACAAGUGUAGUGUUCUUGACCUUUGAAUAGGAUUGGCUUCAGUAUUAGUGACUGGUCGACGUCUCUGGAGAGUGUCGGACUGAGUCGGAGUCAAUUCUGCACGAAUUGGAUGCAGAAUUGGACUCGGCGCACUCAAAUAGGCAAAACUGGAGUUUUGCCAGAUUCGGGCGCCCAGAACAUUGUUAGGGUCGCCCAGAACUGAGUGUUGAAUUUAACUGAAACUGGAAGCCAAUUCGGAUCCCAUGUUCCGGGCGCCCAGAUGUGGGUCCGAAAAUUCGACAUCGUGAAUAUCGCUUGCUUCGACGCGUGGCAGGCGGUAGGUGAGUUCCGCCGGAGCCAUGUACGGGCGCAGCACACCGCGGGCGGAGAGUCCGAGGAGCCUGUUUUGUGCAGGCCGGAUGUUCUGGUCGCCCAGAACAUAGUUCCGGGCGCCCAGAAAUGCCCGUUUCUGCAGGGACACUGGAUAGCAGCUUGAGUUCCUGAGGCUUUCUGGAUCAUUUUAACUCUCUAUAAAUAGAUGGAAUACGCCCCUUUGCUGCUCUUUUCCUCCCUUCUUCACAGAGAAGUCCCUUUUAGUAUCUCUACCCUCGGAUUUGCCUCAAAUUGCAUCAAACUUCCAUUGAUCCAGCUUGAGAGAGUGCUGAUUCUACAGUUCUUCAGCGGCGACCUCUAGUGUUUUGGCUCGUGCGCAACGUAGGAGGAUCGGAUUUCGACGAAACUUGGUUUGCUGGAUUCUAGACUUCCAGCACGAAGCCCUGAAUUGCAGAUUUUGGUUGAGGUUAGCUUGGUCGAAUUGAGGUUUUUCUGGACUGCUGUUGGUUUUGAGCUGAAAAUGGGAUUUUCGAGUUUUUCUUGAUGCUAUCUUUGUUGGCAAUGGGAUUUUGGACCUGAGUUUGAUCACCCUUCAGUAGUUGCUGGAUUUGGAUCUGUCCUCACCCGAAUUGGAGAUCAUUAGGUGAGUUUUGACAUUGGAAUUGGAUAAAUCCUAAGCUUAAAGUGCUGAAUUUGGGAAAUUGAUGGUUUUUAUUGGAUUUUUGGUGAAUUAGUGGUAAUCCAGAUCUGAGGGGCUUGUUGCUGGUUUGGAGGUGUUUCCAGCAGUGUUGCUUGUGAUCCAAGACAUCUUGCUGCCAGGAAUUGAUAGAGGUGGUGUAUCACUCGGUUUCGCUCCUAAGUGCAUGUUUAGUCGACGUGUAUAGUUCGAUUUUUGUAUAUCAUGCUUUAAUUCAUCGAUUAGCAUUUUGGACGUAAUAUGAUAUAAAUGCAUGCUGAAAUGAAUUGUUUUUAUUAUACAUGGUGGACUUGAAAUUUGACUUAGGAGAAAACCUGCGUUUUGACACCGUCAUAUGCUUAAACUAGCAGAUUUAGCUCUAGGAGUCGUGUUUCGAUUGUAUCGUUGCCGCGUAUCAGUGCGAUGGAUACCUGGGUAGUUUAGAAGGCAUUUACGCUCGUGCUGGGAUGCCGAGCUUAUUUUUCAGCAGAGUAUAGGCUGUUCGGGUCGUGGGUGCCUGUUCGGUGCGGUGGACCCAGAUUCUUGUUUUGAUCAGCGAUUAUGCCGAGGGCAACGUGGUUUGGUUUGUAGACCUGUUUUGACCCUGUUCACAUUGGACUUUGGCUAGUUGGAACCUGAUUGAGCUCGACAAAGAUCACCUCAUACUCGGUUGGUUAGCGCCGACGGAAGUGCAUCCGGAGUCAGGCUUUGGCUUUUCGCCGUUGUGCGUCGCUCAUGCCGGUUGGACUUGUCUCCGGACCAGUUGUGUGGAUAGAGCCUAUGUUGCACUGGGCGAGGGACUGUGUGUUCACAGUCCAGGAGGGAUAUGUCUACCAGUCCGCAUUGGAUUGCGCCGUACAGAUUGACUUUCCUGAAGUGGUUAGUGCUUAGAGCGCAUGAUAGUAUACGUGAUUUGGUAGCGGUUUAGUUUAUUUCCUGGCUUUUUGGUCUUUCUCUUCCCUUCUUAGACUUAGUGGGUGCGACCGAUGUUGUUUUGGGCGGUACCCACUGAGGACUACUUGUUUUUACAGUAGUUCUCACUCCUAGUUGUUACCCCUGUUUUGCAGAGCUACAGGUUUCGGCUGCUGCGCCUUCCGCAGAUCAGGAUCGAGGCAAGGGCGUCGCGAGUUAGAGCCCUACCCGACGUGCUGAGCUAGAGGUGCCCCUACUGCAGGUAGAUGUUUUGUUUCGAGUUUAUGUACAUAGUGGACUUAACUCGCCAGUGCGAGUAGCUUUGUAUUUUGGCUUUGGACUAUGUAUAUGAAACUCAGUUUGUUUAGCUUCUGUUUUCUCUAGCAGCUCUCUACUACUGUUCGUAGUAGUGUUUGAUUUACAGGUACAGCUAUCGUUUCGUAUACAGGGAAAAUUCCUUUGUAUACGGCGGAUUUGUCGGCGCGCCCGGGAAAAGUGUAAUCCGGGGCGUGUAAUCCGGGGCGUGACAACAAGGACGACAUUUAUUCAUUUUUCUUAUCUUAUUUUCUACUCUCUCUCUAUCACUGGUAGUUUUCUCUAAGUUAUGUGAACCAAUUCAAUUUACAUUAAUCUAUGUUACACAAGGGAUAAAUUACACAAAUUAUUAAUACAGUGAAGGUUGUCUAACAGUUUGCAUGCAUGAUUAAUUAUUUAGGUCUUACGUUAAUAGCCGAAUAGAUUUGAAUUGAAUUGGCAAAACCUGUGUAAAUUUGUGGAAUUUUUUUUUAUAGAUCCGCAUGCUUUGAUUCUAGAGAUCUCCAAAGAAAAAUAAAUAAAUAAAUAAAUAAAGUAGUAUUUCCAAAGUAACACGAAAGGACUUUCCGUUCUCUAUUACAUCCUAUGUAUUAGUACUUCACAUUCUCUAUUACGAAUCCGUCUAGAAUACUAUCGAUGGUAGAUUAAUAGUAUUUAUUAUUUAUUUUCUAGCCCUUAAAUCAAAUACUACUGUAACUACGGCUACUAACCAAAGUCAUCCAAAAAUUAAAAACUGGAUAGCAAAUACUUUUCCUUUAUUAUUGAUAGUAUUCUAACUUUACUCCUCUAUAACAUCCUGUAAAUUAGUAAGUUGUGAUUUUUCGUUCCUGUUAUUAAUGUAUCAUACAAGCCAUUUUAUUUGCUAAAUAAUUUUUUGAAGGUCUUUUUUAAAUCAUUGUUAUUAGCUUAUAUUUUCUGCAUUAUUUGUUGAGAAAUUUUGGCAUUUUAUAUCAGAAUUAGUCAGAAUUGAAGUCAAUUUAUGGCAUUUUUUGACUCCAGAAAAAAAAUUGAAAUUAAUGGAUGACUCUAUUUGUUGGUGCGUGAUAUGCAGAAAUUUUAUUCUGACUCUGAUUUAUGGGUGAACUGAGAAUUCCUCAUUCAAAUCUUCUCCAAUCUGACUUAGAAGGUUGGACUAAAAAUUAAACUCCGGCGAAAUUGAAACUGAUUCUUAAAUUCAAAAUGUGGCUAGGCCACCUUUCUUCAGACCAUGGCUGAGUACGGCACCCGGCCGCAAGCUUUAUUCAAAAUAACGUCGGCUUAUACAUUGAAUAAGGGAAAAAUAGCUUGUAGGGCAUGUUUGUUUCAUCGAAAGUAAAGUGAAGUGAAGUUGUUUAUUAUCAUUAAUAACUAACUACAUUUGUUAUUUGAUUCACCGUACAUUAUAUUUGCCUAUAACUCUAUUUUUUCAGGAUACUAUAAUUGACUUCGUCUCAGUGGCGGUGACGUCAAUAACCGGAGAAAAGAUAGAAAACAAUAAUGAAAAAUAAUGAAACACUAUAAUGAGAAAAAAUAGGGAAAUGACCAAACUUGAAAGUCAAUAAAUGAUCACUAGCAAAAUAUUUCUAAAUUAUGUAAAAAGAUGCUCAGCAGGGACUUUUUUGAAAGAAAAACUUAUAUUCAAGACUAACAUGAAAAGAAAAUAAAUUAGAAACUUUCUUGAAAUUGUCCUAAAAGUUAGAGCUCUCUUUAGAAAAUUCUAAAGUCACGAACUGCAUAACUAAUAACUAGUCAUUUCCACAAUCAAUGUCUAGUGCAAUUGGUUGAAGGGGUAAAUUAGUCCUGACAUUUUGUGGGAAAAAUAAAAAUUAAUAAUUUACUAGAUCUAGGAAGAUUCUAUUAAGGUGGGAUCUAUUGGCUUAUUCAAACAAUUUUUUUUAAAAAAAAACUAGUUAUUUGCAUUAAAAAGGAAAAAAAUUCCAACAUAACAGUACACUGCUGAGAAUGAUAAAUUGAACUUGAUAGCUAGAUAAACUUUUAACUAUCUCUUUAGUCUUCAAACAUACACCUGUAGAAUUAGGGAUAAUGCUAAGUCCUUUAUGACAUAGAAUUGGAGAUUAAGGGAAAUGUUAACCUACAACUUGUUCAUGAGUUGAUUAAUUAUCAUGGAUAUAUGAUGAUGAUGAUAUCAUGUGAACAUUUUGUUUAUUGCUUUUCUGAAGUGGUUGACCUUGUUGCCAGCAAGUAGUUAGAGGAUUACUCACAUGACCACUCACAAUGGUAAUGCAUGUUUAUUGGUAUGGAAGAUUAUUUCAAUUGGCUAAGUAGUGUAUCUUAAAAUUUUGGUAAAUUAUUCUUUUUCAAUUUGUUGAAUAUAAAAUGUUAACUCAUCAGCUAUGUAGUUAUGAUUUUUGAGACAAAGCAGAAGGUCGUGAGUUCCAAAAAUGCUCUGCAUUUGAUCUUCUUAGUAAUUGUUGAAUAACAAUCAAUAGUACGCAACUAGCUACAUUCUUAACCUUCCAAGUUAAAUAGAUUUCAGUAGAGAUAUCAUAUUCUUAAAAUUAUAUAGGUUUUGGGGUGGGCCAAAACUCACUAACAAUUGGCAUCAAAACAAGGGCUUAAAAUGUUGAAUUUAAACUGACAAAACAUCAUUCUCUAACAAUUUAAGCUUUCGGGAUAAUUUGAUCUUUUCACUAGUUUGAGAAUGUAGAGGCCACGUACAUCCAUUUACAUGCGCUCUGCACUAGUUUGAUAUUGCAGUGUCUAAAGAACACCCAUUUACAUGCUUAGAAGAUCCAAGGAAAAAAAAGAAACAAGUGGUUAAUUAAGUGACACCCUAAUAGUCCCACAUUGCAUGUAAAAGAAAUUGUGAUAGAGUAUAUAAGGAUUAAAAAGAAUUUAGUAUUAAUAAUUGGGCUUAAAUAUAUAAUUUUAGCCGGUGACUUAAACACAAUAAAUUAUUAGUACUAGUAAACUGAAUCGUUAGUGUUAAAACUUUCUUAGUAUUGCAACUUGUUCUAUACUUUACACCAAAUGAUGAAUUGCUACUAAUAUUAGUUUGACUUUUCCUCAAAGUUAGACUUUUCAGCCAUUUAUUAGAGAAUGCUAUUAUACCGUGCAACACAUGAUCGGCUCAGAAAACUACUACUUCUAAGUUUAUUUCACAGGAUAUCCUUUAUUCCAUGAAUUAAUAAUAUAAUAACUAAUAGGGUUAAUUGCAUAUAAUUUUCUAUAAACAUAUUGAAUAGCAAAUAUAUUCCUACAAAAUUUAACUUUUCAUUUUUAUCACUGCAAAAGUUCAGUGAUAAAUUCAUAGUUGCCCCUCUAGCUUGUUACCGUAUGCCCCAACUGUUAGAAUUAUACAGAAAUAUCUUCCCAAAGAAUUAUUUUAUGCAAUAACAUAAGAGAGGUAAACAAGUCAAUUUAACUCAUUUACUAACUUAGAGUUAAGUAUUUUAUUUAUGGUUUACUACAUUUUCUAGCGGAUCCUAACAAUAAGGAUAUAUUAGAAAACAUUUAGGACUUUUGUAAGAAUAUAUAUAGAUAAAAAGUUAAACUUUAUAGAUAUAUAUCUGUUAUUCAAUAUAUUUUCAGAAAGCUAGAUGCAAUUAACCCUAACUAAUUAAUGCUUGUUAGAACUUGCCUUCUGAAUGGUGGAGUAGCUCAUGUUUUAAUUGGAAGCUUAAUUUUAUCAUCUAUUUCACAAAUAAAGAAGCACACGACAAAAGAACCCAAAACAAUAAGCGCACAAAUAAUUAACGUGGUUUGUCCAAGGCCUACAUCUUUUUAUUUAUACAUUAGAAUAUAAAAGACUUUUUUUUUUUUUCUUAUAAAACUGUAAUUCUCAAAAUUUAUUCAAUGCUAGCUUUUUCUCGUACUGAGAAUCUACGGAAUUGGGAAUGAUUUUGGCUUAACUUUAAAUUUCUAUUUCUCAUUUGAUUAAAAUAUUUAAAUUUUUAAUUUGAGAUUUUGAAUUUGACUUUGAAUUUUGAAUUAAAGUUAAAACUACUUACUGUGCCCGGAUCCAACGUAGACCCCAAAUUUUCGACAACAUAUUGUGUCAAAAUUCAGACCCAGUUUAGAAUAAGAUGUCUGGGUCCGGUUUUUGAGCCAAAAUUUUAAAAAAUAUAGGUGAAAUUAAAAUUUGAAUUCAAGAUUCUUGUAUUCAAAAUGAAAAUAUCGAAAUCAUAGAGAUAGUUCAUAUAUCCUUGUAAAAUAAACAAUUUUAAGUUAAAAAAAAAUAAAUUGAUACAUUUUAAUUUUUACUAUUUAAACUAUUAUUGUUAAUUCAGAUCGUCGAACCGGUUUUGUCCAAAAUUUUUUUGCCCGGAUCCAACUUAAUUUUAAUUCGGAUAAAAUAAUCUGUCUCGACUUGAUUUUGCGGACAAAAUUUGUGGUCUAAGAUCCAAUAAGUUUUCGGGUCCGACUAAAUUAGUCAAGCGGGUCGGGUUGUAUUUUCCCAACCCUACAAGUUUGUAAUUUUAGAUGUUAACAUUGUUAAACACAAUUUUGCAUUUAAUACCCAAGAAGUUACUUUUUUAUAAAAUCAGUUAUUUUUUCAUAUUAAAAACUGUAUUAAUUUUUAUAGGAAAAACUUUAAAUACCACCCAUAUGGUUUCGCACUUUCUCACUUUAAUACCCUAUGGUUUGGUUUAAAGUGUAUCAUUUUCAUACCAUGUAAUUUUAUUUUUCUCUUUUUGUUAUCCACUCUACUAAUUUUUUUCGUUAAAUCAGUGACAAAGUUAAAACUAAAGGAUUCUAAAAUAAAUAUAAGCGGGGUAUCUUAAAUUUUUUGUAUAUGAUUUAACAAAAAUUCUGACGAAAAGAGAAAAACAAAACUAUAGAGUACUAAAUUGAUACACUUUACACCACAUGGUACUAAAGUGAGAAAGUGUGAAACGACAGGGUUGGUAUUUAAAAUUUACCCAUAGAUAAAUUAUAUGCUGGAUGGUCCAUGUACCAUCCUUAAUAUUUGCAAUUUUAUCCUUAUACUUUUCUAAUAAUAUUUCACAUGUAAUGUCCUUUAUUAUGGUUAAUUGAAGUUGAAGCUUUUCCCAACAAAAAAUAAAAGAAAAAAAGUAAGUUGCAAUAUACAGAUAAUACAGGGACUUAUCCAUGUAUUUUUAACCGAUCAAACAACGUGGGACGUGGAGGCACGUUCGAUCGGGGGAAUCAGUGGGCCCCACAUAACGUGGUCGGUCGGUUGAGCCGUUGANAUCCAACUUAAUUUUAAUUCGGAUAAAAUAAUCUGUCUCGACUUGAAUUUUCGGACAAAAUUUGUGGUCUAAGAUCCAAUAAGUUUUCGGGUCUGACUAAAUUAGUCAACCGGGUCGGGUUGUAUUUUCGCAACCCUACAAGUUUGUAAUUUUAGAUGUUAACAUCGUUAAACACAAUUUUGCAUUUUAAUAUCCAAGAAGUAACCUUUUUAUAAAAUCAGUUAUUUUUUCAUAUUAAAAAUUGCAUUAAUUUUUAUAGGAAAAACUUUAAAUGCCACCCAUAUGGUUUCGCACUUUCUCACUUUAAUACCCUGUGGUUUGGUUUAAAGUGUAUCAUUUUCGUACCAUGUAAUUUUAUUUUUCUCUUUUUGUUAUCCACUCCACUAAUUUUUUUCGUUAAAUCAGUGACAAAAUUAAAACUAAAGGAUUCUAAAAUAAAUAUAAGUGGGAUAUCUGAAAUUUUUUGUAUAUAAUUUAACAAAAACUAUGACGAAAAGAGAAAAACAAAACUAUAGAGCACUAAAUUGAUACAUUUUAAACCACAAGAUACUAAAGUGAGAAAGUGUGAAACUAUAGGGUUGGUAUUUAAAAUUUAUCCAUAGGUAAAUUAUAUGCUGGAUGGUCCAUGUACCAUCCUUAAUAUUUGCAAUUUUAUCCUUAUACUUUUCUAAUAAAAUUUCACAUGUAAUGUCCUUUAUUAUGGUUAAUUGAAGUUGAAGCUUUUCCCAACAAAAAAUAAAAGAAAAAAAGUAACCUGCAAUAUACAGAUAAUACAGGGACUUAUCCAUGUAUUUUUAACCGAUCAAACAACGUGGGACGUGGAGGCACGUUCGAUCGGGGGGAAUCAGUGGGCCCCACAUAACGUGGUCGGUCGGUUGAGCCGUUGAAACCCCUGCUUCCUAAAUUUAAUUCAAAAAAUUAAGGUGAAAAAUUAUGUAGAGCCCCCUCUACUAUAUCGAUUUUUGUAACAUGCUCCUAAACUUUGCUUGCUUUAUUUUUUUGGAAUUAAGUAUCGUUUAUCAAAAAAUUAUAAAUUUCAUCAAAUUUAUUGAUGAUUUCACUAAAGUUAACAAUUUUAAUCAUAACUAAGUAUAAAAACUCAAAUCAAAGAUACAAGGUGAGGGAUCUCAACCCAAAAAAUAAUAGUUGAAGAGUGCAUUUCACAAUAGAUAUAGUUGAGGGGUCUUCAUACAAUUUUACCCCCAAAAACAUUUAUCUCUCUCCUCACAAAACUCCUCCCCCACAUUGAAUCCCCUCUUCACCCUCUCUAGUUGUUGUUGUUGUUGUUGUUGUUGUUGUUGUAGUAGUUUUUGUUAUUGUUGUUGUUUUUGUUGUUGUUACCAUCUUAUUGCUUCUCCCUUUUCCUCCUCUUUCUCAUUCCGUAAUCAAGGCCACAUCUUUUUCCCCUCAUCUAAUUUGUUGGGCUCUUCUCUGUGCACACCAACUGUUUGAUUCUUUGUUUGUAUGGCAAAUUCCUUCACUUUCCCCUUCUUUUUUGACCUUUACGAUUAAAUUUCAUGUCUGAUUAUGGAUUCGGAGAAUUGGGUUUCGUUUAGUUGUUUGUAAGAUGAUACUAACUGGUUAAAAAUUGAAUUUUUCUUCUUGUUCUUCUUGUUCUGCUGCAGGAUUGUUGUUAAGGAAGCUCAUUUAGAGGGGUAUUCAGGGUUGAGAAGGUUGGCAAUAUGUGGUGCUGCGGUGGUGUAGAGAAGGAGUCGCAUGGGCCGCCCGUGAACCACUACGCGGCUCCGCCGGCGCGACCGGCGGCUCCAGGUUAGUUUUCCUCUAGUUGUUUUUAUCAAAUUGUUACUUACAAAGAUCGAUCUGAUAGGAACCAGUUUAGGCCCGUUCAUGUGCACAGCGGUGAUCAGGCGAAUCAUGUCAUGUGCGCACACAAUGGAGUUGCAAAAUUAAUCCCAAGACCUAGCGGAACUGAGGGAGCGUAGGAUUGGCUCUAAAACCAUGUUACUCAAAUGAUCAAUUUAGUGGAAAAUAGUCCGAUAUUUCUUCUGUUAUCAAUCUAACAUGUUUCAUAAUUUGAUCACCUUUUCUCUGUAGUAAGUGGUAAUGCAUUUGUCUUUCUCACAAACUAGUGCAGUUUUAGAUUGGAAAAACAGAGAAAGAAUCGCCUAUUUUGUUUGAAAAGUCAACCGCGACAUCAAGAUCUUGAAAACAUUAAAUAUUCUUGUAAUUACAUGUUGAUGCAUAAAUAAUGAUAGGUAGGUCAUUUUGACACUUUGGUUUUCUUUCCUUUUUUAUCUGAGUUAGUUGACUUUGUAAAGGUCUCGAAAACAUUAUUUUUUAGUGCCAAAGACAUUACUUUUUAGUGCUAAAGAGACAUUAUUGGCAUACUACAGAGGAUUGAUCAAAAAGAAAAGGUGGUUUUUUUAUAAAUUUGUUCUCUUAUUAUAGUUUGGUUAUUAAAUAUACUAGAUGUUCGUGAUUGUUCGAGCCUCAAUGGAUAAGUUGUUUCUGAAGCCAAAGAUGGACAGCUGAAUCUUAAGAUUUAAAGACCAUAAAUGAAGAGUUAAACAAUGGGAACGAUGAUGCAUGACCACAAACAAUUUAACAACUUCCAUACCAUCAUAGGCCAAAAGUUUUGAGUUCUUUUCUGCUAAGAUGUGUUGAAAUUGGGUUAUUAAGCAGUUUAAUGCUGUGAUCUCAUAUUAGAAAUAUUUUAAGGCCAGUAACACUUGAAUAUUUCUAAGGUUUAGUUCCAAUUCUUAUUCACGUAUCUCUCUAUGUAUAUAUCUGAUUCAAAUCUGAUUAUUAACAUAUAAAAGAUAUUAAUGCCAUGCUUCUUCCCUUACCUUAAAGGCUGACCUGUUGGCUGAGAAGCACUAGAAUGAUCCCUAACAUUAAUGGUAAAUUAGAAUGCUUCUUCCUUGGGCAAUAAAAUUUACAUUUUAUAUCUAUUAUGCUUGAAUUGGGCUAAUUCACAACUUAUGCCGAAUUUCUGACUGUAACCAUCCUUUUUCUUUAUUAUUAUGUAAUCUCUUCUGUAUUUUGCGUAAUCUCUUCAAUCUUCAGUACUAGAUUAGUCCUAUAUACGUAAUUAAGUCAUUACUCAUUAGUACCCAUACACUACACUAGAUGGGAAUGUGUUAUAGUAGUCAAUUUAAAUGUAAAACAAAUCUAAAUGUAAUGUUUUACAUUGUUCUGAUUUUUUUGUCUUCUUUCUGUGUAAUUUAGGUCCAAAUCGAGAGCAAAGAGCCCCAUAUCCACCCAAAAGUGCUGCACCUCAAAAGAUCUUGCCUAUUGAUGCUCCAGCCCUGUCUCUGGCCGAGCUGAGUCGGCUAACUGGUAAUUUUGGUGACAAUACAUUGAUAGGAGAAGGCUCUUAUGGCCGAGUCUUCUAUGCAACUUUAAGUUCAGGAGAAGCUGUUGCAGUGAAAAAGCUCGACCCAAAUGUCUCAAAUGAAUCCGACUCUGAUUUCUCUGCUCAGGUGAUUCUUUAAUACUGACAUAAUGGCAUAACAAAAAUGUUUGUAGACUCCCUCAACCGGCUUAACUCUUGGUUUUGAUCGAGUUAAUUCUUUUGCUGAAAUGGGGAUACUAUAUAUAGUUAAUGACUUUAAUAGUUGUUAUCUUUAUUCAACUAAUGCAAUAACUAAAACCAAAAUGAACAAAAGUUGCUGGGCGGCAACAAAUUGCGAGAUCCUUUUUAAAAUCGCCUAUUCGUCUCUUUACAUUUUAUUUUUUAUUUAACCUAGUGUGAACGAUACAGAAGUACUAUUAGAACUACUGAAUCUGGCAAUUGAUGGUAACUUUGAUCCCUUCUAUAUUCCCGUUGUUGAUGCAGCUAUCAAUGGUUUCGAGACUAAAGAACGAGAAUUUUGUUCAGCUGUUGGGUUACUGCUUGGAAGCAAGUAGUAGGAUAUUGGUCUACCAGUUUGCGGCAAAAGGAUCUUUGCAUGAUAUCUUGCAUGGUAUAGUCACUCUAAUUUCCUGCUUAACUUCAUUGAAAUAGCUUUGCAAUGAAGAAAAGAACAUAACAACUGAAUAGUUUCGAGAAAAAACAUAAAGCCAUCUCAAAUUUAGAAAUAUAAAUUGAUUUAUAAUAAGAUUACAUUCAAAUAUGGGUACCAUACAAUUAUAUCCAAAUUAUCCAUAUCUAUCCCGUAUCUACUUUGGAUUAAAUAAAUCUCCCUUUGCAAUUUUAUUCAAAUAUAUAUUUGUAUUUGUCUAAAAAGUAUUUUAUAGUUAAUUUUGUUUGGUUAAACCAUUUUCUAUCGUGCAUUUAAAUACGUGAGAUUAUUUAUUGUCUCGUGUAUCUCACUGGUUGUGGUCUCGUAUUUUGUACUUCUUUGUGGUAAAUCAUAGGGAAAAAGGGUGUAAAAGGUGCUGAACCAGGUCCAGUACUGAGCUGGAUCCAGAGAGUGAGGAUAGCAUACGGUGCGGCAAGAGGCCUUGAAUAUCUACAUGAGAAGGUCCAGCCAUCAGUUAUACACCGAGACAUCAGAUCGAGCAAUGUUCUUCUUUUUGAUGAUUUUGAAUCAAAGAUCGCCGACUUCAGUUUGAACAACCAGUCUCCGGACUCGGCUGCCCGACUCCACUCGACCCGAGUUCUGGGGACUUUCGGCUACCAUGCUCCAGAGUAAGUAAAUCAUGAUGGCAAUUUCACAUUAAAAAGAAAAAACAUUCCAAAUUUUUUAAUGAUCUGUAGAAAGAUUAAGUUACUUGAAUGAUUUGCUAGUCUUUUGAUUGUAUACUCGGUCUGGCUUGUGGAAUGGCUUUUCUACUCCAGAAAUGCAUGAGCUCCGUAAAAAAAGGCAUUAGCUAUGGUGAGAAGCUACAAAUGAGCUCUUGGUUCUCCGUUUUGAAGAUUUUGCUUUUGUCGGAGGUAGAAACUAUUGGGAUGAGUUCAAUAAGAAAGCUAAUAGUGCUUCUUCAAACAAUUCAUCUAAACAACACUUUUACAGAAGCACCAGCUGGCCGUAAAGAACCCUGAACAACUAACUUAAAAUAAAUAAAUAAAAAAUAAAUAAAUAAAUAAAUGCUAUCUAUUGUGAAUAGGAAUUCUAAUGAUUGAAUGUAUAUCAUCUCUUCGGUUCACUAUUAUUGCUUAAACUUACUUCAAAUGCGCUAUAGGUACGCGAUGACCGGGCAACUGACUCAGAAGAGUGAUGUAUAUAGCUUUGGUGUGGUUCUUUUAGAGCUUUUGACAGGGAGAAAGCCAGUAGACCACACCAUGCCGAAAGGGCAACAGAGUUUAGUUACUUGGGUGGGUUCAUCCUCCUCAGUCUCUCAUUAUCAUCAAAGAACAAUUACUCAUAUGUUCUAGCUAACAUUCCUUUAUAUCUAAAUUCUUCUAUGAUUAGGCAACUCCGAGGUUGAGCGAAGACAAAGUUAAGCAAUGCGUCGAUCCGAAGCUAAACAAUGAUUAUCCACCUAAAGCAGUUGCCAAGGUAUAUGACCUUAUCUCUCUCUAGAUUCCAAUUUACAUGUUUAGAUAUAAAUCCGGGCACAAUUAUUUAUUGAGAGAUACACCACUGCAAAACUGAAUUUUCAUACAUGCACUCGAUCAACUUAAUCCCUUUGUCCUUACCGAAAAUUUCUUUUUAAAUGUAAACCAACUUUCCUCAUGAAUCAGAUGAUUCUCGGCUUAAAAAACUAAGAACAAUAUGUAAUAAAAAAUAUAUAUAUACUUUUUUAUGGUAUGUAUGAAAUAUUCAAAUUUUGGAGGCAUGAAAGGUCCAUUCCUAUUGUAUUUAACUCUAUUGUUAAACUUUGAAAUGGCCCAAAGUAUAGCUUUGUCCUUUUAAAGUCUAGAUUUGCUAUAGAUAGAAAUUAGCACCAAAUUUUGGAGAACUUUUGUUUGGUUGAUAACUCGUCAUAAAAAAUUUAGUUGAAAUAAGUUCUGAUCAAUUGUGACGAUGAUUAAACCCUAAAACAUCAAAAUAUUUAUGGGAUUUGAAUUGCUCUUUUUGUUUGUGUUCAGUUGGCAGCAGUUGCAGCAUUAUGUAUCCAAUAUGAAGCCGAUUUCCGACCGAACAUGACGAUUGUCGUCAAGGCGCUCCAACCUCUUGUUAACACGAGAGCAGGACCCGACCAUUAAAUUGUAGAAUCACUUAUUUACUCUCCAAUUAUUGUUGUUUUUUUCACUUAAAUCCUUGUUUAGUUCCUUUUGUUGGUUGAGCUAGUUUUGCAAAAUUGGCGAUGCCGAUUUGUUGUAGCCUUUAAAUUUACUUACAAGGGACAUACCAGAAUAAGCUAGUAUUAUCCAAUACUUGAUCAAGGAACUUUGUGACUAUUACAAUAUUGUUUGUUAUAUGUAUUCUUUUUUUUUCUAAAUAUAUGAGAAUUUGUUCAUUAAUUAUCGGUAUCUUAGUGAUAUCCUCUUUGUUGGAAAUUGAGUACAUUUUACAUAAACCAACACAUGGGAGCUUAAUCACUGGUAAUUAUUGAGUCCAUCUUCUCUUACACACACCAUAUUUGCUUGUUCAUUGUUCAAUUUGUUUGAACAAAAUUACCAUUCAUGAAUAUCCUUUGGCUUUACACAUUUUUAGGAAACAAUUUAAUUUAUGCCUACAAGGAAUUUUUCAAGAUGUUUUUAUCAUUUGCUUGGAAUCACUUACUCAUUUGAUGUUUAAUAGGAAGCCAAAUUGAGUUUAUAGAUUACAAAAGUAGAUAUUCGUAACGCCCUUAUAAUCUCACCCACAUCAGAUGAAAAGGAGGUUAUGAUUUGAAAUAUAAGAGAUCACCACUCUAGUAAUAAUAACUGAGCUUCAGUAUUUUGAGCCAGUGAUUUAGAUUCAAUGAGUUAUUAUUGCUAGUAGGUUGGGUCGUUAUAUUUGAUAUUAAAGCUCCGAAAGUUUGAGAACUAAGUGUUUUGUUUUAGUUCUAUCGUCUAUCUCUAAAAUCUCACAUCGCCUAGUUCUUGUCUAUAAACGUGUGAUCGCGUCAGGUCUAAACGACGGGAGGUUCUAAUUUAAAAUAUAAAAUUAUUAUUGAUAGCUGGUCAAGUUGUUACAAUAUUUUAAUUUAAGAGUUUCAAUUUUAUGGAAACAAAAAAAAAAAAUUAGUUUUUUUAAGCAUCGCUGCUCAAACAACACUAUUAUAGAAGCUCGCACGUUGUUAUCAGUACAGAUUAAAUAUUAUUAGGAAUAUGAAACAAGUGAUGAAUUUUUUCCUUUUUGUUUUGUGUUUACGAAGGAGGCCCCUAACCUUCUAUUUAUUCCAAUUAGAUCCUUAAUCUUUUACCCAAGUUUCAUUUUAAGUUUAUGUUGCAAUUAGGUCCCUAACCUUUCCUAAUCAUUUCAAUGGGGUCCUUUCUGUCAUAAAAUCAUCAUCACAACAAUGUACCAUUAGAUAAAUUUUGAAUGCUAAUUUCUUACAAAUCAAACGGUAAAUUUUUCUCUAGUGUUCAUUUUAGAAUCUACUUAAUGUCCAUGUAAUAAAUAUUUAAAAUACACAUCUACUGGAUUAGAUCCUAAUUUAAUAUAUUGAUAAUCAUAUUUUAGGUGCGGUGUACAAAGCGUACCUAGUGGACAAUAAAAGAAAAGGAAGUACAAGAUUAGAAAUUAUUUUCUAGAUCUAGUCCUCCAGUUCUCUAGAUACUCAAUUGAAACUCCGUUAAAAGUUUAAGGACCUAUUUGCAAUAAGUAGACGGUUAGGGGCUCAACUGAGACUUGAAUAAGAUGUUGAUUAUCAAAAACCCCAAUCUACCGGGUUUUUAAAAUCCAUAUCCAAAUCCGUACCCGACCAAAAUCUGAAACCCGAAGUAAUUAUUUUUCUUUACCAUAUUUCAAAAUAUAUUUUAAAUUUUUAAAUAUAAAUUUAAAUAUAAAAUCAAAUAUUCAUACAUAUUAUGUAAUAUAAAAUCUAUUCGGGAAUUGGGGUCAAAUUCUAAUCAAAUACAGACAAAAUUCAUACCUGAACUUGAAUCUGUCAAAUCAUCAUUUUUUUAGACCCGUGUCUGAAACCAUAUUUAUUUAGAAUCAGGUAAACUCAUUCCGUUCAGAUUUGGAGUGGAUAAAUUUCGGAUAUUUGUACCCACUGACAUCCCUAGACGAAACAACCUAGUUGAAAUUAACCAAAACAGUGCUUCAAUUAAAGAUCAUGAUUUACGAUUAUUAUCUAAAUAACAAAAAGUAUGUUUUUUAACAUAACUUAAUCUAUUUAAAGACAAAAAUUAAUCACUAUUUUAAAAACUCGAAUUAAAAAAUAAAAAAUAGUUAAUUUAUUUAAAAUAUAAAGACACAGUAUAUAUAGACCUAAAUUGGGACUCAGGAUCUGUUUGGUUCAACAUAAAAACCAUGAAAAAUAAUUUUUUAUGGAAAAAAAUUUUACGUUUUGUACUAUCUAGUUUGUAAAAAAUAAUAAUAAUAAAUAAUUUUUCAUCAAUAUUUGUUUAGUUGGAAGAAAAAAAUUCACAUUUGUUCAGUUUGGUGAAAAAGAGUGAAUGGAAAAAAUUUUACAAAGUUUAAGUUUUCGUUUUUUUUUUAGAAAAACAAUAAAAAAAAUGAAAACUUCAAUUUUUCCCCCAAUAUAUAAAAAUAUUUUUUCGUAAAACUAUUUUUAUAUCAAACCAAACAAAUAAAAAAAAAUGUUUUAUAUCAAAAAUAUUUUUUUCAUUUAUGCAGAAUCAAACCAAUAUGCUGAGUACUGCACCAGCAUUAAUAACUAGAAAAGACAUAUAUCCCUGUCUUUUAUGAAAGGCACAUUUUCUAUGGUUAGGGUUGUCAAAUUUGAACUUAUUAUAAGAAAACAACAACCUCAAUUGACCUAUUGUCCUUUAACACUAUAAUAAUUAUAUAGGUAGGGUAAUGUUACACUUAUUCUCCAACUUGGGUGACACUUUAGUCCUCAAUUUUUAAUUUAUUAUAAUUUGUUUUAAAUUUUGUAGAUUAUUACAACCAAAUUUUACAGUAAAUUUAGUUGACUGAAGACUUAGAUGUUGUCGAUAUGGCACGGUCCAAAAUGCUUAAGCCCGAUGAUUAACGUUUAGACCCUAACAUUCUCAUCAGAUCCGAAUUCGAUCAUAGAUAUAUAAACCCGCAUAGCAUUUAGCACGAUUCUAUACGUGGCUCCCACCAAACUCAAGGUGUAGCACUUUAUCCCACAUAAUAUUUGGCUCUCACAUAUUUGACUGGUAAUCAGCUCUGAUUCUAACUGUAACAAUCGGACCAACUUUCAACUAUAAUGAUCCGACCUACUAACAGUAAUAGCUAGUUGUGUCCAAGCCACCAGUCCAAAAUAUGUAGGCCCAGUUAUUAUUACUGGAAUAUGUGAUCUUUUAUAUUUUCAGCAAGAAUUCAUUUCAUAUUUAAUGUGAGACUAUUGAAAUGUUACAAUAAUCUAUUAAACAUAAUGAAUCCACAAUAUUUCUUGCCACGUGGCAAGAAACCCUUUAUUCUUAGGUUAUUAGAUAAUAUCCAUCUCUUAUAUGAAUCCCCAAUAUAAAAUUUACGUUUCUUCUUCACUUCUAAAUGCUUAACCGUUUACCUCUCUAUAUUUAAUUACAUGCAUUAUAUUCCACCAAUUAGUGAGCUUUGUAACUCCAAUCCACUCCUCUCCACCAUUAAUCAGCACUUCUAAAUGCUAUGCUAAACCCUUCACCUCUCCACAUUUAAUUACAUGCAUCAUAUUCUAUCAAUUAGUAAGCUUUGUAACUCCAAUCCACUCCCCUCCACUAUUAAUCUCCACUUCUGAAUGCUCAAUCUUUCACCUCUCCACAUUUAAUUACAUGCAUUAUACUUCACCAAUUAGUGAGCUUUGUAACUCCAAUCCACUCCCCUCCACCAUUAAUCCCCUCACCCCCUCUUUCUUGCAUGACAUGUUAUUUUUCAUGCAAAAAUGAACAUUAUCAUCUAAUCUCUCACCCCACACUUAUCUCCUUCUCUCUAUCUCAUUAUGUUAACAAAGAUUAUGAGGAUGAUGAAGAAGAAGAGCAUGCGAAGAAUGUUGUCUCCUUCAAAAAAUAUCGUCCUGUAAAGUCCAGCCGCGCCCCAUAUAAGUGCUCGCUGGGCCAGUCUGCACUGGAGCCGUCGCUCGCCGUGAACCGCCGCCGCCUCGGCUGCCUCCUCGCACGGCUCCCGCGUGCCGGCAACUAGGCCGAGGGGAGCGCCGUCCUAGCCUCCUCUUCGCGGGGACGUUGCGCGGGAGCUUGCUUCUCAAGAAUUGCAGGAACUUUUUGGUAAAUCAAAUUGUUUAAGAAUUAGGGUUUCUGUGGUUGAUGUGAUGGCAAGACUGUGUCGGUUUAGAUAUCGCAGUUUGGUGAUGCAGAUGAGGUGUUUGUUCAUAGAUUACAAUGAAAAUCCAGAAAUGAUUCGGCGCAGGGAGCAACUACCAGCUGAAGAUUAAAAAGAUGUAUGAGAUUUGGAUGAGUAAGAGAAGUGCUCCAAAAAAAUAUUAGUUUUUUUAAGAUUGAUGUUUUUUGUUUUAUUUUCAUAUUAUGAUCAUUUUUUUGAGUAGACAUUGUUGUGGGCAAAAUUUUUUUCGUAGAUUAAAAAGUAUGAUGCGGAGAUUUGGAGCCUGAGACGCCAACCAAAAUUUUCUUAAGCCAGAUACGUUAAGUUAUUAUUUAUGUAUUUCAUAUGCUUCUAACUAUUAUUUUAUUUUUUUAACAACUGAAUUUAGUCAUGCAAAUUGACUGUGCUUAAACAUAAUAUAGCUUCCUAUAAGCUGUAAAUAUAAAUUUUAUUAAAUUAUUAAAAAUUUAUUUCUAUUAUCUAUCCGCUGCAUCGCGCGGGUCUCUACACUAGUAAUGGCUAAUAGCAUAUCAUACCGCUAUUUUUUCAGCGACAUAUUAUUAUUCAACCAACUAAAUCGACUUAUAUAAUUUGAUUAUAACAAUUUUAAAAAAAAAUUGAAUCAUAAAUUGUAAUAAACUAAAAUUUGAGAACCAACGUGCGGUGGAAGUUAAAAUUAUUACCAAGCAAUUCACUAGUACAAAGUAAUGGGCCCACAUUUACAUGUCCUAUAUAUAUUAUUAAGUUUUGGCCUAUAUAUCUCAAGUAGAUCAACACAAGACAGAUCUGUACUUGUUCUAGUAAUGAUGCAUGCUCCUGAAAAUUUUGUAUCUAUCUUCCUAAUAAUUGAUCUCAUAUAUAAUGUAGCAGGUAUCUCUACCAUUCAGUUUAAAAUUUUAUUUGAUUUGAUAUAGUUAUAAAUACAGUACAAUUAAAGAUAUUUCCAAUUCGAGAUAUUGUAACGAUGUUUCCAUCUCAUCCAUUUGACCGCUUGUUAUUUUGCGUAAUACAGCUAUAAAUACUUUUGUUUUUCACCAACUCAUCCGUCUCCAACUUCCUUCAAUUUGGGCGUAGUUUGAGAUACAAUUGGGUCUCCAAUUGCAGGUCCAACUAUAGCACGUACAUAUUAUUGGGUAUCCGGUACUCGCCCCGGUAUCGGAUCUUGAGAAUCCGCAAUCCGUUUCGAUACCGACUCCUGUGGAUCUGGUACCGAUUGUUGGGAUUUCACAACGGAAGCGUCAAAUCGAAUUUUUACCACAAACCGUCUUCUCAGCAAAAGCUGAUACAAUCACAAAAGAGAGAAAAAUCAAAACAGAGAAUAUAUGGGUAAAAUAAGAUUUAUUAAAUAAGAGAAGAAAUAAAAUUACACCUGACUCCUCUUCUGCAACUAAGUAGCUACAACCCGAGCCCUCUUUUUGAAUCUUUUCUAUCAUUCUCUCGUCUUUUAUAAACCUAGAAGACAACUCUCUUUCUCUCUCACAUGCACCCGUGCACUAGGUGCAUACAACCGGCCAACUCUCUCUCUAGUGCAACCCACCAAAUAGCUUCAACUUUUUAGUUGUUCUCCCCCUCACAACUUUUUGGCUUAAUAAGUUUAAGCCCUUAAUGCUACAUAUAUAGCGCCCACGAAAACGUACCCAACUCCUAAUAUAAUUAGGAUUCCGAUUCCAAUAAAUAUUUAAAUCUUAAUUGAUUUAUCUCUAAUAGAUUUAAAUAUUUAUUCCAAACUAGUUAGAUUCAUACUCUAAUUAAUAUUUAAAUCUUAAUUUAUCUCUAACAGAUUUAAAUACAAAUUCCAAUCCAACUAGAAUUAAUCUACAAAUCGAACCAAAUUCUAACACAUAUAACUACAGUUAACUGAACAAAAUAUUUAUGUUCAUAUGGAAUUACACUUGCAAUAUAAUUAGAAAUAUAUGUAAUCAAACAGUUCCUAAGUUUUUUAGACUACAUUUACUUCACGCUAUUGGCUACAGUGCACUAAAAUACUCUUUCCAAGUUUGACAUUUAUCGAUCAAUUUGGUUUAAAACGAUGUGUAAUAUUCACCUCUACAAACAAGGAUACAAUAAAAAUACUUCAAAAUUUUGUUUGUCAAACACACGACUAUAUAUCAUACGUAGAAAUCGAAAUAACACUUGUUCUUGGUGGAUCAUCAGAUUUUUACUUAUUAUGAGAACAAAUUCAACUUGGCUACCUCUCCUUUCACUAUUCUAAAUCCCUUCAAGAGUAGGCAAUCACCGAAUGAAAACUUUCAAUGAGUUUAUUGGGAUUGGCUUCGUAUUAAUGAUGAUUUUUUGAUGGAAUCAAAAAGACAUGCGCAUUUUGGUAAGAUCAAUCAUAAAACAAAUCUUAGAGACUUUUUGAUCCGAUAUAAUAUGGGCUUCAUUUGGGAUUAUUCGGAGAUUGCGUUACGUGUGGUGAGAAAGUAAGUUAGAAAAAUAUUCUGUUUAUUUCUGUACGUUCUGCGGUCCCACCAGAGAACGCAGAAGCAUAUCUCUAUAUGCUUUUUCCUUAAUUUCAUUUUAUCUAAUAACGUUAGAUAGGACUCAAUACCAAACUAAGCCAUAGUAUAGUUAAAGCUACAAAUAUUUUGCUUGAUUUACUAUAAUAGAAAAUGCUAAAACUUUAAAUAAUUUGUUUAAUUGUAUAUAGUUGGGAAAUACAUUUGUAUGUUUUAACACUUUAUAUAUGAAAUAGUGAGAUUACCAUUUACCAUUCAUUUUAAUGAAAAAAUAAUAUCUUUUCAACGACUAAGAUCUAGUUAAUAGUCUGACCAUUAAUUAAUUGAGAACAUAAAGUUCAGGGACCUAUUUCAAAAAGGCAUAUAGUCUAGGGGUUCUCCAUACAUUUUUUCCCCAAAAUAUUUAAAAAAAACACACAAAGAAAUUUAAGCUUGAAUCCAAAAUAGUAUUUUGGACUAGGCCAAAGUGGGUCCCAAUUUUGAAUGUUGCUAAGCAAUUAAAUAAUUUGAGUCCAAAAGGAGAAAAUCUCUCUUAUGCAUUUAACUGUUUCUGCUUUUUUCCAUUACAUUCCAUCUUAUAAUAUUUUGUUUUUGUCCUUGCAUUGAAGGGCUUAUAUAAAUGUUGUCCUCAUUUGAUAUUAAAAUGUUUGGGCACUUCUAUAAGUAUCCGCUUUACACUUUCGUAUUUUUCUACUUCUAAGAAACUUCUAUUUUAAUAUUGUAAUACGUAUUCUAAAGUGAGAGUGGUAUAUAUAUAUAUAUAUAUAUAUAUAUAUAUAUAUAUAUAUAUAUAUAUAUGCUUCUGGAAGUACGGAACUCUUCGUGCUUCUAAGUUAUUUUCAAUGUUAGGACUUUCAAAUCGACGAUCGUCUUCGUUAGACUUGAUCUAGAGUAUUUGAAAUAUUUAGAAAAUAAAUUUUGUAAUUUUUCGAUAUCAUUUGCCUAGUGAUCGAGGGGGCUUAAAAUCAAUCAUUUUAAUGGCCGUGAUGAGUCGUUUGCCGGUUUAAUAGUGUAGAAAUAUUCAAAUCACGUGAAAUUUUGAUAAACAAUUUUUUAUACUAAAUAAAACAAUAUCAAUAUAUUUGAUCUAAAAUUUUAAUAUCAUAUCACCAUAUUUUGUAAGAUUUUUAUUUUCAGCCAUUGAUUUUGAGCCCUUUCGAUCACUAGGCAAAUUAUAUCGAAAAAUCACGAAAUUUGUUUUCUAGAUAUUUCAAAUACUCUAGAUCAACUCUAAUGGAGUUGAUUAUCGAUUCGAAAGUCUCAAUAUCAAAAACAACUUAAAAAGCACGAAGAACUCCGUGCUUCCAGAAGCAUACCAGCCUCACUCCUUAUUCUAUGCAUAAAUUGUAUUGUACGGUAAAGUAAUUUACUGUAAUAAUCAUUACUCUUAGAACCGGUAAAAAUGCAUAAAAAAAAUUUUGUUUUCCUCAAAUUAGAAAACUAAAUGAAAGAUGUUUCCCACUAUUUACUAAUUAACUUUCUUUUUCCCUCAUUUUUAAGAAUAAAAUGAGAAUGUUAAUAGCUAUGUAGCUGUACAAUACAUACUAUAUAUGCAUAACGGUGCAAAAUUGCACUUUUUAAACUUUGAUGGGUUAAAAUAUAUGUUUUAGAAGAUAGGGGGUAAUACACAAAAGAUUAAUAUUUAUGAGGGUGUUUUCUGCAUUUUAGAGCUCGUAACAUGUACACUAACAAUCCAAACUCAAAAGCUAAAUUAAGUAGAGAAAUGCUUGUACAAUAUAUCCGGAUCAAAAUUCUUAUUGGAUUCUUUCGGCUAAUAUGAAUAUAAUAUUCCUUACUUCGCAUUCUGGCAUGAAUUAGGUGAUACAAAUUCAAUAUGCAUAGGCAGAAGAGACCAGGUUGAGCUGAGUUACGUUCAAAAUGGUAGGAGGUCAGUGUGGACUAAAUCAUAUUCAAAGUGGCGUGAGACUGAUUGGGUCACAAUUGAAACCCGUAAGCGCUAUAUUUAUACGCUUUAUAUAAAUUUAAUGCAUAUUUCUAAAAGCCCGAGUUUUUUAGAUUAAUAAUUAACGUCAACAAUCCAUCACUAUUUGCAUGUGACAAUAAAUUGCUAAUUUAUAUACUAUUAGUAUAGACACAUGAACAAAGUCAUGUAUUAGGUAUUAUUAGCAAAUUAAUUUUAUGAAAUCAAAUUAAUAUCCACUUGCGACGCACCACUAACACCAUAUUGAAUGCUUCUUUAUUUGAAUGCAUAAAAGGACAACAUACAAGUGCCAAAUAAUUGCAUUAAGAUAUCAAAUUUCAUCCACAAGAUUUGGGUUGAAUGGAAUUGGAUUUAGAAAUUUUCUCUUAUCCUCCAAAUCGAUAUGUUAGAGGGUGUUAGAUUAACCAUGUCAUAUACACAGAAAAAGUUAUUAAUAAAUAAUAAAAAAAAUUAUGUUAAAAUGAAAUAGACUUAGAAUUAGCUGCGAUACUAUGUUAUCCAAUAAAAAGGGGAUAAUCUUAACAAUCUCGUCAUAUCCAAUUUGACUCACCAAAGUAAACAGCCUAUAUUUGAGGGGGGUCUCCAUAAAUUUUUUUUAUUAUUUAUUAAUAACUUUUNAAAAUGAAAAGAAAAAAAAAAAAAAAAAUCUAAACUUGAGUCCAAAAUAGUGUUUUGGACAAGAGCAAAGUGGUCCCAAUUUUUUAUUGUUAUUUAGCAAUUAAGUAGUUGAGUUCAAAAGGAGAAAAUUUAUAUGAUGCAUUUGACUGUUUCUUCUUCAAUCUCUUUGCAGCUUAUAAUAAUUUUGUUUUUGUGCGAGUGUGUACUGUACUCACAUUAGAUUGGGACUUUUGAUUGUACCAUAGUUUAUGCACUAAAAAUCCAAUUUUAAUAUAUAGAACUUAUUAUAGGAAAAAGUGUCUAACAUCGUAAACCAAGGAAUAAAGUAGGCUUCGUCUGUGACACCUUGCUUUUUAUAGAGGUCAUUCAUUUUAGCGCGACUCUAAUCAUAAUAUAUUUAAUUCUCUUAAACUUUUAAAUCUACUUAUCAGCCAAAAUAUUAUAGCCGCACUAAGAGAUUUAAUCUUACUGUAUAUCUUAUAUAUAAGAUUAUUUCAAAUUCUGUGGGUAUCACAUUCCUACUCCCUUUAAGUUCUGACAUUUUCGGCAGACUUAAGCAAUCUCACAAGUAUCAGGUGAUAUGAGAGUCAUCUUGCUAGCCUAGUUAUUCAGUCCGUCUGUUAUUCCUAAAUUCUGACUUAGCCUGUCAUUCAGAUCAUGACUCAGCCAAACCCAUCUCACUCUAGCUGGCUGAUAAUUGACUCUGAUAUCAUUGGUAACACACCUUGCUUUACAGAGGAAUCACCUGUCCUAGCACUAUUUUAGCCCAAAUAUGUUUAACCCUCGUAAUUUUUUGGGACUAACUACUGUCCGAAGUACUACAACCGGGUUAAAAAUUUAGCCCAAUUAUAUAUCUUACAUAUAUGACUAUUUUAAAUCCUGCAAGUGCCACGGUCCUACUUGGAUUCUUUGUGAGAUAUUUAUGAAAAAAAUUAUAGAAGUUAUUAGCUAGUCUUGUUAAAAACUGAGUUAUGAAGUGUAAAAUUACUUAAAUUCUAUUUCGUCCAAAUAUAUAUUGGAGUCUACAGUUUCAUAUUGUUACGACAAACGCACAAACGGAAACGAAAAUGACGAACACGAAAUAAUCAAACCACAAAUAGAAAUAAAAGAGAGUACACAAAUUUACGUGAAAAAUUCUUUGCAGAAAAAAAUUACUGGCGAGGGAGGAGAAAGCUUCACUAUCGAAAAAAAGAAUACUAGGUUCGAGUACAACCCACACGAUAUGUUGCCUCUAGGGCAAAAACGAGAAAGAAAAAUUCUUAAUGGGUUUCGGAUCUGAUCCCUCCGCUACCCACCACAAACAUUCAUUUUUUUUCGAUAACUUAUUUUUCAAAUCGAUCGCACCGCAAAACUAUCGGCGAGUCGAAGUUCGAUCCGAACUGAAGUCGAUUAUCAAUUUCGAGUCACAUCUAAUACAUAUAUUAAGAGCAUAAGUAUUGUGACAUUAUGUUGCUCUCACAAGUUGAGUUUCACUGCUUUCACAACUCCUCCGGAUUAUUUUAUAUAGCUCCUAGUUAUUUUUUCAUUCAAAUUAGCACAUGGUAUAAAACCAAAUCGAGUUCCACACAUUAGAUACCACUAAGGGACCAUUUGGUUAAAUAUAAUUAUAAAUGCAGUGUAGUUAAAAAUGCAUGCAAUUAAAAAUAUAGCAGUUAUAACUAUAUGAAUCAUAUUUAGUCGGAUGUAGUAGAAAGUGCUGCAAGUAUAAAUAAUUUGUUUGGUUGCAUACAGUUGAAAAAUAAUUUUUAAAAUUUUAUUAUUUCAUAUAUAUAUAUAUAUGAUGGUGAGAUUACCUCCAAUGUAAAAAAGAAAAAAAAAAAAAUUUUGAGAGAUAGGUAGCACGCUACCAGCUUCGUUUAUUUUAUUUAGAAAUAAACUUAGCAAGAAAUAUGAAUCAACUAGGAUUCAAACUUGAGCCUCGGGUACCAACCACCGAGCCCUUUGCCACUUGCUCUGGCGACGGUUGGUAAAGGAAAAUAAUUUUUGUUUAAAAAAUAUUGAGGAGGUAAGCAUACCUCUUAUUUAAAAUUAUUCUCUCCAACUGCUGUAGUUGGAACUGCGGCCAAUUUAGGCAUAGUUCGAACUGCUAUAGUUGGGCAUCCUCCUGCAGUUCCUACUGCAGCAGUUGGAGUUAAAUAUAUCAAACCAAACACGAAAUUUAUAUUUAUAUGCAGUUACAAUUACAGUACAGUUACAACUACAUGCAACCAAACGGCCUCUAAAAGUCGUGGAUCCUGGCUCUGAUCAAGAAAGUUUUGUGCAAACCCGAAAGCGCCCUCCUAACAGAUAUAGAACUACUUGAUAUGGUAUAUUUUAUCCCUAUCUCAUCUAUUUUAAAUUUAAAUAGAAUCCUAAUCAGACUUUGAUGGGAAGUCGAUCUGGACUCUAUAUAAAGAGGUAUUGAUCCUGCCACCUUCUCAUAAGCAUUCUGGUGAAGAAUUACCAUCAGUUCCACACCAUACGACAGAGUGCCUGAGAUAGGGGAAGAAACCAAAUCACCCAAGUUCGAUUCGUGACUUUCAGAUCGUAGCCGGACUUCCAGCUUCCGCAAGAUUACUCAAGAAUCUCUUCUCUAUGGCGCUCUGUGAGUUAUCGUAUUUUUAUUUUUGAUCCUGGAUUUGGUAUGUAUUUAUUUUUAUUUAUUUUACAUAUCUUGAGAUUCCAUUAAUUGGAACCAACUAAAAAGCUUACAUUAAUAGAUGAAAAAUUCUUGCACAUUAAGCAUGUGAUUAAGAUGACUCUUCUUUUCCUCCUCCUUUGUUUAACCUCUUGUGGUCUCUUCUCGUUUCUUCUUCUUUCAUUCCUUCUCCUUUUUCUUGCUUGUUAGGAAACACUUAGAAUUAUAGAUAUCCUCAGAAGUGGAGUUUGAAAGAUCGAGAGGCCCGUUGCGAUCGCGUCGGUGCAGCUCAUAGUCAGGAGUAAGAUAGAUCGUAAGCAAGAUCUGGAUAAUUAUUUCUUUUUUAAUUAAGUUCUUUUUUAUAAUAAAGUUUUAAAAACUAUAUAAUUAAUGAACCCUCCAAUAAUAAAAUUAUAAAAUUAUAAAAAAAAAAAUGGGUGGUUUGUGGGGUCCCACGCUUGAUUUCUCCACUUUUUUAUCUUCCUUUGAUUGAAAGAAUCAUGAAAAAGUACAAAUGUCACUUGAUAUAUUUAUCAAUUAUCACUGUUACAGCUACAAGUUCGUGUGAUUUCGUACUUUCUCACCCUAUGUGAUUUCGUAUUUUUUUAUUGUAGUACCCCGUAAUUUAAAGUGUAUCAAAUUAAUAUUAUGUGGUUUCGUAUUUUCUUAUUUUAGCACUAUGUGGUUUAAAGUAUAUCAAGUUAGUGAUUUCGCACUUUCUCACUUUAGUACCCUAUAGUUUAAUAUUUCGUUAAAUUAUAUAUAAAAAACUUCAGAUACCCCAUCUAGAUUUAUCGAAUAUUCAUUUUAAUACCCUUUAGUUUUAACUUUGUCACUAAUUUAACAAAAAAAAAUACUCCAAAAUAGAUAAUAAAAAAAGAAAAAUGAAAUCACAGGGUAGUAACUUAAUACAAAAAUAAAACUACAGAAUACAAACUUGAUACACUUUAAACUAUAGGGUACUAAAGUGAGAAAGUGCGAAACCGCAAGGUAUUAACUUGAUACGCUUUAAACCACAGGAUACUAAAGUAAAAAAGUAUGAAAUCAUAGGGGGGUAUUUGAAGUUUUCCUUUAUUUAUUUAUUACAAAGGCAGCUAUAUGCCUCGCAUAUUCUUACCAAACACAAGCGUUUUCGUGUCGAACUCAUGUUCAAUGCAAACACGCUAUAAAUGCACAUUUAUAGUGUAUCUAAUUAAAAAUAUAUAUUUUUAUUUAUUUAUUUUUAUGUAUAUAUCAUGUAAUAUGACAAAUAUUUUAAUUUUUGGUUAAUGCAUGUAAAUUUUUAUUUUGACGAUAUAAGUAAAUUAUGUGUGGUGAAAUUUUUUUAAAAUAUAUGAACUAUCAAUAAAAUUUUUAUCAUCUCUUAUUCCUAUAGAAAAUAGCUUAAGCCGUAGGAGUCUGACAUGACUCGAACUCAAAACCUUCUGCUCUGAUAUUAUAUGAAACAAUCGUUGUACUCUAAAAACUUAAGCUAUUAGAGAACGAUGUUUAAAUAAUUUUACAUUCAACACUCCCCCUUGGGGGGGGGGGGGGCUCAAGACUUUUUUAGUCAGCCCAUGACGUGGGCUUGAAUUAAAUAGGAGAAAUUAAUAUGCUAGGAGCCUGGCGUGACUCGAACUCAUGACCUCCUGCUCUGAUACUAUAUGAAACAACCGUUGUACUCUAAAAGCUUGGGCUUGAAUUAAAUGGGAGAAAUUAAUAUUGAUGUCCACUCCAUUCGUGUUCUGAAUUUUUUUUGAAACCAUCCGGUUACCGUGUUCAAGUCAUGUUGUGUCUCCUGUUCCAUAUUCAUGUACACCCACAUUUUGUUUUUCCUCGAAAGGUGAGCCUUAUGUUUUGAUACUCAAUUUUAAUUAAGAAUAUAAUUUGUUAGAGACCUACACAAAUAUAUUAUUUGUUAGACAAAUAAAUAAAAUAUUUUUCUACCAUAUUUUUUUACCACACAUAACGCAUAUUCUCUAUGUCGAUUGAUAAUUAAUUUGACAAUUAGUUUUUUGUUUUACCAUUCACAAUUGGUAUCUCAAAGUUUCAUUUUUUUUUUCUUGUUUAUAAGAUUUGGUCAUCCAUAAUUUGAUAAAAUAGUAUGGUAUUUUAUACAUUUGAUCACAAUUCUCAUCUAUCAAAUACUAUAUAUUUUUUACGUAAAAUAAAAAAAAAAUAUGUCAAAUAAAAUAUUUAUAUAUCUAUUUCUUGGGAAAAAUGUACAAAGACCUAGUUGACCUUCAGCUAUUUUGCAAUUAGCCACCUAAACUUUCAAUUUUAGCAAUUCCAGUGCCUAAACUCUAUCAAAUAGUUUAGCAUACCCCUAUUUUCAAUUGAAAUUACUAAUUAUACAACUGUUUUGAUUAUAUAUUUUGGAGAUAAACUUGUAAAGCAUCAAAAUCUGAAGAAACUUAUUUUUCUUCCCUUCUAAUGUUGAUAAUUAAGCAUAAGAAUUAAUAAUUAAGCAUAAGAAUUAACGAAUAAGACGAACCAAUAGUUAAUAGAAAAAAAAUAAAAUUUUAAAUAUUUGUAAGAUUAUAUACAACACAUACAACCAAAAUGAUCGUAUAAUUAGUGAUCCUAAUUUAAAUAAGUGAUCUAUUGAACUAUUUUAUAAAGUUUAGCGGUCUAAUUGUCAAAAUUAAAAUAUCAAGGGGUCUCUGCAAAAGAGAAAAAGGUCAAGGGGUCUCUGUACAUUUUUCCUUUUUUUCAACAUUUUUAAUAUAAUAAAAUUACCGUACGAAGCCGCUGUAACGGGCGGGAAAUUUGCGCCGCACCAAACAUCCGCCCAUUUCGCGACCGAACCGGUCCCACCAAACCCGGCCCGGCCCGCUUCGAGACCGAACCGAGUCCCGAACCCGACCGGUGACCGGCCCAACUGGGCCGGUUCAUGAUAUUCUCACCCCAAAUUUCUUUUUCUUAUUCCUCCCACUUUUUAAUAGAUUUAAAAAUAUAUAUAUAUAACUUAUCUAAAUUAUACACUAUUUUAAAUCAGCUAUUCAAUAUUUCAAGAUUUCUAUUUUGCUAUCCAUCUUUCCAGUUGAUUAAUUUGAUUCUGUUAAUGACACUUUUAUUUUAAAAUUUAAAUGUAUCGUUUAUCUUUACAAAUUUAGCUAUUAUAUUAAUUUCAUGCAAUUCUCGCAUUAUAAAUUUUUUAAAAAUAAAUAAUUAAUUUAAAUUUUAAAGUCAAAAAUGCCAUUUACAGACUCAAAUCAAUAAAUUAAAAAGGUGGUCAGUAAAAUUAAAAGUUUAAAAGAUUGAAUAGCUGAUUUGAAAUGGUUCAUAUUUACGAGAAAUUAUGUACAUUUUCAUACUUUUAGUAAGGAAAGGAACAAUGUAAUGAAAACCCCUUAACUAUGCAACUUUAAAUUGCCCCAAAACUUUUGCACUGAGAUUCCUGAACUUUCCAUUCCUUUUUUGGUAUUAAAUGAUACUUUUUAAUAACUUCUUUAUUAAAUGUAUUGAUAAUUUUGUCCAUGUAAAUACUUUUAAUAUAUUUUUUAGCAAAAAAAGGUAAUUUUAACUUAAUUAAUUAAGUUAAAAUUAUGCACAUUAUUUACCAAUACUUUUAACAUAAUUAAGUAUUACAACUCAAAUAAAAAAAUAAAUAAAACAUAAGAAUGUGUCGAUCCAAAAAAAAAAAGGAUAAUUUCAUACACAUACGUACAAAGUUUUAAAAAUACGAGUUUAUUCCUGUAAAACUGUUCAAAUAUAUUCUUCUAAAACUCUAUAAAACUUUUACCAUUUGGACAAUUAUGCGCGUGUUAAAAAAUAAUUUUUACAAAAAAAAUUUUAGGAUUUAUAAUUUAAGGUUCAAGUAGAACAUGAUAUCUCUUUAGAGAUAUAUUUUGAAAACUAAUAUUUUGUAGGAUAUAUACUAAUAAUUUCAUUCCUUUGUAGGAAUACAAAUCCAAAAAAAUAAUAAUAAAGUCGAGGGGCUAAUUUCAAACGCAAUGCAGUUUGCGGGGUACCUAUGCAAUUUACGUACAAACUAGAAAAGAAGGUUAUCCACUUUUUUCUUAAAUCAUUAAUGAAUAAUAUUAUAAGAGAAUAUUCAAGGGUAGGUAUUAAAAAUAUUCUAGUUAUUUUUCAAAGAUCUAAAGUUUAGUUUACUUACAUACAUUUUUUAUCUUAUCCUUAAAAAAAGUAGAAAAUAAAAGCUGAGGGGCUUGUUUCAAAUAUGUCUAAGGUUAAGGGGGUCCGUACAAUUUUACCCAUAAAAGAGACAUAUUUUUUUCUAAAAAAAAAAGGAUUCUGUCACCAACAAGUGGCAAGAUUUUCAGGAAGGAGACAGGGACCUUAUUUAAUAAUAAUUAUUAAUUUUUUAAUCACAAUUUAAGGAAAGUUACUUAAAAAAAAAUAGUUAUAGUUGAAAUGAUCCAAGUGCAAUUAUUGCAUUUCAUUUAAUUAAUGUAUUAAUUACCAAAUUGGAGUACUCCACAAUUCAUUAUUAAUAAUAAUACACAAGAAGACAACCUACUAAGAUUUUUUUUUUUAAUAUCAAGGUAAAUUGUAUGAAGUCCCUCAACAAGAAGAUAUUUUGAAAUGGCCUCCUCAAAAUAUUUUUUUUGAAAUAUUUCACCAUUAGGAAAUAAGUAAUUUGUAAGAAUGAUCAAAAAGAGAUGUCUAUUAAACUAUUUAAUAAAGUUUAAAAAAUAUAAUUAUUAAAAUAUAAAGUUCAGGGGGAGGUUUGGACAUUUUACCCUUAACUUCUUAUUAUAACCUCAAUAAAUUUUAAUUAUUUUAAUUAUUGCAAAAAUAUAUCAUUAUAACAUAAUUUUAUUGGUUUUUAUAAAAAUAUUAUUAAUUACGUUUUUGUAAGAAAAUGCUACUUUUUAAGAUAUUUCAGAUUAAAUCUGAAUUUUUAGUAAAUUAACUAAAGUAUUCUUAUUCCACUUUCUCUCUCAUUUUCUCUCUCAUUCAUUUUUCUUCGCCCUCUUGUCUCUCUUCUUCUCGCUAUACCUUUCUCUCUUUCUUCUCUCGCUUUCUCUCCCUUCCUUAUACUCCUCCACCACCCCACGUAGAUGCCACACUACUCUCUUCUACUUCGCCCACACCUCCACCAACGCCGGCUGUAACAACGCAAGCUCGUAUAUGAAAUAGAUCGCAGAGGUGAGGCUACAGUGAGGGGAGCCGACGUGGAUGAUAAUGACAACGAGGGUGUCAUGGAUUUUGAGAACGAGGGAGAGGGAAAGCAUAUGAGUGCAGGGGCGGCUGCCAAGAUAGAGGGUGAGAAAAAGGGUGUGGUAGCGAAAAAUAAUGUAGAAGGUAGAAGAGAAAGACGAAAAAACAAGAAAAAAAAAAAGUAAAAAAAUAAAAAUAUAUAUUUUUCUUCUUCUAGGAAGGUCACCACGUGCCACUACCGCUAAAAAAAGGCCAACAAGCAGAGAAGAAAGAAGAAAAAGAAGUAAAAAUUACACUGUUUAAAAUAAAAUUGCACUGCUUGUGGCCAAGUUGUACUAUUUGAGACUUAAGUUGCAUUAUUUAAAACUAUUUGAGACUGAGUUGCAACUUUUCAAGCAGUGCAACUUAAGUCUUAAAUAGUGCAAUUUUUAAUUAUUUUUGUAGUGCAAUUUAAUCUCAAAUGGUUUUAAAUUGUGCAAUUUAUCCUCAGAAAUGCAACUUAAUCUCAAAUAAUAUAAUUUCGUCUAAGACAGUGGAACUUCUCCUUCUCCCUUUUCUUUACUUUUUGACCUUUUCUGUAGCGGCCACUGCACAUUAUGACCUCUGAGGAGAAAAAAAUGUGUUGUUUUUUCUUUUUCAUCUUCUUUUUUCUUCUCUUUUUCUCAUCCUUUGCAUUCUUUUUUGCUACAGUGCCCCCUCCCACGUCUUGUGCCGCAGCCGCAGUCCCUAUCCCCGCCCCAACACCCUCUUCCUCCCCAUCAUCCUCAAAUCCUACAGCAACCUCGUUGCCGUCGCCAUCGCCAUCACCAUCAAUGGCCGCAUUUUUCGCCACAACCUCACCCCCAUGAUCUGUAGCAAAUUCGAGCCCGCAUCUUAUCAUCAGCGUUGGCGGAGGUGCGGGUGAGAUAGAAGAGAGGAGCAGGCGUCUAUGUCGAGGCAAUGGAGGAGGAAGAGAAAAGAAAUGAUGCAAGAGAAGAAAAAGAGGCAAGAACAACGAGAAUGAGGGAGAGGGCAGAGAAAAAUGAACGAGGAAAAAAAAAGAAGAAUAAGUGUAUUUUGAUCAGUUUACAAAACAUUUAAACUUAAUAAGCAAAAUUUAAAAAGUAGUCUAUNAUAUAUAUAUAUAUAUAUAUAUAUAUAUAUAUAUAUAUAUAUAUAUACAUAUACAUAUAUAUGUAAAGUAGGACUACUAUACUCUUAUGAGUAUAGCCCCCUUUGUACUCAUAAGUUUUCAGCCGUUAGAUGAAUGAAUGUGCGGUUAGGAUGGCAGUGGUUCCCGGUUAAGAUGAUAGUAGUCCCCUAAGGUUGAGUGAAUUGUUGGUUAAAUAGUUUGAUCUAACAGGUGAAAAUGGUCAAAGGGGUAGAUCUAAUGGUAAAAAAUUUAUGAGUACAAAGAGGUCUAUAUUCAUAAAAGUAUAGUAGCCGGAUUCAUAUAUAUAUCAUAUAGAGAGAAAUAGAAAGUCCUUAUACUCUUAUAAGUACGAUCGACUUUGUACUCAUAAGUCUUUUCAAUGAUAGAGCUUUUGAACCAACGAUCCAUACCGUUAAAUAUAAUUUAGAGCAUUUGAAACUUCUAGAAAACAAAUUUCAUAUUUUUUUUAUAUCAUUACCGAAUAAUCAAAAGAUUUCAAAAUUGAUAAUUUUUAAUAACAGGUAUGGGACGCUCGCUAGUUUAACAGUAUGAAAUAAUCGAAAUGGAUUGAAGUUUUGACAGAAAAUUCUAUUCACUACGUAGGUAGAGAUCUAUAAAUCCGAUCUUAAAUUGAAGAAUAUGAUUCUCUAUUUUUAAGAAAUCGUUCAAUUUUGAUCGGGCAUUUUAUGACCGCUUGAUGGAUUUUAUUAUAAUUUCGAAAAAUUACGAAAUUCAUUUUUAAAAUGAUCUAGACCAUUUAAGCGAUCUGAAAAUCAAAUUUGAUACUUUUUUAAUAUUAUUCUCUUGUCCAUCAAGUGAACAUAAAAUAGAUGGUUAAAAAUAAAUAUCCUUCAAAAAGUAAUGAUACAACUUUUAUAUUCAAGAUUUAGAUCUUGAUUUAAAUUAUUUAAAGAAUUUUCUAAUAAAAAUCUAGUUAAUUUGGACUCUUGUAUAUCGUUAAACGAGCAAACGCACUGUACCGACUAUUAAAAUUAUACAUUUUGUAACCCAUUGAUCGUUUGAUUAGUGAUAUCAGAAAAGCAUAUGGGGCCUAUUUCAAAAUCUCUAUAGUUGCAGGGGCAUCCAUAAAAUUUUACCUUAAAUAGGAUGUUAUCACCAACAACCGGCCUGAUUUAUAGGAAAGUGAAAGGGACCUUAUUUUAAUAAUUAGUUUCUUAAUCACCCUUUAAGGAAGGUUACUUAAAAAGGUAGUUACAUUUGAAACCAUCUAAAUAAAAUUAUUGAAUUUGAUUUAAUUGUCGUAUUAAUUACCAAAUUGGAGUACUCCACCAUUCAAUGUUAAAAUAAUACGCAAGGCGACAACAUUCUAAGUAGUGAUGCAAAUGAAAAAAAAUUAAUCCAUUCCGAAUCCACCAAUUAAGAAAGAAAAACUUCAAAUAUCAUUUCUGUGGUUUCAUUCAUUCUCACUUUAGUACCCUAUAACUUAAAAUGUAUCAUUUUAAUACUAUAUAAUUUUAUUUUUUUCUUCCCACUUCGGUCGAGUGUUUGUGCCUGCUCUUACCUACCGUAGGACCUCCGUCCGCGAAGCGAAGAAAGAGGAGUAGGAACAAGAGGUUGGAAGAAAGCAGGUAUAUGAAAAUUCAAAUUUGACAGCUGACGAUGGAUCGCUAUUUUCUGAUCCGCUAUCCACUCCGUUAUUUUUUUUAUUAUAUCAGUUAUAAAAUUAAAAUUACAGAGUAUUAAAGUGAUACACUCUACGUAAGAGGUAUAUAUCUUAAACCCCUUAAAUCCACAUAUUUAUAAUAAAAAAAAUUUAGAUUUUUAAUAUUAAAAAAAUUGAUAUGGCAGAAAAAAAGAACCCAGCUUGUCAAAAAUUAGACUAUAAAAUUUACACUAUAAAAUUAGUUGCACAUGUAGCACUGCUCAACAAAUAUCUCAACUUCACCAAUUUGUUGACUUUUCAAUUGGGUAGGUUUUUUCUUCUUUGUUAUUAUUAUUAUUUUGUAUUAAUUAUAUAUAGUUUUAUGUAAAUAUAUCGAAUAGCAAAUAUAUUUUCACAAAGUUUAAGUUUUUAUUUUUAUUCCUGCAAAAGUUCUACCGCUUUCAAAUAUAUUAUUUCUUUUUAGGAUCCGUUAGACAAAUAUAGUUAACCGUGAGUAAAAUAUUCAAUCCUGGUUAGUAAAUGGGUUAAAUUGACAUUUUUACUCUUCUUAUAUUAUUAGGUAAAAUAUUUUUUGGGAAGAACAUUUUUAUAUAAUUCAAACAGUUGGGAUUUUUGAAAAAAUAUAUUUGUAAGAGUAAAAAUAUCAUUUUAUUUAUCUGCUUUUAAAAAAUAAACAAUGCUAUAGCAAUAACAAAUCAAAGAAACAAAUAUGAAUAUUACUGAAUUUUUAUAGAGAGAAAAUAAAAAAUUAAAUUUUAUAGGGAUAUGUUUACUAUUCAAGAUGUUUACAGAAAACUGCGUGCAAUUUUUUUUUUUCUUUUUUUUUUGCCAGGUGGCAACCAGGCAUGGCAUGAUGUUGAUGUGACCUCCUCCGCAAGGCCGGCUUAUUUUAGGCCAGGAUAAUUUCACAUGUAUCACAUUUAAUUUUAUAAAAUUUAGUUAUUUAUUAUUAUAUUUUUUGAAGACUCCAAAUAUAUAAAUUUAUUUCUACAUGUUGGCUUUGCUAGUUGACUGUAAAAAUAGUAGUUUUUAGACCAUUGCACUCUUAUAAAAAAAAUAAUAUGUUUCCUAUAAUUUUUUUUAAAAAAAUUAUAAUUUAUGGUUUACAUAAAAUAACAAAAAAGUUAAAAAUAGAAAUAUUAGGAAUAAUAAAUAACAUUAAACAUAAUCGAAAAUUUUAUUUUAACGUGUCAACUAACGAAAUAGGAGUCCGGCUACUAUACUAUCGAUAGCACGGAGCGCUCCGUGCUACCAAGUUGUUUUCGAUGAUGCGACUUCUAAAUCGACGAUCGGCUCCGUUAGACUUGAUCUACACUAUUAAAAAUAUUUAGAAACUAAAUUUCAUAAUUUUUCGAUAUCAUUUACCUAUCAAACAAGUAGUCUAAAAUUGAACGACUGAAAAUAAAAAUCUCAUAAAAAAUAAUGAUAAAAGAUUUAAAUUCAAGAUCAGAUAUACUGAUCUUACUCUAAAUAGUGAAAAGAAUUUUCUAUAAAAUUUUCAUCGGAUUUGGAUUGUUUUACACCGUUAAACUCACAAACACACCACAUCGGCCAUUAAAAUUGUCAAUUUUGAGAUCUUUUGAUCACUAGUCAAAUGAUGUCGAAAAAACCUGAAAUUUAGUUUUCAAAUACUUUCAAUAGUGUAGAUCAAGUUUAACGGAGCCGACCGUCGAUUUGAAAGCCGCAUCAUCGAAAACAAGUUGGUAGCACAGAGCGCUCUGUGCUACCGAUAGUAUAGUAGCCUAGUUCACGAAAUAGAAUAUAUUGGCAAUCUAUGUAAUUUUGGAUGAAUAUAUUGCAGACUAUGCAAUUCUGAAAAAAUUUAUUUGAUAACUAAAACUCUUUAGAAAUAAAUAUAUAUAAUUUUAUUGCUUUGUAGGGUUUUAUAUGCAAAUUAAAUGCUAUACUAGCCAUGUUGCUAUACAUGAGCCAAACCAGCACAUGCAUGAUUCCUACAAUAGGACACCCCAUGUGAAAGCGGUUUGGAUAAACUCUUAUCGGAUCUAACAACGAAUUCAAUAAGAUGCAAAUAUAAAUAUCAAAAUUUCGUUCAUAUCAGAAUUUGCAUACAAAAAAUAAAAAAAAAAAAAAACAACUAUAAAUGCGAAUAUGAUUCUUAAAAAAUCCGAUCGUUAUCGAUUAUUUUUACGCAUAAUAUAUAAGAGGGUUAUGAAUAUAUAUGGUAAUAAGAUAAAGUGGCUUUUAUUAUAUUCUUUAUUUACUUUACUAUGAAUUUCAUGUUAAAAUUUAUUUAUGCUGUUAAAAUAUUAAAUUGUUUCUUUUUUUGCGGUAAUUUUAAUUCUUAUUUGUAUAUGCAUACUAAUUUAUAUUAUCAUCUGAAUAAUAUUUGAAUAUAUAUUUGACUCAUAUCUGAAUUCGAAUCUACUAGACGCAUCCGAAUUCGCAAUCGAAAAACAUAUGAAUGUGAAUAUGAUUUCAGAAAUCUGCCCGAUUCGACCAUUUUCACCCCUACCACCAACUGUACCUAGUAAAAUUGACGUAUUUGAUGGUUGAUAUCUGAAGUUCUAUGUUGAAAGCGUAGUUGCUUCAAAUUUUCAAUUAAGUAAUUAGGUUUCGAACCUGGAAUCCCGAGUAUCAACCAUCAAACCUUUAACCAACGGUGUUAGGGGCAUGUUUGUUUCACCAACUUCUCUUCUGUUAUUUAUUUUCAUAGCACGGAAGAAAAGUUCUUCCAGUUUCAUUGCUUGUUCUGUUUAUUUUUAUAGUUAACAUUAAAGUUCUAUCAAUUUUGUUAUUUAUUCGGUAGGAAAUGAAUAACGUAAAAUGAUAUAAUUGUCUCCUACAUAGCUUGACAAAUAAAGUUUCUUCUCUUAAUUUUAUUAUACUUUUUCCUCACAUCUCUUUCUAGUAAUUAAGUUCACACCAUCCUAGGGCAAAGCCAAAUUAUACUAUUUUAGAAAACUCAAGCUUCGACUAUAACUAUAUUACCGUGAACAAAACACCGGAUAUACUCAUUUACUGUCGGAAAUCACUUUUCAUUUUCCACUUUCGUCCAAACAAACAUGCCAGGUACACUCAGUUCGAUAGUAAAAUCAAAAUUUGUCACUUGAAGCAUAGUCAAAAUUCUGCCAUGUUUAUAACAAACUUUUAUAUAUAUAUAUAUGAGCUGGAAUGCUAUCAGUAGCAAACCGGUUCCGUUGCCACCCAUUUGUUUUCGAUGAUGGAGCCUCCAAAUCAACGAUCGGCACCGUUGAACAUGAUCUAUAUCAUUUGAACUAUUUAGAAACCAAAUUUCAAAUCUUUUCGACAUCAUUGACCUAAUGAUCAAAGGGUUUCAAAAUUUAUAAUUUUAAUAGUAGAUAUGAGGCGUUUUCUCAUUUAACGGUGUAAAGCUAUCUAAAUCAAUUGAAGUUUGGUUAAAAAAUUCUUUAAACUAUUUAGAACAAGAUCUAUACUCUUGAUCUUGAUUACAAAAUUUCUAUCAUCACUUUUUAGAGGAUAUUCAUUUUCAGCCGUUCAUUUUUACGCCCACUUGAUGGCCAAGAGAACAAUAUCGAAAAAACAUAAAAUUUGAUUUNGGCGCCCCGCCGAUUCCUGUAACCAAGCGCAUGCGUCUCGCGCACAUAUAUAUAUAUAUAUAUAUAUAUAUAUAUAUAUAUAUAUAUAUAUAUAUAUAUAUAUAUAUAUAUAUAUAGUUGUAACAAUCCAGUCUAAUAGCAUUAAUAACUCGUCAAUUCCUAACCCAAUUCCGAUUAUUGCGAUAUGGAUUCAUCAAUUCCGGUCAUGGGUCUAAAUCUCACCAUUUAAACUUGGAAGUUGUUAAUGAUAUGUCGUAGAAGGGAGGAACUCGCGAGUUUCGCAAACUCAACUUCAUUCCCCACCCCAUCGAAAUCGAAAGGCUGAUCCUUGCGUAAUUGCCAGUAAAAAUUUGAAUAAUCUAGAGACUUUAAUACCAAAAUAAAUCAGCACUAACUUUUUAAGUACUCCUUGGACUACUCCCUCAUUGUUUUGUUACAUUAAACUCAAGAAUACGUUUAUUUGUUAAUAUGGCUUAAGACUUUUUUAGAGUCACAAAUUCAACCUCCAAAAUUCCAAAAAAAAACCAAAAAAUCAUUGAUCUGUUUCAUAACAUUAUUUUUAGUAACAUCAGUUUGAAAGAAAAUUUGGGUCAUAUUUGACUUGGAAAAUUUUUUGCCAUGACUAAAAACCCUACCAAAACCUAACACGCAAUCAACUUUCCACAAAUCCAUGCUACAAUUUCUCCAAUUGAUUUUUUUUUUUUUUUUGUUGACCAUGUUGUGUGAAUGGAAUCUCCAAUUGAAUGUUACAUAAGAAAAAGAAAAAAGAAAAAAGAAAAAAUCCAAAUGACAUAAAUGUAUAAAAUCCAAAUGACAUAAAGAUGAUUUAGGACAAUGAACGAAAGUACAAUAAUUUAAAAUUCGAAGGCUAAAGUGUAAUUUGAAUAAUAGUUUGAACUUCGUAAAUAUAAUUUGCCCUUAAAUGAAAUGUUAGCGUAAUUUGAAUCAUGCAUUUUCAAAAAAAUUUUACGAUCACCGUAUUUGGAUGCGAAUUUUUUUUAAAAAAAAUAAGUUGAUUGAUAACAGAUAAUAUAUUCAACGAAUAUAAUCGCAUAAAUUAAAUAAAUUGUCCUAUGAACAACCAAUUUUUAUUGCUUUAAUUAUGAAAAUGGUCUCUUUUGACUUAUAUGCCAAAUUAAUUUAGUAAAGUUUUUACAUUGAUAUUCAAUGUUCAUUUCAAUUUUAAACCAAUUUAAAAUAUUGGUAAACUUUUGGAUUUAAAUUGAAGCAACAAUUAAAAUUGUGAUUAAGGUGCAAACUCCAACGAGGGAUUUUGUGAUUUAGCUAAAGAAAAAAAGGGUUAAUUGCAUGCAGGCUCCUAUAAAUAUAGUGAAUUAUAAAUUUAUUCCUACAAAAUUUAACUUUUAUAUGUUGUUCCUAUAAAAUUUCUAAUAUUCUCAAUUAUAUCCCUUCCGUUAGAAAAUUUUAAUUAACCAUAGGUUAAAACUUAACCUUGGUUAGUUUAUGAGAUAACUUAAUACUUUUACUCUUUUUAUAUUAUACUGUUGUGGCUUUUGAAAGGACAUAUUUGUGAUUGCAAAAUUAAUAUUUCACUUAUUUGUUGUUAAAAUAUAAACAGUUCUAUAACAAUAAUAAAUCAAGGAAACAUAUUUGAAAAUAUUAAAACUUUGUAGAAACAACAUAUGAAAGUUGAACUUUAUAGGAAUAUAUUUGUAAUUUACUAUAUUUGUAAGGACCUGCAUGCAUUUAACGCAAAAAAACGUCAUUUUGUGAAGAGAGGUUAAGGGCCGAACGUAAAUUUUCUAAAUAUAUUUGGAUAUAAGUGCAAUUUAUCCUCUAAAAUAUCUCCCCAAAAACCCCAUGUUACUUUCCUGAUUAAUAAAUUCGAUAAUAAUUUGUAUCCAAUCAUUCAUGUAGAUGAGAACAAAAAUAAAAUGUGACAUUGACCAUAAAAAUUAUAAUAAUAGGGACAUGGUUCCUCAAUCCAUAACGUGCAUUCAAAAAUAAAAUAAAAAUAAAAUAAAAAUGUAUGGGGAUUGGAGACCCCCUGAACUAUGGAAAGGGCCAUUAAAAAAUGGCCCUCUUAAUUUUUUUUAAACUAAUAUUUUUAACUUUAAAUACAUGUGUUUAUACGAGUUUGCUUGGUAAAAAAAAUACAAAUAAAUUCUUAAUUCUUAAUUUUUAAUUAAAAUUAUUAUAGUUAAUUAAAUUAAGAUUUAUGUAAAUUUAAUAACUAUUUAUUUUCACCGAAAGUGAAGAGGAGUGAAACGAUUUUUGAUCGUAAAUGUUAAUUUCUACUGUUUGGUUCACCGUAACUUUUUUCGGUGAAAACUCAAACUCUCCAAAGGCCGAAGUUAAUUACGCUACGCCAUCACUUAUGCCAAGCAAACAACAGAACUGUGAGAACUUUCAGUUCCGCUGCGAUGCAAAUAAACAACAAAAUAAAGCAAUUGAUUAUCUAAACUCUAAUUCGUUCUAUAGCUUAUGAAGUUCGUAUUUGGUAAAACAAACAGGCCUUAAAAAAGCUUUGACGAUAUCUUAGCAUUAUUAAUAGUAACAAUCAUUUCAGAAGUUUAAAAUGCAUAGACAAUGUUCAGAAAAUUCAGCGGUAACUCCACCAAUAUAAAUUUCUUCAAACUAUAUAAAAGGCAACAUUCCGAAAUACCAUAACUAUUUUCCCGAAAAAUAGAAAAUAAAUAAAUAAAUGAAGUCAAAGUCUAGGGGCUAUAUCUAAAUAUCCUACACUUGAGGGUUCUCUAUGCAAUUUUCCCCCCUCUACGGCUCUACCCUCCUUAAAAUAAAAUAGGGGGACAAAAAAAAAUAAAGGGGCGUGAGAAUAACAAACAAAACCCCGGGAGAACGUUCAAUCAUAGCGAAAAGCGACACCGUUUUAAGCUUAUUAUUAGGCCAAGAAUACACAUUACACACACUCUCUCUCUAUACACAAGAGAGAGAUCUCUCAGAUACCCGCUCCUCUUCUUGGACCCUUCUCCCUCUCUCUCUCUCUCUCUCUGCGCCGGGAAUGCGAUCGUUGGAGCUUUUCCCUAGCGUUGAUGCGUAGAGAUUAGGGUUUCUAGGUCUAGCGUUGUGGAUCUGUGUAGAAAGAGGUAGAGGUAGAGAGAGGGGCGUUGAUGGAGGGAGGAGGGGGGGAGGCGAGGGCGCCGCUCCUGAGNGGGGGGAGGGGGAGGGGGAGGUGGGGACGAGGAGGUGCAACUCGGUGACGACGAUGAGGAGCGAGUUCGUGGCGAGGUUGCCGGAGAAGGUGAAGGAGUGCGUCGACCCGGAGAAGCCCUUCCACAUCGACGUCUCCCGCACCAGAGGAUUGAUCGAAGGUAUAACACACACACACACAAAAAAAAAUAAAAAGAGAAUCCCUAAUAAAUGGUUUCGAAUUUUUUAUUAGGGUUUUUUCGAUGUGUUUUUGGCAAAUUGUUUGUUAUAUGUGGGUUUGUUUUUGUUUACUUUUGUUUCACUGUGAGAAAUUGCUGUUUAAUAGAAUAGCAAAAACAAAAAAAAAAAAAAUUCCCAAAAUGGUUUUGAAUUUAGGGUGUUUUUGGAUGUGUUUUUGGUAAUUUUUGUUAUAUGUGGGUUUUUUUUGGGGCAUUGUGAGGAACUGCUCUUAAAUAAGAGAGAAAAAUUGUAUUGAUUUACAAGUCAGAAAAUAAAAAUAGGGCUUUUAAGAUUUCAUUUUGGUAAUGUUUUAGACAUUUCUUUGAUUUUAGUUUUAUUUCACUGCUAAUAAUUGCCGCUAAAAGAAGCAAAUGAUACAAUUUAUAAGUCAUAAAAUGAAAAUUUUGGAUUUUCCUUAAAAAAAUUGUUUUUUUGGGGAGAAUUUUAGAUAUAUCUUCUUAGUGGCUUUUUUUUAAUUUUACUAUAAAAAAUUGUUAUCAGAUAAGAUAGUAAAAUGGUAUAAUUUAUCUGUCACAAAGUAAUAAAAUGAAAAUUAUGUGCUAGUAAUAGGCUGUAUUUUUAUCAUUCCGAGGGUUAUAAAUUGUGUUAUUUUAUUAUCUUAUUUGAAGGCAAUUUUUACAAUGAAAUAAAAAUGUAAUCAACAAAUACUAAAGUGAUAUCUUUAAGCCCACGAGGUGGCAAAAUAAAAAUCCAGAAACAGCAGGGAGCUAAUUGAAAUUUCCUCCCCCCCACCCCUUUUUUUUUAAGUACAAGUGCAUCGUGAUCCACUGAUCAUUCUCAACUAUAGCCCGUUUUCAAAUAGGUUCUCUUACUCUGCUUGGAUUUUUUUUUCCCCUUUUUUUUCAUUUUUUAACCCCUGUUUGGGGUGGGGACUUUUGGGAGUAUCUUCUCCUUUUUUUCUUUUUGAAGGUGAAAAUGGUUGGACAACCCCCUCAACUAUAGCUGAUUUUGAAAUAGAUACUCCAAAGGCUCCAACUUUUGUGAUUUUUUAGUUGUAAAAAAAAUGUAGAUACAUAUUCUUGCAAAGUUUUAGUUAUCGAAUAUACCCAUAAAAAAGUUCCAAAAUAUGCAAUUUUCUUUUUAUACCCAUUGACUUCUUAUUUUAUUUUACUGGAGUCUGGACCAUUAUACUCUUGGAAGGAAAAAAAAAAUCAGUUUUUUUGGAUUAGGAUUUUGAGAUUCACAUAGAAUGAUAAGAUAGAUAGAAUAGACACAUCAAAAAUGAAAAAAAGCAUUUAAAGGAUUUUAAAUAAUAUUUAUUUAAGGGUGGAAUGGUCAUUUUGUAAAGAAAAAGUUAACUUUAACUAGUCAGCAUAUGGGGAAGGAUAAAUUUGUAAAUUUUGAAAUGUUAGAGGAAAAUAUGAUAAUUAAAUUUUUUAAGGAAAAUCUGCAAUUUCACUUCUUUCCAGGGAUAUAUUAGCAAAUUUUCCCCUUUUUCUUAUUUGUACCUCACCUUUAUUUUUUUUUGUAUAUGUUAUUUUUGAAAAACAAGUUGUGUAUUUGUCAAAAUUAAGGGCUCUAUGAGCUAUUAGCUAUUAACUGUUCACAAUAUUUGUACUUUUGUUAGUUCAAAAAAUUAAAUUUAAUUGAUUUACCAGUAAAUUUAACAACUUAAGUUAAAAUAAUCAAAAGUUAAGGGGGUGCCAGUCAAGAAAAAAAAAAAAGGUAAGGAAUCUAUUUAAUAAUUGCCUUAGCUGAGGGGGGGUCCCUGUGCAAUAUUUUUCCUUUUCUUUUUAAUGGUAACUUCUGUCUCUCUGGGGGAGGAUCAUUCUUUUAUAAUAGAUCAAUUUUAUUUAUAUAAUGUGAAUUAAAAGGUGUGAUAGAUUGAUCUGUAUGGUGAUGUAUGAAAUGUGAUUGUUAGUAUGAAUCUUACAUAUCUGUUUCUGUUUAGUGAUUACCUCAAUGUGUUGUUUUAAAAUGGAAACUGUAUUCUUAUGUUUUAAUUGUGUUGUCCUGUUUCAGACUUUCAGUCACUUAUGUGAGUAGUAUAUUUGCAGGCAAUUCUGGAAGUUCAAAUGGAUUUAAAUGCUUUCCUUCUGCUCUAGCUUGAACUUGUAUUUACUAUAUCUUUUUUCUCCUUUUUUUUUUUUUUACUUUUUUAAAUGCAAGUUACCUUGCUAUGUAAAGCAUUUAUGUAUUAUGAAUGAUUUAGAAUUACUUAAUCGAAGUUGUCUCUAGUUUCAUAAACAUUUUGGUGUUCUCAUCCUUUUUAUUCUUUCAAUAUUCUGGCAUCAUUUCUCCCAUUGAUUUUGCUCUCAAGUAGCCAAUGGGUACAAUGCAUUAAUUUACUAGAUAAUAUGAUGUGUUUGUUAUAAUGCAUUUCAUUUUUAGAUAAUAUUGUAUGCUUGAGAUUCAACUACCUAAAUGGACAUAUGGCGCACUACUAUUUAAUAUCAUUGCGUAUUUGAUGUUCUCUGGCUUUUAUGUACUUUUUAGUUUCCGUAGUAGGCUUUUCUGACGAAUGUUGUUCCUUGUUUAACUUUCUUUUCCAGCGGAAAAGGAAUACUAUGAAAAACAGUUUGCCACCUUGAGAUCCUUUGAAGAAGUUGAUGCGAUAACUUCGGCAAAUGAAAUUGAUGAAGCCCAAGAUCUUGAAGAGCAGAGACAAAGUGAAUUCGCCAUGAGGAUAUCAAACUAUGCAAAUAUUGCUCUCUUAGCCUUAAAGGUAACAUGUACUUGUCCUUUUAAUUGUUUUGUUGUUGAUUUUGGUGUAAACUGUAUCAUUGGUCCUCAGCAUUUUGGCAUUGUUUUCAAUUUGGUCACCAACCUUUCGAUAGGUAUUUCAACAUUUUCUUUGCGCUCUUAUCCAUUUGAUUGAAGUCCUUUAUCAGUUGGAUAGAAAUAUCCACGUAAUCAUUAGCCAAUUGCCAUGUAAGCAAGUCUUAUACUACUGAUGUUGUGAUCUAGUGAGCAUUUCCAUCCAAUUGAGCAUAAGAACUUAAUGAAAAGGAUUAGAUUACAACAGUGUGGAAAUGUCUGGGUCCAAACUGUAAGUUUGUCUUAAAAAAAUUGGAGGACUUUGGUGCAGUGGUGCAGUUUACUUUUGAUUUUUUGGUAAAACGCUAGAGAUUAUGCUUAUUAAUUAUGACCUUAUGAGAUUUUAUUUGAAUGAUCAUGUUAAAUUUUCAAAUUGCAGGUAUAUGCUACCAUAAGGAGUGGAUCCAUCGCAAUUGCUGCCUCGACGCUUGAUUCCUUGUUGGAUCUGAUGGCAGGCGGCAUUCUCUGGUUCACCCAUCUUUAUAUGAAGAAUAUAAAUAUAUACAAAUUUCCUAUUGGCAAGCUGCGGGUGCAACCUGUGGGAAUUAUUAUAUUUGCUGCUGUUAUGGCCACACUAGGUAAGUUUUCUUUUUUCCGUUUGGCAGGUCAAUUUGUUAAUUGAUGGUCAUUGUUGUGAUGGAACUUGUUAGUAUAUUAUAGACUACUUCAAUGUUGAUUGCUAUUUUCUGACCAUUGAGAAUAUAAGUACUCUAAGUUGAAUGUAUUUAGCUUGGAUUUUAGAACAACUCUACUAUGAAAAGCGGAAGUUGAAACAGGCUUUUGGAUAACAAAGUAUAUGAAGCUUUUGAUAUGGCAAGUAGCUAAAUAAUAAGCUAGAGCUCUAAUUUGAAACUUCUGCUUCUACUAUAGUAAGAGACUGUUGAGGAGAUUUUAAUGAGAAAUGCAGCUAGUGCUCCUUCUGGUCCGUUUGGGUGCAUGUGAAGCGUGCAGCGCAAUGCGUGAGUUGCUCUUUGCUUACCAGGAUAGCCGUUUGGCAAAAGCUGAGAACCUUUCUCAUUCUUUCUGACAUCUCGGGAGGUUACUCUGUAGUUAUGCACCAAAUUCUGCUUUCACACCUGGUGGUUGGGUAAGAAUCCAGGUUGGAUAAGAAUCCAAUGGGAUGCUUUCACAGAUGCAAGUUUGUCCUUAAUGCACUGCUCUGCACCAUGCGCCAUUACACUCCCAAACGGAGCCUUCAGGCAGCUCUAUUUGUUGUGCGCUUCUGCAAAGGCUUCGACCAGGCCAAAGCCAAACAAAUCUAUGAUUUUGUAGCAGUUGGAAUUAUCUCUAUUGUACGUCUGAGAAUAGAUUUGUAUGAUAUACACCACAACUAUGGAAAGAACGGGACAAAAUUUUGACUAUGUCUCAAGUUGGACAAACAUUUUUAUUGUUGAUGCAUGACAUGGAUGGAUACUUUAGAAAGCUACCACAAAAAUAUGAAUUUUUUAAAGCACACUUGGACAAAACAUAAACCCAAAAUAUAUACAACAUGAUGCAAUGAAAUACCAGGUUAAUAUAAGCGAGUUCUCUAAUUUUCUUUAAAGACUUUUUUACUUUUACAAUUGAAAGUGUCCAAGUUAUAAAAUUAGAUUUUGUUGUCUUCAGUUUAACUACUUUCCGUGUAAAUCCUAUCCUUGCUAUUUGAGAGAUUCUUCAUUACUUUUUCACUCAUUUUCAGUUGAAUUUUUUAUCCAACGACCUGUAGCAAUUUGUAAUACAAGCAAGAAAAGGCAUUUGUUAUGUUUUGUUAAACAACCACUUCUUUUUUUCUCCUUGCGUAUUUAUAGGAUUUCAGAUUCUAGUUCAAGCUGUUGAACGUUUAAUAGAAAAUGAAACUCCUGAUAAGAUGACUACGGCACAACUAGCUUGGUUGUAUUCGAUCAUGCUGUCUGCAACUGUUGUAAAGUUGGCUCUCUGGCUCUAUUGCAGAACCUCAGGGAACAAGAUUGUCCGUGCUUACGCUAAGGUUAAUCCAUUGUUCUUUCUUAUUUCAAUAAGAUAUAACUAUACCUUGGAACAUUAUUAUUAUUAUUAUUUUGCAUGCUUUAAUAAUGUAAUUAAGCUCAUAUAUGGUCUCGUAGUUAAAUUUUUAAAAGAAUGCCCUUCUCUACAAAGAAUAAUUUCUUCCAAUGCAUAAGCAAUUUUCCACCAUUAAUUGAAUAAUUGUAAGAAGCUGCAUAUACAAGUAGUAUUUGUAAAACUGUAAACAAAUAGAUGUGUAUAUGUAAACUCGUUGUUCGGAUAGGCAUGUAGUAUAAUAAUAUUUGGAGAAUGAAUAUAUUUUUCUAACGUCUUGCUAUAAUUGGCUUUAUAUAGGAUCAUUAUUUCGAUGUUGUGACAAAUGUUUUGGGUUUGGCUGCUGCUGUUCUCGGAGACAAAUUUUACUGGUGGAUUGAUCCAGCUGGGGCUAUUGUACUUGCAAUUUACACAAUUACAAAUUGGUCUGGAACUGUCUGGGAAAAUGCAGGUUCUGCCUUCGUUAUCUUACCCUCUUCUGGUUGAAGCCCCACUUUUUCUGUUCUGUUCACAUUUCACAGUACGACACAUCUUGCAAAGUGGGAUAUGAUAUGAUAGGGAUAUGACGGUAUCCUACAUGUAUAUAUAGUUUUUCCGACAGAAGAGUAGCUGUAAAUAAUGAACAUUCCGGAGAAAAUGACCAUAGAACAUCGUAGAACUAAGAAAAAUUCAUAAAUUAGAUAAUAUUUGUUGCUAUGGCAGCAAAUUUGGUUCUUCAAAUACAUAGCAAGUCGAAUUCUAUGGAAACAAAUGAUAAUUUUGUACCUUUUGUUCUAAUGGCUAUGAUGUGUAUUAUGGAACUGUUAUUGCUGCUUUACCUCGUCAACACAUAUAAUACCUCUAUAUACCCCGUCAUGUGCCAUACUACACCUGAAUUUUUGACCUAUUAUUGGUUUGUCUUUUUUCUUAAUACUAUAUGCAGUUUCACUAGUUGGUCAAUCAGCUCCUCCAGAAAUGUUGCAGAAGUUGACGUACCUUGUUAUAAGGCAUGAUCCUCAAAUUAAGCGUGUUGACACAGUUCGAGCUUACACAUUCGGAGUUCUCUAUUUUGUGGAGGUAAGUAAACAAUGCUUCUUUUAUAUUUGAUUUGAGAAGACAAAUGUCCAAUCUUUAAUAAGCAGUAAAGUUGUGCUUUGUUUGUUAGAUUCUAAUAAACUUGAUUGAGAUAUUUGCAUACACACCUUUGGAUAACUAUCUACCCAUCCUUGCAAAUUAUGAAUUUUCAAGUAUAACCAUUCAAUACUGGUGUGUAAGUCCCCCUCUUUCUAGAAAUCUUUUAUGUAAUGCAAAGCAAAACCAGCCACCCCCAUGAACUGGAUGACUCUCCUAGUAUAAGAUAUGGGAAUUGUUCUAAGAAAAUGUACUUUUUACGGGUGUAUAUCCAAAUUCACUUCACAGAGUGUAGAUGCAAAUAGUUGAUUUUGCAGGGCUAUAUAUAAAAAGGCUCAUAAUCUUAUAGCAGUUUCAGGGAUGGAUGGUCCGUCAAUACUUUGACGAGUUAUCAACCAAAAGACCAAGACCACAUUCUAGCAACCUACUACUAAAAUAAUUUAUCUUGAAUCAUUUAUCGAGAUUAAGCAAUCUUAAUUACGUUCAUAAUUUAUCUUGAAUCCUUUAUCGAGAUUAAGCAAUCUUAAUUACGUUCAUAAUUUAUCUUGAAUCCUUUAUCGAGAUUUAAUCAAUCUUAAUUACGUUCUUAUUUCUCUUAGGCCUUUUUGUGCGUAAUUAGGGAAAAAAAAGAAAAAGAAAAAGGGAAAUAGUGCUGAGAAAUAAUUUUAGCUAUUAGAUUACACCAAUGAACAGAAAGGACCCUAAAUUAUGUGGCUAUCAAUUUGUAAAUGAACCAUGGGAUUCGAGUGAUUCCAAAUUGAUCACUUCAUCCUGUAUAAAAGGCAUUAAAACUAUGUAAUUAUGUUGAUUAAAAUUAAAUACACCACAUAGGUUAAUUGCAAAACUCGGAAAAUAAUAUACACGGUCAGGAUUUACAAUAUGUCAUCGAUAUAUUUUUUGCUUCACAUGAUGAAACUACCUGAUCACUUGAUUUUAGAGACUGAUGUUCUUAACGAAUAAUAAUUUACUUAUGUGUAAGCCUCUCCUAGAGGGAAGAAACAUUUAGGAGCAUUGAAACAAUGCAUGAAGCAAGAGAUAAUGUUAUGCAAGUGAAGUUUUCCUCGCCAAAACACUUAGCAACUAUUUUUCAACUUUAACAUAUAUGUUUAUCUAAACAAGUCUAUCUGGUCUUAAGCGGCUGACGAAUCUUUGAAAGCAAUUUCUAUCAGCUAAUCGGCGGCACGCUUGUAGUCGGUAGUGUUUUUUUUUCUUUUUUUUCCGCCCCUUCCAAGGCCUGUGUUGCCUCACCCCUGUAGCUUAAUUCAUCUUUUCAAUGAAUGAAGCGGAUAGCAUGCUAUCUAUUUCUCAAAAAAAAAGGUCUAUCUGGUCUCCUUUCAUUCCUUCAAAUUUAAAGUCGACCUUCGAAGUAAAUGCACUUGUUUUAAACAAAACCUCAAUGUCCAUAAUAAGCAACUAUCGUGCGCAUCCGCUUUGUAUUUCUUGCAGUCAAUUCAUUUUUAAAUAAUGCUCAGGACUUUGCAGUGAAAACAUCUGGCUUUGUUUGUCACUUUUUCCUAAUAUGCUUGUAGUUUCUUGUAUUGUAAGUCGCACGCAAUUGGCAUUAAAUCAAUCUCGAAAUUCCAAUGACAGGUCGACAUUGAACUCCCCGAAGAUCUGCCUCUAAAAGAAGCGCAUGCUAUUGGUGAAUCGCUGCAGAUAAAGAUCGAGGAACUCCCGGAGGUCGAGCGAGCGUUCGUCCAUCUCGAUUUUGAGUGCGAGCACAAGCCGGAGCACUCGGUCCUCAGCAAACUUCCCAAUAACCAACCAUGAGCUCUCUAUUGUCAUCAUCUACAAUAGUUUGGUUGGUUUUCUCUUCCUCUGCCUCAUUUAUAAAUAGUUCAACAUCUUCCAUGCGGCGAAUUUAAGUGUGUUAAAGGUGCUUUCGCGACCUUUUUAAAGUAGGUUUAAGGAACUUGAAAGCGCGUGAGCUGUUUAAUUCAUUAUUAUCUUAGCUUUGAGUGCGAGAAGGUUCUGGCGUGGAUCAAAUUGGAAUAUUUUGGACAAAUAGUAGGGUAAAUUAUCAGUGUUGUACAACAUGAGAGAUGUUAGCUAUAGCUUCAGAUGAGUUUUUCAAGUGUAGGUACAUUUGCAUGAUUUUUCACCUUUCGACAAUGCAAUUGUGCUCAAUUAUUAUAUCUACCGUGAGAAUUAUAUCUGAAGUUUUAUUUCUUAUCUUAAUUUCUUAACUAAGGUUCUAAGUGGUAUUGAGGAUUACUUUGACACUGUUGGGCAAAACGAGUUGGAGAGAGAAAUAUGUAGAGAUAUAUUUAUUUGUUGUUUUAUCGCAACUAUAUAUAGAGUUUAUUUCUUAUUCAAAUACGUGAUAUCGACUUCUUUUUUUGAAUAAUCUUGUAAAAUUUUCAAAUUGGCCAAAUACCAGGGUUUGUCCGUUCCUCUCUCUCUGUUAGGUUGGGGUGGUGGUGGUGGGCUCAUGCCCUUCCUUUCUUUUUGGCCAGGGAUGGUGUCCCUGCCUCUCUCUCUCUCUCUCUCUGUGUUAAAAAAGUGAGAAACCAUAAGAGUGGUAUUUAAAGUUUUUUCCUAAAAUUUUAGAAGGUUAUUUUUGAAAAAAGAAGUUCAUAAAAGGCGUUAUUUCUUCCAACGAAAAUAAGUUGGAGAGAAAAAGCAUACAAAAAUGUAUUUAUUUGUUGUUUUAAUAGAACUACGGAAUUUAUAUCUUAAUCAAAUAUGUGCGAUCUACGCAUUGCAUUAUUUCCUCUAUUAGAAACAAAGGAAUGUUUUUUUAUCACACUUUUAUUUGCAUAUAAUGCAUUCGGUUCAUAAUUCCAAACGAAGCCAAAUUCUGAACCAUCCACCACAACUAUAAAACUAUAAAGAAACCAACCGUCAAAUUUAAAACCCUAAAUUCCUAGACAUACAUGUUAGAAAUCUGCGACUUACACCGACAAAAGCAAAAAAGAUUUAGUUUAUCGGGCACGAAAAUAUAAAAAGAGAAUCAAAAAAGAAAGAAGAAAAAUAAAACAAAUAAAUAUUUACGUGGUUCAACUAUUGGUCUACAUCUACAAGCAAAGACGCAGUAGAGAUUUUUAUUAUAAUAAAAGUGAUGUACAAAAUAUAUCUCUCUCACAAAACUUGUUCCAAAAAUAUACACUUAUACUUCUUCUCAUCAAACCGAUAGAUUAAAAGAUAUAUCUAUAAGUGUGGUUAAAUCCUAAUACAACUAGAAAUACAAAUCCACUAAAACUAGAAAUAACCUCAAUAAAAUUAUGCAUAAUCUAAAUUCAACUUAAUAGGAUAAUCAAAACAGAAUUUGUGGCACGUAGAAAUGCUCCCUGCAAAUAUGCAAAAUUGCAGAUAUACACCAUAAAUUUGAUGAUUCUAUGCACAUCCUUGAUAACCUGAUUAUUAUUUGCAUCUCAUGUAGAACCUCAGUUUCUGUGAAAAAGCAAGCAGUAUUUAUGCACGCGCGCGCACACACACACAAACAAAAGAAAAAAAAAAAGCAAGCCAUCCCCAAUACUAUGGAACUUAACUGGCACCGAGCUGAAAUAAGUUUGUUGGAGCUCCAAGAGAGCUGUUGGUAGUGCUUUUUUUUUUUUAACUUAGUUUUCCAGCACUUUUCCAAACAGCUCUACUCGAUCUGUGUUUCUAAAUUCCAAUAAGCUUCAUCCAGGCUGAACAAGCAUCAAGAUUGAUUCAAUUUAUGUUCAAAGGAAAAGAUUAUUCUUCAUAGAAGACGUACGUAACUGAAUUCAUAUAAUGCUUAAAUGAGAACUCUUUAGGAAAUAUAAAUAGCUGACAAUUGCUGUCUAAACAUUAUUAGCACCAUUCUUCGGACAUUAAUGUAUUAAUUAAAGGUACAUCUUCCAUCUAAUAUCGCAAUAAGCUUCAAAAUCUUUACCAGAACAUCCUGCAACCUCACCAAGAUCAGCUCCUUUUCGGAUCAUUUGAAUCAACUGCAUAAAAUGUAUUAAGCUGCGGUCAGGGUCAAAUCCGAAAUGGUUUAUAAAUUUAAUGAAAAAAAAAUGAUAAUGAUUUAAUUAAUAAAACAACAAUCUGAAUUAGGUCAGGAAGAGAAAAGAAUGCUUCACAUACGAUUUAUCAAUUUACAAUUCAUGAUGUAACAUUUUACCGCCCUGCUGUUAACAUUCCGACCCACGAGUGUUGCUGUCGAAAUUACAUGAAAACUGAGCACAUGAUAAACAGAUGACUUGGUAAAACCCCAAGGAACAAGAUAAAGCAAUCAAACCGCUAAUAUCAUGGGACAGCUACAUGCUCAAUCCUAACUGCAUUUAACUGCAAGUCUGAGCGAACAAUCAGAAAAGCAACCGCAGGCCGAUAAAGAGUUAUAUUUCGUACUCAAAGGGGGUAAAGAAAUCAGGCAGGACCAUAGUGAAGGCACACUAAAAUUACCCUAAACAAAUAACUAUAGAACAAAAAAUUACUAGAACGUGCAGCCCUUCCUCUAACUUUCAAUUAAGUAAAAAAGUUCUGCCGCCGAGUCCUCAAGAAUUUAACAAAGGGGUGGUAAAGAAGAGAUUCAGUUUACAUUAAUCCCAGGUCUUAAAAGUACAUAAAGACUUAACGAAAUGUCCACUAAUAUAACCUAAUGGCAUUUGAAAGUAGAUCAAACUAAAAAUCUUCUUUCAAUCAACAGAGCAAUUCUUUCCAGUCUGAUUGAUGUGAUGUGGCUAUCGAAUAGUUAUCUGUUGCAAAACUUGUGAGUGAUACCCUCAGCACUUCUCUUCAGCAUCCAAAUUUAUGACAAAAGGGUAACAUUUCAAGGUAGUCCCAUGUACAAUACCGAUGUUGCAACCUAGUCCUUAUACUUGAGCAUUUUAGUCCCUUAACAUUCAGAUAUAUUGCAAGUCUAUAUCUGAUCAUCACUAAAUCUAAGAUUUUCCUAUAAAAUAACUUUUUCCUCUUCUCCUGUAAAAUGACUUUCUUCCUCUCCUCCUGUAAAUGACUUACUCAUUUUAGUGUACUUGAAACAAAUUUAAAAAGGUCACUUUAUAGGAAAGAGUCAACUCCUCAGAUUCUUUAGUGACUAAGGAUGGAAUUGCAGUAUAUGAAAAGUUCAGGGACUAAGGAGUUUAAGUGAGAAGUUCAGGGACUCCGUCACAAAAAUCAGUUUGUACUUUGUACAAGGCCUAUCCGCACAUUUGACCCAAAAAAACUAUAAUAUAAGGAUGCAAAUAUGAUCAAAUACUUCGAUACUUUACAUCAAUUCUAAUAGUACCGAGUGUCGAUUCAAAUGCCCUAUCAAUGAAAUGAUGUGGAAGCACAGAGGCCUUUGUGAUUCUAUGAGUAUACUAACUCUAUUAUAAGAAAAAACUGUUGGCUUCUGUAUAAUACUUAUUCCUCGUGCUAUUUCUUAUAGCAACCCACCCAAUCCAAUUCAACAUCCUAGCCUCAACUACACAAGUUAAAAAAGAAGGUUUAAAAAAACCUCAAAUAGGCUCUUUAAUGCACCUGUCCUAGCCCAGAAUGCAAUGUGAAGCAUGCUAGUUUAUAUAAGCCUAGAUAAUUUACCUUUUGAAGAUAGUCGUACAACACACUACAAAUGCUACCUCUGCAAUGUUGCAAUGUCCUCUUCAACAUCUCCUUGUUAAUCUCCAUAACAAACUAAAGGGAAAAAAAACCCCUCGGAACUUAAUAGUACAUUUUCUUAACAAAAACUGACCAGAUUUAUAUUCCUAAAGAGCUGUAAUAAAUAAUUCAAGAAUAUUCUAAUUAGUACUUUCUUAUGACUGAAUACCCAUAGAACUAUAUGACCGACAACAGGUUGGUAAUCUUUCAAUCUUCAUAAGGCAUUUUCCUGCUGAGAACAUCUUAAUACAUAGGAAGGCUUAGUAAAAAAGCAAAAAGGAGCAAUUAUAAAGCAGAAAAAAGGACGAGAGCAUUUCGUAAAUCUCAACUAUGGCCAAAUUUAGAAAUCACUAUGAUGAAAUUUUCAGGAAAAAAUGUUUUUGAGAGUCCUAACCAAUUCUUAAUCUAAAUCAAGAAAUCUGGUAUCAACACAUCAAUAUUUAGGAGUAGAAGGUAACUGAAAUGGCAUAAGUUCCAAGUGCAAAGAAAUAAUACAACUACUGAGACCAUAAGUGUUGUCUGGUGAGUUAAUCGCUAUAAAGGAACUGUUUUAACAAUUCUCUUCUUACCCUUUUCUCGGGGGUUUGAGAGAAAGGAGAUCAUAGGAAAACACUGUUUUAACCAUUGAAAGAUAAGCAUCGAGUACACACAUGCACAGAUACUAUAUUCUCAAGUACUGACCAAACAAUUCAGAUAGGUUUCAUUUGGGUCCGACAAUAGCAUCUAAUGGAGACCAGAUUCUUUUUAUUUUUACAAUCUUAUAUGGAAUGGAUCCAAACAUCCACUGCACCCAUAGAAAAUCACAUAAUCCAUAAAGUCAAUUAUGAUUUUAACUCUUCGGAAAAAAAAAAAUUACACAUUGACACAAGGACUACAAUAAUAGCAAUAUAAACUCUCAAAAGUAAAAUCUUAGACAAAAAGACAAUGAAACUAACUUCAUAUUUGAAAUUCUGCAACACAAACUUUCUAAUAUAUGCAUCAAUAUCCUGAAAUAGAGUUUAAAACGAAGGUAUCACAAGAUUCACAAAAAAUAAAUAUAUAAAAUGAAAAAAAGUGUCUGCCUACUGAAAAAGAGAUAGAUCAAUUAAAUGACAAGUGGAAACAACUACCAAUUUUCUUCUUACACACACACACACACACACACACACAUACACACACAACCAACCAACCAACCAACCAACCAACCAACCAACCACAAAAAUUAUAGAAUGUAGGGUGAUUUUAAAACAUAAGACAAAGUUGGCAUAGAAUAGUUCAUCCCUUAAAAUAUUCCGGCUUAAUAGAAAUAGGCAUUUUAACUCGCAAAAUUCUAUGUCAUAGUCAAAUGGGGCUAUACAGGGUUUUAUAAAAGACCAAUCUGAGAUUGAUAAAUAGGAAUUUGGGCCGAAGCUGAGUUUGCGGGAGUAAAUGUUUCUAAGAAAGAAAGCUAGAAGAUGGAAAAGGAGAUAACUAAUCGAAACAUAAAAUCAUCAAUUGGGCAAAUAAAUUUGUCAACCCUCUCUGAAGUCCCAUAAACAAGCAAUGAAACACCUGAAAGAAUGCCUUUCCACUCCAAAAAGACUUCAAGAAUAUCCUAGAAAUUUUACUCAAUGUACUAAAGCUCCAAAUAGGAAUUAGAAUACAUAUCAAAAAUUACAUUAUCUCAGGAAAUAAAUAAAAGUUUCCAUGUUGAGCUGAUUAAAAACUAAUGAAUUAGCAAUUAAGUAGUGGAAAUAGUUAACUAGCUCUGUAUUUGGCAAGAUUGCAUACUAACGUCAACGAUUCAACAACAAGAAAAGUGAAAACAGAAUGUUUCUAGGAAUUGAGAAUGGAUCAAAAUUUCAGCCGCAAAUCUACUUAUCAGCUACAUAUUUUUGAGGUUUCAAAUCGUAUGCAUGGUUCAGAAUCAGAAAAUCCAUGUCCUCGAGCUCCAAUCUGUUUGAUUCAUUAUAUUAGUUAGUCAAUCAACAUUCUCACAAAUUGUAUUGCUGAUUGAGUCCUUUUGUUAAACUUGUUCUACCAACUCAUGCUUCACAUUUGCUUCGUAAUAUCUUCGAGAAUAUCUGCUAAAGGGACUUUUCUUUUAUUUCACUUUUUCAAUAGAUGAAGCAAACCGAUUCAAUAUUAGAAGAAACAUAAAAUUUACUCUUUCACAAAGAUUGGCUUUUCCUAUAUGCAGAAUUUGUUCCAAUAGUGGAUACUAGAAUUUCUUCCUAGCUUCGUUAUAUUCAAAAUCUCAAGUGCCUCUUCUUCCUUUUAAUAUUCUACAGAUCUUAAUUUCUCAUAAUCAUAACAGACAUCACAGAAUCUUCAAAAUGUCAAUAGAAGGUAUCAGACACACAGACCACAUAAAGGCACAUAAAGGCACACCUACCAAAAAAAAAACACAAUUUUAGUAGUAAAACCCCCAUAUGCCCUAUAAAACAACAGCUAAUAAUAACAGUUAUCGGUUGGUCUGCGUUUCUCCAUAAAAAUUUACAUAGCAAGUAGCAACAAAUCAAUCUAACUACAGUCAGUUGUUCAUCCUAUGUAAACAUUCUUGGCAUCCUUAGAUCCAAAAAAUGGUGAGAUGGUUUCUCUUUCACAAUUAUUCCACCCCCUUUAUCAAUUAUAAGGACAAGUCUAUAAAGCAUUUAAAUUUCAAAAGGGAAAAAAUAUAUAAAUAAAUCCUCAGAAUCUCAUGCCAUAAGAAUCACCAAAUUACCAAAAGUAAUUACUACAACUACCACCAAAGAUCCAAUUAAUUUUUCAGCGUUCCUUAUCACUCAGAUCCCAAAUUUUGCCACCACGAUUCAACAUCACGUACCAAAUGUUAACACAAAUACUAAAUUGUCCCCUACAAAAUCAAUCUUCUAGGUAACAUACUAACUAAUGGAACCAAUCCUAAGCCCUCAUCCAUUUAAAUAGGAUCUGAGUCACAUCAGUCAUUUCUCUUACGGCUAAUGUUGCAGUCUAUUAUUCGGUUUGCCUCUUCCAUUACCUCUUUAAUCAAUGCACGUGGCACGAUUCGCCUGAUAUCCACGAUGCAGGUGAUCGGAGGUGUUAAGAAUAAUCCUAGACUCCUUUCCUUUUUUCCUACGAUGCGGUUGUCUCGGUCUGACAAAAGAGAUCACAGAGAGAUGCACCUCCUAGCAAAUAUCAUGCCCUAAGAAUUAGCACCAAAUUAUCAUCAGCAAUUACCAAUUACUACUACCAAAGAACCAAGUUUUACAGGUGAUUCUCGCCAGUUGGAUCCAAAUAUCAUCUUCCAAACAGAUCGCAAAGAGAUGACGCAUGCAACACACCUGAAAUUGGAGGACACUGGAGAUCAAUUGGUCUUGGGAUUUCCGACGAGAGCGAUCAAUUCAGCAUCCCAAAAGAGAUCGCAAAGAGAUGCAUCUCUUACCAAAUCUCAUGACACAAGAAUUAGCACCAAAUAAACACCAGCGAAUAUCAAGUACUACUACAAAAUAACCAAUUUUUUCUAGCGCUUCUCAUCACUCGGAUCCAAAUAUCAUCUACCGAACAAAUUUCCAACUACUACUAUCAAAAGAACCAUUUUUCUCUAGUGCUCCUCAUCAUUCGAACCCAAAUAUCAUCUUAUACCAAACGGAUCACAAAGGGAUUAUGAAUGCAUCGCCACACCUGAAAUCAGAGAUGAUCAAUUGGUUUUGGGAUCGGGGAUGGGGAAGAGGCCGCCCCCCGCUGCGGCGGCCCCCCGGGGCGGGGCGAAGCCGAGGAGCUUCUGGAGGUUGGUGCGGAUGCUGAUGGAGCAGAGGAAGUAGAGGAAGGGCAUGGAGCAAUCGGUGGGAUCGGCGCCGGGGAGGCCGCGGUGGCUCAUCUUGAGGACGAGGGGGACGGGGGCGAAGGGGAGCUUGGCGACGGCGCGGCCCUCGAAGAGGGAGUUGAGGAGGCCGAAGACGACGAAGAGCACCGCGGCGACCACGGCCCCGGACUUGAACUUGGAGAGCGAGAGGUCGCGCGUCGACUCCUUGAGGCUCGCCUCCACCCGAUCCAUCUUCCGAGCCCUAGACGACGACGAAGAGGUCGAAGAGGUCGUCGUCGCCAUUGUUGAGCCCUUGGAGGAGGAGGAGGAGGAGGGGUUUGAGGAGGAGGAAGAGGAGGAGGGGGUUGCGGAGGAGGGGGACUUCAUGGAUUGGAGCUUCUUGGAGGCCUUGUCGAUGGAGGAGCGGAGGGAUUUGUAGGAGGAGGUGCGGUAGAUGAGGAGCCACGAGAUCGCCUCGCAGAGCACGGCCGUGAGCGCCGAGAUCGCCACCACCGAGAGGCUAUCGCCGUAGCGGAACGACGAGAACGACGUCGACGACGCCGCCAUGGACGAGGGGGCUAAAGCUGUUGUUUCUCUCUCUCUCCCUGGUUUUGGUUUAUAAUCUUUUCUUAUAUAGACCAAUGUUCUCUAAACAGAGAGAGAGAGAGAGAGAGAGAGAGAGAGAGAGAUUCGUAUGUGUUCUUGGGUUCGAAUUGUCUACGACCCACGGUUAUUCGAAAUUUUAUCCGAAUCGGAAAUCGAACUGUACGGAUUGACUCGACGCUUAAUAGAUAUAAUAAUAAUUUUAAAUACAGAUAUAAAAAAUUAAAAAUUAAUAAAUUUAAAUUCGGAUAUAAAUUUUGACUCUAUCCAAUCCGAAUUUAAACCUAAAAUAAUUUUACAUUACUUAUUUAUAAAACUUCUGAAUUGAGAAUCUUAAGGCUUGGAGCACUUUCUGCAUACCGCGUGAUGUGGCCCCGCAACUCUAUUUCGCAUUAAAUGGUGUGUGACCAGCUCCUCUAUUUUGCAUUGAAUGCCAUCCUUACGCAGGGUCUUUUCGGUUAUUAAUGAGAGCGACGGCGUUUGAUCCUUUGUAUUCCCAUUUCAUCCGCCAUAUCGCCAUCUCCCUCUACCUCUCCGUUUUUGCCCUGGCGCUCCACCGUUACCUCCAUUUUUGUCAGGACGGGUGUGGGGUGUGGUUGGUGCUAUCUCCGUCAUGCCCUAGCAGAGUUGUUUGUAUGGCCCCAUCUUUUCCUUACCUUUUAGGGUUUCGCUACAGCAAUUUUCUUUGUGUCGGAUGGCAGGUGCACUGAUCACUCCUGCGACAUGGCCUCCUAUAACUCGCCAAAGCAUCGUGUAAUGCGGCCUCCGGUGUAGAUAGUCGGAGGUUAUGCCGGUCACUGACACGAUGUUAAGUGUUCUCCGCUGAUUGUACACCUAUCAUUCCCUCUUCUUUCCCUCUUAAAUUUCUCAUCCUCUUCCUUAGGAUGGUGCUUAAAUAGUGGUUUGUGCUUUCUCUAUUUUUUUCGUUUCUCGUCGUUUGCUCUUUUCUCCGAUUUUUACUAGGUGCUUUUGUAUUCUUCUUCUCUCUUGCGGUUGCUAUUUUGUUUGAUUUGGUCUCUAGCUAUCAGCGUGCGUUUAUUAUUAUGUCACCAAUAUUUUCUUUUUUUUGUGCGCACGGGGGAGGAGAGAUAGGUCAAGGAAUUGCUCUGAUUUUUACAUUUUUUUUUAUUCUUGCUGCAUGCAAACAUGCGGCGUUUGGGUUGGUGCUCAUUAGAUGGGCCGGUUUGCUCGACGGAUUUUAGGAAUAUGCUGAUACCUGCUUGUCUGUGAUUUGUUUGUUUUUUAAACGCAGGUUUGCGUGCUAUGGUUUCCUUUUUUUGUGAAAUGUGCAUAUUGAACUCCUUGGAUAUUUUCCCUAUUGAUGGUUGUUUGCUUAUUUUACACGCUCGGUAGGCUACUGGAACAUGGUUUAUUGAUUGGUGCUGAUGAUAUGGCGGAAGCUGCUCGCCUGCAUGCUACGCUAUUGUGUUGUACAUUAUCAGCCAGAUUUUGUUUAGUAUUGUCUUUUUUUCUGGCUGUCACUAUGUAUGCUUACUAUUAGAUUGGGUUUUGCAUUGAUUCUAUACUUUUGUUAUUUACCGUUCUCUUUUGGGAGCAGUGAUGGCACCUGUUUCUAUUACUAUUUGCUUUCGCAAAUUAUUCUGUGAUGUGUGGUAGCGCUUUUUUCUGGCAAUGUCGACAUAUAGUGUCCCAAUUGAAAAUAAGCAGGGAUCGGUUAGUGUUUAUGUUGAUAUGGACGUUAGAAAAGGGGAUAAUGUGGUGGAGUUUGUGGGGUGUUGGAGUGCCCCGUGUGCGAACAUUCAUCAGGUCGAGGAAGAGGCGGCACUCGGGUCAGUCGGAAAGUUGUGCGAUGAGUUUGCCUUCAAAGUUAGGGAUUUUAAUUUGGAGGAUAAAAAGUUCUACGAUAAUCUAUAUGAGCAGCUUUCCACUGACCAUAGCAUGCUCAAGAAAAAGUAUAAACGGCUUUAAAAUAAUUACAACCUGCUGCGGGGUUACUACAACGACCUCCUGACUGAGAAGGAUCGAUGUAUCGUUGAACGGAGAUAGCUGAAAGAGAGUAUGGAUAGGUGUGUUGAGUUGCUCGAUUGCCCAGAAGCUAUUACAGUUAAUCAAAAUAGCAAUGGCAGAAAUUUAGAUAAGGAUCCCAUGGUAUCACCUGGUUAUGAAAAUUAAUGGGUUCUUGCUUUUAUUUUUCGACUUCACAUGGUGACAGAGAAGUUUGUAGAAAGCAGCAUUUUGUUUUUUUACCUCUUUUUUGAUAUGUCUGGCUUAAUUAUGUUAAUUAUAUUUCUCGAUGUUUUUUUUUGUUAUUAUUUUUUUUUUACAAAAAGAAAAGUUUGUUUGAUGGUUUGGUAUAAGGCGAUGGCAAUGACGGAAUAGGUUGGUUCAUGAUUAUCAAUCUAAGAAGGCAUGGCAACUUGCCUAGUCUAUUGGCAAUCGUCGCAGCUUGUGGAGAGCAGCAAUAGUAGGUUGAUUUUUUUGCUGCGAAAUGACAAGAAAUAUGAAGAUUAAUUAGACCAAGCCUAAUUGUUUUAUGCAUCAACUGUUUUCUAUUAAUAUCUUUAAUUCAUUAACAUAGGCUGUGGAUUCUUAUAAUCUAAAUAUUUUCUCUUUUUUCAUAUUUUUAUUUGUUUAACAUCAUUACGCUCACCUAUCAAGUAAGUUUUUAUUGGUGAAUAUCUCUAUUUUCUGAAUUUGCUUUGUUUGGAAAUUUCUAUAGAUUUAUUGUGUGUUCGUGAUAGUUUAACUAUCUGCCUACAAUUCUGAUUCCUUUGGAAGCUUCUCUUUUCGAGUUAUGCUCUAAUUUGAUUCAAAUAUUGUUAGUGUUGAAAACUCACCAGAGAUUAUAAUUUUGAAGUACUUUCUCCAAUUAUUGUAUAAGUGAUUUGUAUUCAAAGGACAUGCACAAUCAGAAUUCUAGAUGAGUAUUUUUACAUAUAUAUACAUAUUGUGCUUGAUGACUUAAGUAAUUAUAAUCUAUUGAUAUUGAUGGUACCCGAGGUACUUUGAUGAUAAUGCAUUUUAAUUAUUAUAUUCUUAUAUAUAUUGUACAAGCAAAAUAUUCUACACAUGCAGUUGUAGGAAAUUUGCUUUCUCUCUGUGGCGGCUGUAGAUUUGUAGACUAAGAUAAAUAGUUUGAUUGGACAUAUAUUAAGAUCAUGUUUGAAGCCAAAAUAAAUUAUUUACAAUAACUUAUUCAUUAUAAAACUUUUCUAGUGUGAUUAUACACAGGAUUUAUUUUUUCUUUCUUAAAAAGUCUUGCUAUUUAUAAUUUGGUAGAAUAAUAUAUUUCACCUACGAUGUUAUUUAUCUUAUCGAGUAAAAUGACUUGAAGGCUGAAUAUAAUAUUCAAUUCUAGACAUUUAAUCAAACUUCUCAUUUAACAAAUAUACAAAAUUUUCAAAAUAAAUUAUAAAGAUCUACGGAACAAAAUAUUCAUCCACCGAAUAGGAUCUAAAUGUUCGUGUCGAUCUUUGGUGCAAAAUUUUUUGUUGUUUUUAUUUAAAGCAAAUCUAUCUACAGAAUACACUCUAUCUAUCCAAUGGACAAUAUUUUUAUAUUGAUUUUGUUACAUUAUUAUUAAUAUUAAAUUUUGAAAAAUUAUCUUAAAUUUGUGGACAAAUGAAUAGAAAAUUUAUAUCCUAUUUUUGGGUGUAGGUGUAUAUGAGAGGGUUUAUUUUCAAGGUAGGAUUUGAUCCUCUCUACAUGUAUGAAUAGAAUUUAAUUUCCGAUCUCUCUUAGGUUGAUUUUGGGUAUGUGUAUGUUGCUACAAAGAAAGUUUAUUGGUCGAGCCUUUAGACAAAGUCAAAAACAAAAAAGAGGAAAAUAAAAAAUAAAAACUAUUUUCUCUUUUGAGCAACAACUCCUCAGUACUAAGACAAUCGCAUCUAAAGGAAGCAUGUAGAAAUAUAUCGAACAGCUUUUGCAUGCGAAAACACACUCAAAAAUUAAAAUAAAAAAAAUAAAAAAUAUAUAUAAUGGGUGAUAAUAAUGUAUACACAAUGAAUGCCAAAAACUGCUUACACAAAUGAAUAUGCUCCGUAGAAAAAGUCUAAAAUAUAACAGUCACAUGAAGCAAUGUUAUGUCUCCAACUAAUUAAAUUGCUUUUCUAGGAUUCAUUCGUUCAAUGUUUUAAAAUAUAUUUGUAUCAAAAAUAGUAUGAUUGACUGAAUAUAGAUAAUAUACUGCAACUGCUAAAGUAGACCUCUUUAUGAACCCUAUAUGAGAAGUUGACCCCUUUAUGAACCCUAUAUGAGAAGUUGAUACGUGGCUUUUUAUAUGUUUGUCACGUGUCAAACUCAAAUACAAAUAUAGAUUUUCUAUUACUAUAUACUAAAAUAGAACCCUUUAUGAACCCUAUAUGAGAAGCUGACACGUGGCUUUCUAUAUGCUUGCAACGUGUCAAGAUCAAAUACAAAUAUAGAUUUUCUAAAUAUAUCUAUUACUAUAUACUAAAAUAGAUCCCUUUAUGAACCCUAUGUGAGAAGUUGACACGUGGCUUUCUAUAUGCUUGCCACGUGUUAAGCUCAAAUACAAAUAUAGAUUUUCUAAAUAUGACUAGAUUGACAGUUAUAUCCAAAACAAAUUAUAUUGUAGAUAACUUUAUAAUAAGUAGGCAACAAAGUUUUUUUUUCUUUAUAUUUUCUUGAAGACCAACAUCUAUAUAUUUUUGAGUUUUGAAAAUCUGUAUGUCUAUCAUAUGCAUAUGCUUACUCUAAUUUGUGUCAAAUAUAAAAGUUUAGUUGAUCUUAUUAUAUACCUAAAUAUUAAUGUCAUUUGUAAUUUUACAUAUCAAUUUUAGCUAUCAUUUUGUUUUGCACAUCAAUAUGUAAUGUAAAUUAUUUUGCACGCCAAUUCAUAGAUAAUAGAGCAAGGUUGAAUUUUACUUUUUACUUGAGUAUUUACUUUGGUCCAUAAUUUUUUUUCUCUAGCUUUUAUACUUUAAUAUAUACUAGAAUUAAGAUUAAUAGUAUAUUUUUUAUUUAUUAAAAAAAUAUAAUAUUAAUUAGAAUAUUUUUAUUAUUAUCACAUAAUAACUUUUGUUAUUUUAUAUUAUUAUAUUAUCCGUGUAUCGCACGGGUCAAAUACUAGUAUAUACAUAUUGUGCUAGAUGACUUACGUAAUUGUAAUCUAUUGAUAUUGAUGGUAUCCGAGGUACUUUGAUGAUAAUGCAUCUUAAUUAUUAUAUUCUUAUAUAUGUUGUACAAGCAAAAUAUUCUACACAUGCAGUUGUAGGAAAUUUGCUUUCUCUCUGUGGCGGCUGUAGAUUUGUAGACUAAGAUAAAUAGUUUGAUUGGACAUAUAUUAAGAUCAUGUUUGAAGCCAAAAUAAAUUAUUUACAAUAACUUAUUUAUUAUAAAACUUUUCUAGUGUGAUUAUACAUAGGAUUUAUUUUUUCUUUCUUAAAAAGUCUUGCUAUUUAUAAUUUGGUAGAAUAAUAUAUUUCACCUACGAUGUUAUUUAUCUUAUCGAGAAAAAUGACUUGAAGGUUGAAUAUAAUAUUCAAUUCUAGACAUUUAAUCACACUUCUCAUUUAACAAAUAUACAAAAUUUUCAAAAUAAAUUAUAAAGAUCUACGAAACAAAAUAUUCAUGCACCGAAUAGGAUCUAAAUGUUCGUGUCGAUCUUUGGUGCAAGAUUUUUUGUUGUUUUUAUUUAAAGCAAAUCUAUCUACAGAAUACACUCUAUCUAUCCAAUGGACAAUAUUUUUAUAUUAAUUUUGUUACAUUAUUAUUAAUAUUAAAUUUUGAAAAAAUUAUCUUAAAUUUGUGGACAAAUGAAUAGAAAUUUUAUAUCCUAUUUUUGGUUGUUGGUGUAUAUGAGAGUUUAUUUUCAAGGUAGGAUUUGAUCCUCUCUAUAUGUAUGAAUAGAAUUUAAUUUCCGAUCUCUCUUAGGUUGAUUUCGGAUAUGUGUAUGUUGGAUGAGUAGAGUAUAAAGAAAGUUUAUUGGUCGAGCCUUUAGACAAAGUCGAAAACAAACGAAAGGAAAAUAAAAAAUAAAAACUAUUUCUCUUUUGAGUAAACAACUAGUCAGUACUAUAAAAGGCAAUCGCAUCUAAGGAAGCAUGUAGAAAUAUAUUGCAUUUUGCCCUUCCGAGAACAGUUUUUUGCGCAUGCCCGCGCGCGCACACACCAAAAAAAAAAAAAAAANGAAUUUAAUUUCCGAUCUCUCUUAGGUUGAUUUCGGGUAUGUGUAUGUUGGAUGAGUAGAGUAUAAGGAAAGUUUAUUUUGCCGAGCCUUUAGACAAAGUCGAAAACAAAAAAGAGGAAAAUAAAAAAUAAAAACUAUUUCUCUUUUGAGUAACAACUCGUCAGUACUAAGGCAAUCACAUCUAAAGGAAGCACGUAGAAAUAUAUUGCAUCUUGCCCUUCUAGAGAACAGCUUUUGCGCACGAAAACACACAAAAAAAUUUAAAAAAAAAAAAAAAAAAAAACUGUAUAAUGGGUGAUAAUAAUGUAUACACAAUGAAUGCCAAAAACUGCUUACACAAAUGAAUAUGCUCCAAAGAAAAAGUCUAAAAUAUAGCAGUCACAUGCGGUGAUGUUGUGUCUCCAACUAAUCAAAUUGUUUUUCUAGGAUUUAUUAGUUCAAUGUUUUAAAAUAUAUUUUUAUUAUUCUUUUGUCUCAAAAAAAAAAGGUGUGAUUGACUGGAUAUAGAUAAUAUAGUGCAACUGUUACAUUAUAGACAUUUUCGGUCCGGAGGCUAUCGCCUAAUUUUUUUUAUUUGCCUUUGGUAACAACAAACAGAGCUCAUCACCACUAUAGACCAUUUUAAAUCACACAACUUUUUAAAAUUUUGAUCUUAAUAUCAGACUUUUUAAUUUAUUUAAUUUGAAUCAGCCAUCCGUGCUUUCACUUCAAAAUUUAAGUUUAUUAUUUUACUUUAAUGAAUUAAUAGUUGCGAGAAUUGUAUGAAAUACAACUAACCAAAUAUUAAAGAUAAAACAAUGCAUUCCAAUUUUGAAAUCGAGGUAUCGUGGAAUGACGUUGACCGCUUAAGUCAAAAAAAUUGGUAGGUUUAAUAGUAAAAUUAAAAUUUUAAAAGUCGGGUAGCCGAAUCAAAAUAGUUUAUAGUUCAAACAAGUUCUAUGCGUUCUUUAGCUUCUUUUUUUCCCAGCUUUCUAUUAGGGGGAUCAUCUCUUAUCCUUGCAAUUCCUCCUUAAUGCUGCCUCUUUUCAUCUCUAACAAGUUAAUUUCCAGCAUUAUUAUGUUAGGAGAUCAUCCUUGUCCUUUUCUUUCUAUAUCGUCUCAUUUCAUUUUCAGUUUAGAGCCUCCGUGUUGUGAUCAGAAUUGGAUUUCUGAAGAGAGUAUUGUCAUAGAAAUCUUUUGAGCAAAAUUUUUUCCACCAAAAUAGAAGAGCCAAAUUGGAGAUUUCGCUAUAGGAUUCAAGCUGCUGCAACUGUAAUAGAUGCUUCUGGGGUAAAACAAAACAAGCACUCGGAAGCUCUUCUAAUUGAAUCUUCAAAAGCAAAAAAAAAUAUAAUUCUCACUCAAAUACAUAAACCUUUUUUCUUGGUUACUUUUAACAUAAAUUAUCCCUCCAAAAUCAUGAACUUACACAUGGAUAAAUCAUGCAUAUAUAAACUUCCAUGUAAGGCCUCGGAAAACAUAGGGAUGUUUUAACUUCCUACGCUUCUAUCCAAAUACUACAUUAAACCUCAAAUUAUAAAUUUUUUUUCCUUUCCGAUCCCCAAAUCAACUGGAGCGAAGAGUUCGCACGGUACAUCGAUAUCAAUACAUACAUUGAUUCUGCCGAAAUAAGAUUAGCCUGUUACUGAUUUUCCAAGGUUAACAGCAAAAACAAUUACACCAAAACAGAGAUAACUAAGAGAAAAAUAAGCUGAGAAUGCUCCCCGAAUGCAUAUAUCUCAGGUUCUCAGCAUCAAUUCAUUUACAAAUAUAGAUAUAUGCUAAAUGCUAACUUUAGCCUCGAAGAGAAAAGCUCCUGCUCCUGGAUUUUGGAACGGAAGGCGAAAGAUCAGGAGAUACAGAAAAGAUAUAUUAAGAUACAGUGCGUCCAUAGCACACAGAAGCAAGGUAUAGAUUCUUGGCCCACUUCUCCUGCAAAAUCAUCAGAAAAGAAAAUAAGGAAACUGAUUUUUGUGAAAAAAAAAAAAAAAAACUGAUUUAUUUUUUAUUCAGCUCAGUGGCUUGAAUGUGCUAAGUAUUUUCCUCACAAUAGCAGACUAGCAGUGUCUUCUGCAGUGCCAAGCAUUUGGGAGGAUUGUAUCUAGGUCUCUCAUUUUCAGAAAUUUCAAAAAAAAAAAAAAAAAAAAAAAAAAAAACUAAAUCUCGAUCUUUUCAGAUAAAUUCUGUGGCCUCAAAUCUUAAUUUCAUAAAACUCCCAACUUUGGUUAAACCUAACAGUGAUUGAUUAACAGUUUAGACAUGUAUUUCCCCUGUGAUGCAGAAUCAGAAGCUACAAUUUGCAGUUUCUACUUUGUAGCUGCAGCGGAAAGCUGAGUAAAGGAUCUUAUUGAGAAAGCUAUUAGUCUCCUUGAGUAGCUCUACUUAAUCUGUACUGCAGAAACAAAAGCCAGGUCCCUAAGCUUUUCUUUCUUGUUACCUUGACAUGUGUGCUUGGGAAUGCAGAGGUCCGAAGAGUCUCCUGGGUCUCAUCAACUGGCUUGCGCCUUGGCACGCUAAGGAUAAGAGCGGCCUGAUCCCAUGUGGCGGCCAUCGCAGUGAUCCGAUAACCAUUGUCCCAUCGCCUGUGAAUGCCCUCACUCGGAUAGAGAAAGUCCAAUUCAACAACCUGUUCAGACAAGAUACCAUUGAGAAAGCACGAAAGACUGCUAGUACGUUGAAAUGCAAAUUCAAGCCUCAACAACAAAAUCUUGACCACAUUGACAGCUGAAUCCAGGAACCAUAAGGUGUUAUAAAAUGUUGCUGAUCAAAUGCAAAUAAGGGAAAAACAAAAAAGAAAGCAAAAUAAUUUAGAAAAAACAAAACAGCACAAAUUAAAAAAAAAAAGCUUAAUUACACUCUACUACACCAUACUUUAUGUUAUUUUCAUGUGCUUGUAAUUUUUUCUUUCAAAGACACCAUUGUAUUAUUAUAUUUUAUCAAUAUCUACAUUGUAUUUUUAAUUUAUUUUUGUUUUUCUACCUUGUACUAUUUUUUUCUCAUAUAUAUCACUACACUAAUUUUUUUCUUGUCAAUAUCUACAUUACUGUUGACAAGUUUAUUGUUUAGAAAAAUCUAACAAGUAUAUUAAAAGGUACUGGUUAAAUAAUACAAAAAAAAUGUAGAAUGAAUUUCCAUGAUAGAUUCAUUGAGAUCAUUUAUCAAGUUAUUUUCAAUUAUUUUUUUGUUAUUUUUACGUAUUUAUUUUUCAUGUCAAAAUGACCUGAAUAUAUGCUCUAUUACUCUUUAACAAGUAUUUUUUAACAGCUUUUAUAUCGAAGUAUAGGUUUAUUACUUUGCAGGGAUUUUUAAAAAGGGACAGUUGAGUGGUGCAUUUGAAAAAAAAAAAAAAAAAAAAAAAAAAAAAAAAAAAAAAAGGAGGUACAAUAUAAGAAGUGAAAAAAAUCUAUAACAUACAGUGUAGAAUAGUAUAAUCAAGCCAGUUAAAAACUACUUUGCUCUUGCGGCUUCCUUAGAUAUUAGAUUAAAGUAGAAAAAACUCGAUAAACUGGCGAAGGAAUAAAGACACAUAUUACUAAUGAUUGCUAGUAUUAACUACAGAAAAGCUUCAGAAUAAUUUAUACACAAAAAGAUGUUAGAAAGAACAGGGAAACCAACCAUAUUCCUACCAUUGUUCAUACUGCAGGGAAAGAAUAAAAUGCUUGGAGAGCAUAAUAUUUGAUUUCACAAACACUAUAAGGAAGCUUUGUGAAGGAAAUGGAAGUUUUUACUUUGUGAAGAAUAAAAUAUCAGAGGCAGAUCUGGAAACUGACCUGAUCACUGAAUCGAGCACUGCGAGACAUGACGAUACCCCACCGACCGCCAGAAGUUGCCAUUGAUGUUACAUGAAACCCUUCCUUCCACUUCUUGUUUAUCCAUUUAAAGGGAAAAGACUCACUGACUUUGUAUGAUUGCUGUGUAUAGGUUGUGCCUGAAAUUUAUUAGCAGCGUAAGUUACAACCAGAGACAAGAAAAGUGUGACGUGAACAAGAAUUGACAUCACUGAUAUAAAAAGUAAUCAAGAAAAAAAUAAGAUAACAUUUAGAAAAGGAAUAUCACAUUUCUUAAACUAAAUAGCCAACGCCCAGCUGACUAGGAAUCCACAUUAAAAUUAAAAUAAAAUUACAGCAUAUUUGUAAGCUAACACAUUGUUGCGGUCAGCUAACGUUUGAGCUCAUAACUGACAAAAAAAGAUUUCGUUUUCCUACCAAAAUUUACUUCAACUGGUAGCAAAAAAGGUUAGAUUUAUAUAUACAGAGAACAAUAUGACAAGCAAAAACCUUUGAAGAUGGUUUCGAAUUAUCUGGCAGUAUAACAAGCUCAAAUGACCAAAAGAAGAUAUGUCCUUACUAGUUCGCAAUUUGAUCAAGCAACACUAAACAAUGUCGCAACGCCAUUGAUUUUUACCUUUUCAAAAAUUUCAAACACAAUUCAGAAUUUAGUGAACUAGAUGAUAAAUUUUGCAUGUCCCAAGGACUUCAUGGCUCAAUAAGAUUUUUCGAAACUUACUCAGCAAAAGCCUAAAGAUUAAAUGUUGAAAGGAAAAAGACAGCAAAAGAUUUUAUAGUAUAUCACUCUACAGGUAAUAGACAGAUAAAAACUCCAAAAGAUACAGUUGCCCAGCCACGCAAAAUCCUGAGAAAGCGAAAGAGAAAUACAGCAAGAGAUCUCAAAUGCUACCAGUGGACUAAAAUAUGUUUAUCAUGUUCCCAGCAUUGGUGAAUUUCUCAGGGAUGGCAAAGUAACCCAUUAUUUUUGAGAUCUCAAAUGCCACCACUCAACAUCGCAGUGCAAAGUUCUAAAGGGUAAAGUUAAGUGCAUGCUGAUCCAAAAUUAAAAAAAUACUUGCCUUUCGACAUCACAACAAGUGAGCUCCCAUUAGUAGCACCAGCAACAGAGGUGAUGUAGUAGUUCUUUUCCCACUGUUCCAUAAUCCAUUCCUGCACAAUUAUUUGGUGGGAACAAUUGAAUCUCAGCAAAGCCAAAAAGGAAAGGAAGAAAGAAGAAAAACCAAUGAUAUGGCAUUAUACCUUGUGAAAAAAACAUGGAGACAAUUCAUAAACUUGAGAUGAAAAGCCAGUUCCUGCAUCCAUGAUGACUGCCCAAAGGUCCGAACAUGAUGCCACACAACUUAUUAGCAGACCAUCCUCAUUUCCUUUUGACACAUGUUGCGCCAAGCGUGUGUCGGCAACAUUAUAAUGAUACCUGAAAAGUCAAAUCAAACGAACUUAACUAGUGAAUAGAAGACAAGCUGUGUCAUGAUAGAAUGAAAGGAGGGGAAAAGCAUAAAACUCUUAAAAUUCGUUUUCAAGUAAUAUAAAUAAACACUUCGCAAGGGAACGUCAAAGAUCUAAGGCUCACGCUAAAAGCAAAAAAAAUUCCAGAAUGGCAUUUCUUACUUUUUCAGUUUAACAAAAUAUGAUUUCAAAUUAAAUCCACCAAAAAACUAUUAAUUAUUUUCAAAAAUAGUGGCGAGGUGUCAAAUGAUAAGAUCACAGUGAGACAACAUUUUCUUUCCAACUGUUUGAGCCAGACUAAAUCUUUACUAUCUAAAAACACUAGCCUCACCUCAUUCGGUCACAGAUAGAACUACUUGUGAUUCUAUACAGAAUAAGUUCUUUUAAACCCCUUUGCCUACUUUCAUUUCCACUUAACCAGUUGAUUAUGUAACUCCAACAGCAGGCAACCAUUACAACUGGUGACAUCCAGAACAAUAAAAUCAUGCUUGUAGAACCAUACAUUUUACUGUAGACGAUAUCGUUCAAAAACUUAUUAUAGAUUGGUUUUAAUCCAUAUGCAGAGGACCAUGCCAAACUAGCCAUAGAAUUGACACACAUUCUGACUAGGAGGCAUCAUGUAACAAAUGCAGAGUGCAUUAGUUUUUCUGUGUGAUCAAUUAAAGCUUAAGCUUCUAGUUAACCAUUAUCAACUGACACAGCAGCGUUUUCAGAACUCAGUUGAAUGAUCAUCCAUCAGGUCCACUUUGAGCAAGUAGAAAGAAAGUACUAACGUAGCAGAACAUACUUGGAAUCAAGAAAGAGACUAGUAAAUAACCAGUGAACUCAAGGUUUAAAAGCAGCAUAAUUGGCUUAAACAAGAUAUACCUCUGCUUCAUAGGCUGUCUCGCAUUGUAUACUGAUAUCCACUGAGAGGCCGGAACUCCCAAGCGAAUCCUCUUCUUUUGUUGUCCUUCAUCCUCUUCGUCGGUAGUCAAUCUACCACGCUUCUGACCAACCUAACAGAUUAACCACCCAAAAUUCCAUCAUUGCAAGUAUAUAAAAAUUGACUAACAUGCAUAAAGUUGAAUUUACAAAGGACGCAUAGGGAGCAAUAUAUCACCUUUUGAGCUCCAUCAGUGUUAAUUGGCCUACUUGCAGGAUUUGGUCCAAUAAGACCAUCAAACAACGAUAUAAGCCUGGGGUAGUUCGGCUCUUCAUCAAACUUCAUGUUAACAACAAUCUCAAGAAAUUGCUUGAAGGGAGAAGGGCAGAAGCAACAAAGCAUCUCAGGUGAUGUAGCCAUCUUCUUCUUGCAAACGAGAAACGAUUUAUUGUCACCCUUCAACAGGAAAAGAAAAACAUAGUGAGUUUUGACGAUACAUUAUUAUGGCAAGUGAAUAGGAUGUUAAUGACGUUUAAAAACCUGGUAUCCUUGCCACGGUAAUCUUCCUCUGUGAAGAAAAAUGAGUGUAUAUGCAAGGGACUCUAAAUCAUCUCUUCUACUUGGAGUUCUUCCCAAAUGUGCAUGAGCACUAGCAUAUCGAACAGUCCCUCUACAAAAUAGAAAAGUCAGCUUUCGAAUAGAAUUCUACUAGAAUGUAACUUUUGAUUAAAUUUAGGACUAAUUACAAAUUUGUUCGCCUGAAAUUUGAUUCCAAUCUUACUUACGUACUCUAACAAUCAGUUUAACAAUUUAGUUGCCACUGUUUGUUCAGUAUAGCAGCUUAAGUCCUUCCGCUAGUCUAUGUCUAAAUAUACUACCAAGUCAGGAUCAUUCACUACUAGAACCUACCUUAUAAUAGCUGUAAUACCGUCUAACUGUACCAAUGAUGUUAACACGUACGUCUUUUCCAAAAAGUGAACUAGAGAACUUUAUUAGUAAUCUUGACAAACUUCAAGGGUUAAAUUGGUAAAAGUGAUACUCAAAAUAAAAUCAAGGCAGAACUUCAGCAGCCAACUUCAUAAUUAAACCAUGCAUUUAGUAAGAAAUGAAAGCACCAAUUUACCUGAAGACAUCUGGACGUUGGUCGUAUUCAACAUGCUGCCCAGUUCCAUUAUCUCUCCACCUUGUUGCUACAAAAUCAACAAUAUGCAAUCAAUAAAAUAACACAGCAUGUCAAAGACAAAAAAGAAAAAAAAAAUGUACAGCUCAUGUAAAAGACUAAGGGCCUUUUUUGCCCCAGGUGUACGAUGCAGUGACAUUCAACGAACUGUUGUUUGAGUAGUGAUGUUAGGAAAAGCACUGACUGCAUUCAAAUUGAAAUUCUUCCAACAGCACAAGCAGAAGCUCCAGAUUGAAGUUUCUGCUUUUGUGCCUGGAGAUCCCAUUUCUGCUUAACCCCACAAUAGACUAGAGUUGGCUCCAGUUGAAAGCAAAAGCAGAAGCUAAGACCAUAUGGGCACUAAGCUGCUAACGCUCUAAAAUAGAAUGCGUCCAUGUGAUGGAAAGGCCCACUAAUCAUCAUCCGGAUGGACUGGAAAAUGAGAAUUUACCUAAUCCAAGGUCUACGAGAAAUAAUUUCUUUUCUUGAGGAGUUGACGGCUGUCCAAGAAGAAAGUUCUCAGGUUUUACAUCUCCAUGUACAUACCUAAAAAAACAACAACAUCCAUCAAGAUCAACCCCAAGAAAGAGCUUAUCUUAAUACAGUCAAAGAUAAAAAAUGAAUAUUAAAGAUACUCAACAGUGACCAUCUCCUUACCCUUUAGAAUGCAUCUUUUCCAGAAUUGACAGGGACUCAACAGCAAUGCAAGCCACCAUUUCUGAUGACAUCCUGAAUAUUACAAAUAAACCAAAAGAAAACGAAUGACAACUUGAACAGAAAGAAAGUCAAUGGUGAUUAAAUCAUUCUACUUGUUUACUGUUAUGUAGCUGUUUUUCAGCCACAAAAAGGCCUAUCUGUUUUAGAAUGUUUGUUCCAAAACCACAACACAUGACAAAUAUAUAAAUGGACAACAGAAACAUGAUGCAAAUAAAUUGAAGAUCAGAAAAUUUCACAUAUUAUUAAACACUGAGCCAAAUGAUAUAAACUAGGGCACAUAUAGAAAAGUAAAGAAAGGGACAGGAAAAAAAAAGGUCAAUGUUUAAUCUCAACUGAAUUUAAUUCAAAACUGAACUAUGUUAAUCAAACUACAGAGUUGAGGUACAAUUCCCUCAAAACACAACAAAGAAACAGAAAAAAAAAGAUAAAUAAAAGGAUUACAAGACAAAGAAUAGCAUCCAGACUUGGAUGCACUGUGCAUAAGUGCGCUACACUAGAUGCAAGCUCAGCAUACUGCAGGCUAUUAGAGAAGCUUAAUAACGAGCAACACAGGAUUAAGGAACACAUCAAAAAUUCAAAAUACAAGACUACGUGUGAAAUAUGGCCAGGCAUUAGAGAGCCCUUUGAGCAACCAAGUCUUUUUGGACUGUUUUACAGCUGUCAUUAUCAAUGAGCAAGAAAUAAUUUAAGAAAUCAAAAAAUGACAUGAUAAACAGGAUGAUCAGAUACUCACGUUUGCCCUGAUGAAUUCCAUGCAUCCCACAAACUAGGUCCCAGCAUAUCCAUUAUCUGCAAGUUAUUGAUGGAAGAAAAAAAAAAUUAGUAAGAUUUUAGAAGAGACAAAAUUACUGCCGCUAAGGAGCCGCCUUAAAACCAUAACAGGAAAGAGAGAAUUAACAUGAUAAUAAGGUGAUGCACCUUAUGAAAAUAAAUGCAAAAGACAUCGGAGUAAACCAUACCAUUACAUAAAAUUCUCCCUGCCGCCCUUUAUAAUGCACCUUAGGCACACCAUGAAUGCCACCUAGAACACUGUUAAAAGAAAAUGCCACCACAUUAGUUCAACAACAGAAAAACAACAACGAGUAGACUUUCUUCAGACAAGAAGUUCCAAACUCACUUGUAAACUUGCCACUCGUAUGGUGGACCGUAGCUACAGCCUUUGCUUGUCCUAUGCUCAAAUUUUAUGGCAACCUGUUUAAAAAACAGACAUCAUCAGAUAAAAUCAAAUAAAUGUUAUUAAAUUGAAUAAAUAGUAGCGACAAAAAGUAGUGGAAAGGGGGGAAAUCACGCAUGAACUUCCAAAACAAGAACAUGCAAUCAUAAGCAGAAUAUAAACAGAAAAGGUACCUCUAGAGCACCAGGACCUGCUGCGCGUUCAUUGCCUCCAGAGACACGUCGACCAACAAAUACCUGACCAAACCCACCUUUCCCCAACUUCCUUUCGACCCGAUAGGUGGGAGACCCUCCUACCUGGACCUGAGAAAUAGACAAAGUAAAGAUUAGCCAUUGCCCACAUGACUGAUACCAUCUAAAUGCAGUAAUAGUAUGUUAGCUUAUUACCACAUAAGUAAAUUUGGAAAAAAAAAAAGGCAAUGAUAGAAGGAUCCAGAGCCAAAGAAAUUAAAAAGAGGAUUAGCAAUACAAAAGUUUUUCAACUCGCAACAAAAUCACACACAAAAACCAAAGAAUAAAGGACAUAAAACCAUAGCACAAACAAACUUUAGCGUUGAUCUAUGAUUAGAAAAGUUAAAGCACUAUUUUGAGAAGGAAAAUUAAGUACUACCUUCUGGAAACAAUUGAGAGUAGUGCAACCAAAAACAAUGCAGUCCAGAUAUUCAAAAAUUAAUAAAUUAAAUGAGAUAGCAGGGAAGAUAGUAAUAAGAGAGCAUAAGUGUGUAAUGUACUUAAGUGAGAGUAUUGAUAUCAAUAAACACAGGCACAUUAAAGAAACCGGAUACACGUCACCGAAGGGGAGCAAGGGCAAAGGGAGGGAAAAAGAAACCAAGAAAAUAAUUAAUAAGGAAUGAGAGAGAAAGAAGUGUAGCAAUACGGUUUAACAUACUGUUCUCAAUGUCAAAAAAAUGAGUUAAGCAAAAUACGGGCGCAAAAGUGGCAUCAAUGUAAUGAAAUCAAAUGAAUGAGUUGUCACUUUACACAUAGAGGGGUAAUGUUUUAACAUGGGAAGAGCCAUGAAAACCAAAAUAAUGGCUAUCAAUAUGGCUAUAAAUAGUAUUCAUUCAUAUAUAUAUCGCAACAAAAUUGACGAUGAUGUCUUAAACCUAUGAUGCUCACAUCAGCAAGUCUCCUGACAUAGUAUGUGUGUAUAAUAGAUGCUCUAUCGAAUGGACCCAGAUUUUCAAGAACAAGCAAGAAAACUCAUAGGACAAGAACCAAGCUUUUUUUAUUUUCCUGGAUGGAGAAAAUGAGGAGACAAAAGAGAGAAAAAGGAGAAAUAUUCUCCACAGAGCUUGUUUUCUUUCUCUCAAAAAGUGAAAAGAUCAUUUUCAUUCACUUUUUUCUAUUCAAUGUGUUCAAACAACAGAAGAGAAGUCAUUUUCUUCUCCUCUUUUCCUCUCCUUUUUUCUUCCUUUUCUUCCAUUUCUCUUCUAAUCUUUUCCAUUUUUUUUCAAAGGCUAAAACUGGAUACAAAUAUGCGAGAAGGAGAAAGAACAAGAACGGAGGCGAUUCUUACCUUCUCCGGGAAGGGAACCGUGUUCCCCUCCUCUUCGGCUCCGGCUCCAGCUCCGGCAACCCUAUUGGCGCUCAAUCCACCACUAUCGUUCCUCAUCUUCUCCUUCCCACAACCCCCGCCCUUGUCCUCCUCCUCCUCCCCCUCAAUCACCACCACCUCCUUCACCCGAUCCCCCUCCUCCUCCUCCCCCGCGUUCCUCCCCUUCCUCGGCCUCAACCCCGGCCUCCCCCCCUUCGCCGCUGCCGCUGCCGCGUUCUUCGGGGGCCGACCCCUCCGCCUCGCCACGGGCCGAUCCUCUACGACGGCCGCCGUAGGCGGCGGCGCUCUUCGUCCGCUCCGCAGCUCCGGCAUUCUCCGUCCAAUCCCCGCACCAUCUCCUCAAUCUCGCCUCAUCCCCUCCGCCAUUCCAAGGCCCCAAACCCUAGAAUCGGCUCCACCCGCGCGAUCGCCCAAAUCGCCCGACGUCUCCACCAAAUCUCUAGGGUUUCCAACAAAUCUUACCUCAAAAGAACGAUCGGAGAAGCGAUUCGAUCGCGAAAACCUACCAAAGAGCGAUCCAAUCACGCCGAUCCUUCGCCCCGCCCUCUUCUUGCUCGCGAUCGACCGGUCGAGAGCUCCCACGAGAGAGAGAGAGAGAGAGAAGCGAAUUAGGGGAAGCACCGCGACGGAGAUUGAGAGAGAGAGAGAGAGAGAGAGAGAGAACGAUAUCCUUGCGAUUGGGGGAGAAGCGCCCUUUUAUAGUAACCAGCAUCGGUGGUCGAGUGCGGUAAAUAAUGAGAUGUGGGGGGAGUGAAAACGCAGUGCGGGCGAGUUUCGCACGUGCCUUUCUUGAGGGAGCGCACGUGCGAGACUUGGCGGCAAAAAGGGUGGCGGGGUUUUUCCGUAAAUUUUUCACGAGCGCGGGAUCGGAUUAAUGGUGUUUAUUAAUUUUUUUAAUUUAUUAAUUUUUUACCGAUGAGCCAAAAGUGCUGCGCCGUACGAGUCUGAUCUGAUCCAAAUCUAAAAUAACGGGUGCGGCAAACCCAUGUUUGCUCCACCGACAUCAUAGUAUAUAGAUAAAAAAUUCAUAUACAAAAAUUAUUAAAUUUUUAUAUACAGGGUAAAAAAGUUGUACAAAAAUUAUUAAAUUAUUAAAUUUUUAUUAAUAAUAUGAUUAAUAAAAAAUUUGAAUUAGGCUACUAUACUAUCUAUAGUACGGGAGCUCCCAUACUAUAGUGUUGUUUUCGAUCUUAGAGCGUUCAAAUCAACGAUCCACAUCGUUAAAUAUGAUUUAGGGUAUAUGAAGUUCUUAGGAAUAAAAUUUUAGUUCUUUUCGAUAUCGUUUACUUAGUAAAUAAAUUAUGUCAAAAUGGACGGUGGGAAUUGAAUACUUUUUAAAAUUUGAGCCUAGGACUUUUAAAUUCAAGAUCAAGAAUGUUAACCUUAAUCUAGAUAGUUUAAAGCAUUUUCUAUCAAAAUUUGAAGAAAUUUAGAUUCUUCUACACCGUUAAACUCCAAACUCAUCAUAAUAGACAUUGAAAAUUGACAAUUUUGAAAUAUUUUAAUUAUAAAGUAAACUAUGUCGAAAAAAUAUAAAAUUUUAUUUCUAAAAACUUUAAAUACCCUAGAUCAGUUUUAACUGUCACGCCCCGGAUGUCACGUUCCCCGGGCAUGCCGACAAAUCCGCCGUAUACAAAGGAAAUUCCCCUGUAUACGAAGCGACAAUAGUACCUGCAAUCAUAUAAUACUACAAACAGUAGUAUUGAGCUGCUCGAGUAAACAAAAGCUACACCAACUGAGCUUCAUAUAUAUAGUUCAGAAUCCAAAAUACAGCGUUACUCGCACUGGCGAGUUAAGUACUAUGUACAUAAGCUCGAAGUAAAACAACUACCUGUAGUAGGGUGCCUCUAGCUCUGUCAGUCGGGUAGGGCUCUAACUCGCGACGCCCUUGCCUCGAUCCUGAUCCGCGGAAGGCGCAGCAGCUAAAACCUGUGGCUCUGCAAAACAGGGGUAACAACUGGGCGUGAGAACUACUAUAAAAACAAGUAGUCCUCAGUGGGUGCCGCCCAAAACAACAUCAGUCCACCCACUAAGUCUACAGAAGGGAGCAAGAAUAGUAGUAAAUGCAGGAAUAAAGUCUACCGCUAUCAAACACUACAUUAUCAUGCUCUACACUAACCAACUGUAAAAAAAUGUCCAAUCUGACCCAAUCCAAUCGGGACUGUAAGCAUACCCGUCCCCGGGACUGUGAAUACACCCGUCCCUGCCCCGUUGCGACUAUCGGGCUCUAUCCACACUAACUGGUCCGUAGAGAGCAAGUCCAACUGGCAUGAGCGACACCAACGCGAAAGCACAAAGCCUGACUCCGGAGUGGCACUCGUGGGCGCUACCCAACCGAGUAUGCAGCGUAUCUCUGUCGAGCUCAAACAGGCUCUGAAAAGCCAAAGUCAAGUAACCGACUCAAACUGGUCUAACCACCAACAGGUAAUGUGCCCUCGGCACAAUCUGACGCCAAAAAGGCGAUACGGGUCCACCGUCAACUCUGACGGCACCCACCAGUCGGGAACAACCUGAACGAUCCUGUAAAAAUCCACUCGGCGCACCAGCACGAGCGUAAAUGUAAUCUAAACUACCUGGAGUACUCGUCUCGAAAAUACUGCGACAGUACAAUUUAAUAACGGCUCCUAGAGCUAAAUCAGGCAGUUUAAACGAGUGACAGGUCCAAAUCGCAGGUUUUCUCCUAAUUCAAUUUCCAAGUCCAACAUGUAUAACCUACUUAAUUUAUUACCACAUGCUCCAAAUUCAGAUUUGCAAUCUACGAUAUAAUCCAUGAAUUCGAGCUAGAAUAGAGUAUCCAAAGGUCGAAAAUUAUACAUGCCGACGAAUAUGAACUUAGGAGUAAAAACCGAUGUAACCCACCUCUCAAGCAACUCCUGGCAGCGAAGAAAACGUUAAAUCCGACCAAGCUAACCUUAUCCAAAUUCAGCAAACAAGGGUCCUGAAGCUUUGUCUUGAAGUCACGAAUCCAAUGGCCCAGGUUUCGCUGAAUUCUGACGCUCCUACGCAGAGAACGGGCCAGAAUACGAAACGUCGACGCUGGAACCUGCGAAACAGCAUCUCUGAAAUCUGCUCGGCAAACAACAGCCUAGUAAAACUAGGGUUUGACAGGGCAAACCUGCUCCAAAAAUCGCGAUCUUGGGCUCAGAAUCUUCGUCUCGAAGUCGCGAAUCUAACACGUCAAAUUUCGUCGCGUUUCGACACUCCUACACAGAGAACUAGGUAAAACACGGCGGGUCGAUGCUGGAAUCAGCAAUCAGCACUUCAGAGUCUGCUCGGCAAACAGCAACUCAGUAAAAAGAGAUUUCAACAGAGAAAACCUUCUCCAAAUUGGGCGAGUAAGGAUCCUAUGAAUUCGUCUCGAAGUCCCGGUUCCAACGAACCAAAUCUCGUCGAAAUCCGAUGCUCCUACGUCGCGUACGAGCUGAAAUACUAACAGUCGACGACAAGAUCCUGCGAAUCAGCACUUAAGCUCGAAUUGAAUGAAGCUUGAAGUAGAGAAGAAAUCCAUAGAGGAAUGAGAGAUUACCCACCUCAACCAGCGACUCCAAUUCCGGCACGGCGUCGAGAACGACGAAAACACUCCCUCGCCCGGCCUCCUCGCUAAACUACGGCGACGCACGUAUGCUCGGACGGCUCGGCGACGCGACGUCGGCGACGAACGCUCCACCCAAGCUCCUCCUCCUUGCGUAUGGCUCCAGAGACAGAUAGGGAGGAAAUUUAAUUAAAGAGGUGUUGGUUGCAACCCUCAAUUAAAAUGGAUAAGCAUGCAUGCAUGGGAGGGGGGUACGUGGCAGCAUCCAUAUAUAUAUAUAUAUAUAUAUAUAUAUAUAUAUGAGGAUACUACAUUCUGAGAGCCCAAUUCCCAUGUUCUUUACAACUCAAUAUCUUGCAAAGCACAGUAACAACUGGUUUAUUCUAAUUCUCAGUUAUUUUCAUCUUAGUUUUAUUAAGUCAGUUUCAUUCUGUGGAAUUAAACACAAAUAUUUAGAUCUGACCGUUAGCGGAAGCUUGUCGGGUCUUUGUCGCACACGAUCGAUCCGGAAUUAACGGAGGUUGGAUUACGGACCCGUCAUAAUCGGAGGUCUUGCUAUGAUCAGCUUUGCGGUAGACCUAACUACGAACGAGUUUACGUCUUGAUUCCAUUGUUCAAGAUUCCUUGGAACCCUUGAUGUGAAUGGAGAAUGCGGAUGUAAAUUUUCGUCCACAACCCCUUUGAUGGGAUUUAAUCUUAUACCAACUCUUUAUGUAUCAGGCUCUUAAUGCCAACCGUUGAUGUGAAUGGAAAAGCUGAUUUUCUUUGGAACUAAAAGGACAAAAAAUUUUAAAAAUUUUUUUAUGAAAAAACUAUUUUUUCGAAACUAUUUUUUCACGCUUUUUCGAAAAACCGAAUAACCCCUUAUAAAUAUUAUCUGAAGCUGUUAGGGAGAUAAGUGCCUCAUCUUUCAAUUUUUUAGCAGGACGAAUAUCUGAUCAAGUUUUAGGAUCAAAUCAGGUGAUGCGCACAUUUGAUCCGACCCAUCCAACCAAAUUCUAACUCGUCCAAUCCUGGCUUGACUUGGACUGAAUUUAUCAAAUCUAUUUAGCCUAAUUUCCGUACUACCACAUUAAAUUUGUACCACGUGCUGAGAGUGGAUAGCACAUGUAAAGGGAGCAUAUUGGCUUCCUUUUUGUUCGAAAAUUAUUAGGAACUAAUUAUAUCGGAGAUAGAUAAGUACGAAUAUGAGUUUUUGUAAGAAUAAAAAUAUUUUUUUAUUUAGAUAAAAAUAUGAGAAUAAGAUGGAAUUAGAAAAAUUAUGUUUGGAUGGUUAUUGGGAAUAAGAGGAUUAAUUGUUAGUUAUAAAUAAAAAAUAAUGAUAUUACCCAUAUAAUUGAAUUUAAAUUUUUAAAUUUUAAAUUUAUAAUUUUAAAAUAAAAAUUAAANCCUCUGUCUGUGGGUGAAAAGCAGUGCUGAAAUGUAACUGAGUCCCCAAAGUUGUCUGUAAACUCCUCCAGAAAUGCGACACAAACCUCGGGUUUCGGUCUGAUACAAUCGAUACUGACACGCCGUGCAGCCUGAUGAUCUCAUCAAGGUAUAGCUGCGCGAGUCUCUCUCUGGACCAGAUGGUCUGAACCCGUAAGAAGUGAGCAGACUUGGUCAGUUUGUCCACUAUCACCCAAAUCGCAUCAAAGCCACCCUGCGCUCUAGGCAAUACCACGACAAAGUCCAUCGUAAUCUACUCCCACUUCCACUCGGGCACUGGCAGACUCUGAAGCUUGCCAGCAGGUACCUGAUGCUCGUCCUUCACCUGUUAACAAGUCAAACACUGAGCCACAUAUCUGCCAAUGUCUCUCUUCAUUCCAUUCCACUAAAACUGUGCCUUUAAGUCCUUAUACAUCUUGGUUCCACCUGGGUGUACUGUAUAAGGUGAACAAUGAGCCUCUCUCAAGAUGUCAUCUCGGAUCCCUGAAUCCACCGGCAUACACAGUCGGUUCCUGUACCGCAGUACUCCCGAACUGUCCAAAGAAAACCCUCAGUCUGCCCCUCCGUCUGGCUGCUCUCUAAUCCUGAACAAGUACGGAUCUCCACUCUGUUUCUCUCGGAUCCUAUCCAACAGAGUGGGCUGUAAAACUAGAGACGUCAGCCUCGCCGUAGACCCAGGGGUACUAUCUCGAGUCCCAGCCGCUGUAGCUCCUCGAGUUGGGGUCUCUGCUUAGUGAUCCUCAAACUCAGGCUCUGCACUGCCUUCCUGCUCAACGCAUCUGCCACCACAUUCGCCCUGCCGGGAUGAUACUGAAUACUAAUGUCAUAGUCCUUCAGUAACUCCAACCACCGGCGCUGCCUCAGGUUCAGCUCCCUCUGUGUGAACAGAUACUUGAGACUUUUAUGAUCGGUGAAGACCUCGCAGUGCUCGCCGUACAAGUAAUGCCGCCAGAACUUCAAAGCAAAGACUACCGCUGCAAGCUCCAAAUCAUGCGCAGGGUAAUUCUUCUCAUAAUCCUUUAACUGCCAUGAAGCAUAAGCAAUCACCCUACCAUGCUGCAUCAGCACGCAACCAAGUCCACUGUGCGAUGCAUCACUGUAGAUCACGAAUCCCUAGACUGAUUUUUCGGACUCGUACGCGGCAUUAUGAGUUCACGGAUGCUUUUGGAUUGACGAAUGCCCUGCCGAUUCAUGGUUUUGGAUGAAUAGAGUGUUCAAGCCAUCUUGAUAGGUUUGUGGUAGUCUUCAUCAUGAUAUCCUAAUAUACAUCCCGGGAAUGAUCUGAGCAGAGGAGCACUUCGAGGAUUGUGCUAACAGCUUCUGCGAGCGAGAAAGAAGUUUGUAUACUAAGUUAAAAGAAGUGGCGAGUUCUGGCUACGGGAAGUUGCUUUCUAGCCACGUGAUUUUCAGCUGAGGGCGUUUAGCCAGUGCCAAGAAGAUUGAGGCGAUUCGAGAUUGGCCUAGACCAACGACGGUGACGGAGGUACGGAGCUUCCUGGGACUGGCAGGAUAUUACGUCAGUUUGUGGAAGGCUUUGCGAAGCUUUCCACACCACCCCUCACACGCUUGACGGCGGAAGGGGAUUCGUUUUGUCUUGAGCGACGACUGUCAGAGGAGCUUUGACGAGUUGAGGUUGAGGUUGACGUCGGCUCCUAUCCUUGCCCUUCCGGUGAUGGGGGAUGGAUUCGUGAUCUACAGUGAUGCAUCGCACAGUGGAACUUGUUGCGUUGCUGAUGGCAGCAUGGUAGGGUGAUUGCUUAUGCUUCAUGCAGUUAAAGGAUUAUGAGAAGAAUUACCCUGCUACUGAUUUGGAGCUUGCAGCGGUACUCUUUGCUUUGAAGUCUGGCGGCAUUACUUGUACGGCGAGCACUGCGAGGUCUUCACCGAUCAUAAAAAGUCUCAAGUAUCUGUUCACACAGAGGAGCUGAACCUGAGGAGCGCCGGUGGUUGAGUUACUGAACGACUAUGACAUUAGUAUUCAGUAUCAUCCCGGCAGGGCGAUAUGUGGUGGCAGAUGCGUUGAGCAGGAAGGCAGGUGCAGAGCCUGAGUUUGAGGAUCACUAAGCAGAGACCCAACCAACCGAGGAGCUACAGCGCUGGGACUCGAGAUAGUACCCCUGGGUCUACGGCGAGGCUGACGUCUCAGUUUUACAGCCCACUCUGUUGGAUAGGAUCGAUAGAAACAGAGUGGAGAUCGUACUUGUUCAGGAUUAGAGAGCAGCCAGACGGAGGGGCAGACUGAGGGUUUUCUUUGGACAGUUCGGGAGUACUGCGGUACAGGAACGACGUGUAUGGCCGGUGGAUUCAGGGAUUCCGAGAUGACAUCUUGAGAGAGGCUCAUUGUUCACCUUAUACAGUAACACCCAGGUGGAACCAAGAUGUAUAAGGAACUUAAAGGCACAGUUUUAGUGGAAUGGAAGAAGAGAGAGCAUUGGCAAUAUGAUGCUCAGUGUUUGACUUGUUAACGAGGUGAAGGACGAGCAUCAGGUACCUGCUGGCAAGCUUCAGAGUCUGCCAGUGCCCGAGUGGAAGUGGGAGUAGAUUACGAUGGACUUUUUGUCGGUAUUGGCCUAGAGCGCAGGGUGGCUUUGAUGCGAUUUGGGUGAUAGUGGACAAACUGACCAAGUCUGCUCACUCUUACGGGUUCAGACCAUCUGGUCCAGAGAGAGACUCGCGCAGCUAUACCUUGAUGAGAUCAUCAGGCUGCACGGCGUGUCAGUAUCGAUUGUAUCAGACCGAAACCCGAGGUUUGUGUCGCAUUUCUGGAGGAGUUACAGACAACUUUGGGGACUCAGUUACAUUUCAGCACUGCGCUUUUCACCCACAGACAGAGGGUCAGUCAAGAGCGGACCAUACAGACUCUAGAGGACAUGCUGGAGGGCAUGCGUCCUAGAUUUCUUGGAGGAGGAUGGUAUCGACAUGUGAGACUGGUUGAGUUUGCGUACAACAACAAGCUAUCAAACAAGCAUUCAGAUGGCUCCGUUUGAGGCAUUGUAUGGACGCAGAUGUCGAUCCCCCUGUUUUGGAGUGAUGUGGGUGAGCGGAGGACACUGGACCGGAGAUUUUACUUGAGGCUGAGGAAAAGGUGAGAGUCGUCCGCACACUUCUGACAGCACAGAGCCGACAGAGGAGCUACGCCCGAUAUCAGGAGACGAGACUUAGAGUUUUCAGGUUGAGAUCAUGUUUUCUCAAAGUCUCACCGUCCAGAGGGAUACGCCGUUUUGGGAGUACGUGGAAAGCUUAGUCCACGGUUUGUGGCCCUUUCGAUGUAUUAGAGCGUAUCGGACCGUGUGGCUUACAGGAUAGCUCUACUCCCCCGCACUUGCUGGCACCACGAUGUUUUCCACGUCUCAGCAUUGAGGAGAUACGUUUUCGACCCCUCAUCACGGAUUGACUUCACUCCACUAGAAGAUUGGAGAGGAUCUAAGAUACGAGGAGCGACCGGUGCGGAUUCUUGCUCGUGAGACGAAAAAUUGCGCAACCGGGUCAUCCCGUAUGUAAAGGUGCAGUGGAGUAAUCACGAGGAGAGGGAGGCGACUUGGGAGCCCAAGACGAUGAUGAGGGAGUCCUAUCCCGACCUAUUCGUUGCCCUGUCUUGAGGUAUAUUUUAAGUUUCGAAGGACGAAACUUUUUGUAGUGGGGGAGAAUUAGUAUCCUCAUAUAUAUAUAUAUAUAUAUAUAUAUAUAUUAUAUAUAUAUAUAUAAAUAUAUAUAUAUAUAUAUUAUAUAUAAUAUAAUUAUAUGGAUCUGCCACGUACCCCCCUCCCAUGCAUGCAUGCUUAUCAUUUUAAUUGAGGUUGCAACCAACACCUCUUUAUUAAAUUCCUCCCUAUCUGUCUCUGGAGCCAUACGCAAGGAGGAGGAGCUUGGGUGGACCGUUCGUCGCCGACGUCGCGCGCGGAGCCGUCGAGCAUACUGCGUCGCCGUAGUUUAGCAAGGAGGCCGGGAGGGAGUGUUUUCGUCGGUCUCGACGCCGUGCCGGAAUUGGAGUCGCUGGUUGAGGUGGGUAAUCUAUCUCUCAUUCCUCUAUGGAUUUCUUCUCUACUUCAAGCUUCAUUUCAAUUCGAGCUUAAGUGCUGAUUCGCAGGAUCUUGUCGUCGACUGUUAGUAUUUCAGCUCGUACGCGACGUAGGAGCAUCGGAUUUCGACGAGAUUUGUUCGUUGGAACGGGACUUCGAGACGAAUUCAUAGGAUCCUUACUCCCAAUUUGGAGAAGUUUUCUCUGUGAAAUCUCUUUUUACUGAGUUGCUGUUUGCCGAGCAGACUCUGAAGUGCUGAUUGCUGAUUCCAGCAUCGACCCCGUGUUUUACUAGUUCUCUGUGUAGGAGUGUCGAACGCGACGAAAUUUGACGUGUUAGAUUCGCGACUUCGAGACGAAGAUUCUGAGCCCAAAGAUGCGAUUUUUGGAGGCAGUUUGCCCUGUCAAACCCUAGUUUUACUAGGCAUGUUGUUGCCGAGCAGAUUUCAGAGAUGCUGUUUCGCAGGUUCCAGCGUCGACGUUUCGUAUUCUGGGCCGUUCUCUGGUAGGAGCUAGAAUUCAGCGAAACCUGGGCCAUUGAUGCGUGACUCAAGACAAAGCUCAGGACCCUUGUUUGCUGAAUUUGGAUAAGGUUAGCUUGGUCGAAUUUACGUUUUUCUUCGCUGCCAGGAGUUGCUUGAGAGGUGGGUUACAUCGGUUUUUACUCCUAAGUUCAUAUUCGUCGGCAUGUAUAAUUCUUCGACCUUUGGAUACUCUAUUCUAGCUUCGAAUUCAUGGAUUUAAUCGUAGAUUGCAAAUCUGAAUUUGGAGCAUGUGGUAAUAAUUAAGUAGGUUAUACAUGUUGGACUUGGAAAUUGAAUUAGGAGAAAACCUGCGAUUUGGACCUGUCACUCGUUUAAACUGCCUGAUUUUAGCUCUAGGAGCCGUUAUUAAAUGUACUGUCGCAGUAUUUUCGAGACGAGUACUCCAGGUAGUUUAGAUUACAUUUACGCUCGUGCUGGUGCGCCGAGUGGAUUUUUACAGGAUCGUUCAGGUUGUUGCCGACUGGUGGGUGCCGUCGAGAGUACGUGGACCCGUAUCGCCUUUUUGGGCGUCAGAUGUGCCGAGGGCACAUUACCUGUUGGUGGUUAGACCAGUUUGAGUCGGUUACUUGACUUUGGCUUUUCAGAGCCUGUUGAGCUCGACAGAGAUACGCUGCAUACUCGGUGGGUAGCGCCCACGAGUGCCACUCCGGAUCAGGCUUUGUGCUUUCGCGUUGGGUGGUCGCUCAUGCCAUUGGAGACUUGCUCUCUACGGACCAGUUAGUGUGGAUAGAGCCCGAUAGUCGCAACGGGGCAGGGACGGGUGUAUUCACAGUCCCGGGGACGGGUAUGCUUACAGUCCCGAUUGGAUUGGGUUCAGAUUGGACAUUUUUUUCAGUUGUUAGUGUAGAGCAUGAUAAUGUAGUGUUUGAUAGCGGUAGACUUUUAUUCCUGCAUUUACUACUAUUCUUGCUCUCCUCUGUAGACUUAGUGGGUGGACUGAUGUUGUUUUGGGCGGCACCCACUGAGGACUACUUGUUUUUAUAGUAGUUCUCACGCCCAGUUGUUACCCCUGUUUUGCAGAGCCACAGGUUUUAGCUGCUGCGCCUUCCGCGGAUCAGGAUCGAUGCAAGGGCGUCGCGAGUUAGAGCCUACCCGACUGACAGAGCUAGAGGCACCCUACUACAGGUAGUUGUUUUACUUCGAGCAUUAAGUACAUAGUACUUAACUAGCCAGUGCGAGUAACGGCUGUAUUUUGGAUUCUGAACUAUAUAUAUGAAGCUCUGUUGGUGUACUUUUGUUUACUCGAGCAGCUCAAUACUACUGUUUGUAUAUAUAUGAUUGCAGGUACUAUGUCGCUUCGUAUACAGGGGAAUUUCCUUUGUAUACGGCGGAUUUGUCGCAUGCCGGGGAACGUGACAUCCGGGGCGUGACAGUUAAAACUGAUCUAGGGUAUUUAAAGUUUUUAGAAAUAAAAUUUAUAUUUUUUCGACAUAGUUUACUUUAUAAUUAAAAUAUUUCAAAAUUGUCAAUUUAUCAAUGUCUAUUAUGAUGAAUUUGGAGUUUAACGUGUAGAAGAAUCUAAAUUUCUUCAAAUUUGAUAGAAAAUACUUUAACUAUAUAGAUUAAGGUUAACAUUCUUGAUCUUGAAUUUAAAAGUCUAGGCUCAAAUUUUAAAAGUAUUCAAUUCCCACCGUUCCAUUUUGACAUAAUUUAUUUACUAAGUAAACGAUAUCGAAAAGAACUAAAAUUUUAUUCCUAAGAACUUCAUAUACCCUAAAUCAUAUUUAACGUAUGGGAUCGUAUGAUUGAACGCUCUAAGAUCGAAAACAACACUAUAUGUAUGGGAGUCCCGUACUAUAGAUAGUAUAUGUAGCCAAUUCAAAUUUUUAUUAAUCAUAUUAUUAAUAAAAUUUAAUAAUUUAAUAAUUUUUGUACAACUUUUUUACCCUGUAUAUAAAAAUUUAAUAAUUUUUGUAUAUGAUAUUUUUUAUCUAUAUACUAUGAUGUCGGUGGAGCAAACAUGGGUUUGCCGCACCCGUUAUUUUAGAUUUGGAUCAGAUCAGACUCGUACGGCGCAGCACUUUUGGCUCAUCGGUAAAAAAUUAAUAAAUUAAAAAAAUAAUAACACCAUUAAUCCGAUCCCGCGCUCGUGAAAAAUUUACGGAAAAACCCCCACCCUUUUUGCGCCCAAGUCUCGCACGUGCGCUCCCUCAAGAAAGGCACGUGCGAAACUCGCCCCGACUGCGUUUUCACUCCCCCACAUCUCAUUAUUUACCGCACUCGACCACCGAUGCUGGUUACUAUAAAAGGCGCUUCUCCCCCAAUCGCAAGGAUAUCGUUCUCUCCUCUCUCCUCUCUCUCUCUCUCAAUCUCCGUCGCGGUGCUUCCCCUAAUUCGCUUCUCUCUCUCUCUCUCUCUCGUGGAGCUCUCGACCGGUCGAUCGCGAGCAAGAAGAGGCGGGGCGAAGGUCGGCUGUUGAUUGGANNNNNNNNNNNNNNNNNNNNNNNNNAGUGACCCGAGAAGAUUGAGGCGAUUCGAGAUUGGCCUAGACCAACGACGGUGACGGAGGUACGGAGCUUCCUGGGACUGGCAGGAUAUUACGUCAGUUUGUGGAAGGCUUUGCGAAGCUUUCCACACCCCUCACACGCUUGACGGGAAGGGGAUUCGUUUUGUCUUGAGCGACGACUGUAGAGGAGCUUUAGACGAGUUGAGACUUUGAGGUUGCGUCGGCUCCUAUCCUUGCCCUUCCAGGUGAUGGGGAUGUCUUGGGAACAUCCUCGGCCCUCACCCUCAACUGGUGGUAACCUGACUGGAGAUCAAUCUUCGAGAAGACAUAAGAUCCCUGCAGCUGAUCAAACAAAUCAUCAAUGCGCGGCAAGGGAUACUUAUUCUUGAUGGUCACUUUAUUCAGCUCCCGGUAAUCUACACAUAACCUGAGCGAACCAUCCUUCUUCUUAACAAAUAACACUGGCGCUCCCCAAGGCGACACACUGGGUCUCACAUAUCCCUUGUCCAUCAAAUCCUGAAGCUGCGCCUUUAGCUCUCUCAGCUCAGCCGGCGCCAUCCGAUAAGGUACCUUUGAGAUUGGUGUAGUUCCAGGAACUACAUCAAUCACAAACUCAAUCUCCCUCUCCGGCGGCAAUGUCGUCAACUCAAGGGGAAAUACAUCCGGAAACUCGCGGACUACUGGAAUAUCCUCGAGUCCCGGUGCCGUCGUAGGUACCUCCACAACUGUCGCUAAGAAAGCAAUACACCCGCUACUCAGCAUCUGUCGAGCCCUCGCCGAAGAAAUCCAUGGAGGAAUGAGAGAUUACCCAUGGAUCAUUGAUUUGAACGCCCGAAAAUCGAAAACAACACUAUAGUACGGGAGCUCCCGUACUAUAGAUAGUAUAGUAGCCGGACUCUAAAAAAUUUAUAUAUAAAAAUUAAUAGAUUUUUAUAUACGGUAUAAAAAAAAUUGUAUACCGAGCAUAUAAGACAUGAACCAAACUUUUUUAAAAAAUAAGUAUCGCGAUCAAUCCUAUUUUUUUAAUAGUAUACGAUAUGAACAAACCUUUUUUAAAAAAAAUGUUGUGCACGAAAUAUAAAAGAUACGAACCAAACCUUCUAUUUUUUAAUUUAAUAAUAUAAUUGAUAAAAAAAUUACAUACGAAAAUUAAUAGAUUUUUAUAUACGGUGUAAAAAAAAUUGUACACCGAGCAUAUAAUACAUUUUUUUAAAAUAAUUAUUGCAUAGAUUAAUCCUAUUUUUUAAUAGUAUCUUUUUUUUUUAAUAUUAUAAGACGUGAACCAAACCUUUUUUUAAAAUAAUUAUCGUAUGGACAAACCUUAUUUUUUAAUAGUCAAUAUAACAAAAUUAAAAUUUUAUCUAUUAAAUACAAUCUAUAAUUAAUAAAUAUUUUUGCUGUAUCGUAUGAACCAACCCUAUUUUUUAAUAGUAUAAUUAAUAAAAAAAUCCCAUACAAAAAUUAAUAGAUUUUUAUAUACGGUGAAAAAAAAAUUGUAUACCGAGUAUGUAAGAUAUGAACCAAACUUUUUUUAAAAAUAAUUAUCGCAUGGAUCAACCCUAUUUUUUAAUAGCAUAAUACAUAAACCAAAACUUUUUUAAAAUUAAUUAUCUCAUGAACCAACACUAUUUUUUAAUAGUUACUAUAACAAAAUUAAAAAUUUCAUCUAAUAAAUACAAUUUAUAAUUAAUAAAAAACUAAUAUAAUUUAAUUGUAUUUAAUAUUGUAAAAUUUCUAAAAUGAAUGUGCUUUAUAUAAAGUUAGCGCGAAAUAUUGUAUCUAAUUUGUCGGGAUAUAUUUUCUACUUCGUAUAUUACUAUAUAUUUUUAUAUACUCAUAAAAUUAUACAUAUCUAAAUAAAUAAAUAUUGUGCAAAUUAAUUAAAAUAUUUUUUUCUCGCAGCAUUGCGCGGGCCCUUAGCUAGUAUAUCAUAAAUUCAAAACACAUGCACCUACUACAAUAUAGUUAGAAAGCAUGCAUAAUAAGUUCAAAAUCUUAUAAUGAAAUAAACGAAGCGGGUAGCGUGCUACUUAUCUCUCAAAAAAAAAAAAGAAAAAAAAAGUUCAAAAUCUUAUAAUGAAAAGAUGAGUAUCAAGGUUUUUUUUCUCUUUGGUUUCAGUUGACGGUCAGAUAUUUUACCGAGUCGGUGUCAAGAUUCGAAUAUGAAAACUAUCUCAGACCCUACCCACCAAAGGGUCAGGUCCAGAUCAGGUCCGAGUGGGUAUGAUUAUGAAGUAUUCAAAUCUAUACCGGAUGCAUACCAAAAAUAUAAUAAUAAUAGAAGUGGUGUUGGGUAGGUGGAACCAGUUGUAUCAGUUGGCUUGAUCGACCAGACUACACACUAGAUCGACCGUCCGAUUGAUCUAAGCUGAGUCCAGAUUGCUAGAUCGGGGAUCUGCUCCAACGGUGCUCAAUAGUGGCUUGAUCUGAUUUUUCAAGUUCAAAACUACAACAUUCACAAAACAAAAAACCUUCCCUAUUCCAUUUCUAAGUCAUAAAAUUUUCCACUUAGGGUGUGUUUGGAUCCCUGUUAAAUUCCUUCGAAAAAAAAUUUUCGGUGGAAAAUUUGUUUUUCCUUGUAUGGUUGUCUGUAAAAAUUUUUUUGGAAAAGUUAUUUUACAGAUUUCUAGGAAAAAUUCAGCUUUUCGUUUUCCGCUUGCCGUCCGCGGAAAACGAAAAGCUACAGGAAAAUAUCGCGGCGUUUGGCGCGAAGGGGAGCAACGGGAUGACGCGGUCCACAAGACCACUUUGGCCUCGUAGACCGCGUCGGAGGGAGGUCCACAGCAGCCCUUGUGUUUCUAAUUUUCUAAUCACCCAUCAAGUUUGAUGGGUGGUUAGAAUGAGAGAGGGAGAAAAUAUUGGGGAGAAAUUGGGUAUUUCAAUUUCUCUUCUUAUUAAAUUUCUCUUUAAUAUCUCCUCUGUCUCUCUCAUUCUAACCACCAAUCAAACUUGAUGGGUGGUUAAAAAGUUAGGAGUAUAAGGGCUGUUGUGCUCCUAAUAGCACAGUAGUCCUGCUCUAUAUAUAUAUAUACUAGCUGAGUGUACGUGCAAAUACACGUAACAAUUAUUUUAAUUUAUUUUAAAUCAAUAUAAAUUUGCACAUUAUAUUUAUUUAAAAAUUUAUUAAUUUAUUAAUUCAUAUGUUAUAUUUUAUUAGAAAAUAUUUGUAAUAUUCUAUAUUUUUUUACAUAUAUUAAAUAUUUAUAUAUAUUUUUUGAUUUCUGAUGAUCUAAAAUUUAAAUAUGUGUUUUAAACAAAAAGCAUCAAAAUUUAAUUCAUAUUUAUUUCAAAAUUUAAAAUUUAAUUUUUAUCCACUAUAAUUAAAAUUUUGGAUAAGAAUGCUAUUUUAUUAGCAAAUUAUCAUUUGAAAUCCACUAUCAUCACAUUUCUCACACACUUUUUCAUAUGUCCAAAUCAAGGCUUAUAUAUAGAGUGAAAAGUAAUGAGCAGUGUCUUUUCAAAUAUGAAAAAAAGCAAAUUAUCUUUUGAAAUCAAAUAACUACCUUUAUUAUGAAAGUAUGUGUCCUUUUAUUAGCAACUAAAAUUUUGAAUUAAUUAAAUAAAUAUUUCUGCAUUCAGACCUUUAUUAAUUUUGCAUGAGAAAGACAAGUUGAGAUGACGAUGAUGGCACAGAGUGGAAACAAAGAAGAAGAAAGAACGGAGGACGGGAAGAGAGGGAGAUUAAAAUUAUAGUGGAAGAUAGGGCGGAGGAUUUAAUUCAUUUUUUUAAAAAAUUAAUUUCAAUUGUAAAAAAUAGUAAAAGUAUAUGAAAAUCCUACCAACUGUCAUGAAAUUAUUAAAAUAAAUUAACAAUUUGAUCCAAAAGUGACGUAAGAUUAUUGAGAGAAAACUAAAACUAACAUAACAAAUAAUUCUUUAACUCGAAAAGGCACGACAAUAAAUAUUCAUAAACGAAAUCAACUUUUGAACAUUUAUUUUCAAAGUAAAUGCAUUAUAAUAAUGUUAUUAAAGUAUGAAUAAUCUUGAUAUAUUGUCACGCCCCGGAUUACACUUUCCCCGGGCACGCCGACAAAUCCGCCGUAUACAAAGGAAUUUCCCCUGUAUACGAAGCGUUAGCUGUACCUGUAAAUCAAACACUACUACGAACAGUAGUAGAGAGCUGCUAGAGAAAACAGAAGCUAAACAAACUGAGUUUCAUAUACAUAGUCCAUAUCCAAAAUACAAAGCUACUCGCACUGGCGAGUUAAGUCCACUAUGUACAUAAACUCGAAACAAAACAUCUACCUGCAGUAGGGUGCCUCUAACUCUGCACGUCGGGUAGGGCUCUAACUCGCGACGCCCUUGCCUCGAUCCUGAUCCGCGGAAGGCGCAGUAGCCGAAACCUGUGGCUCUGCAAAACAUAGGUAACAACUGGGCGUGAGAACUACUGUAAAAACAAGUAGUCCUCAGUGGGUACCGCCCAAAACGACAUCGGUCACCCACUAAGUCUACAGAAGGGAGCAAGGAUAGAAGGAAAAGCAGGAAGUACACUCUAUCGCUAUCAUCCACUACACUAUCAUGCUCUACAUUAACCGACUGUAGGAAAUGUCAAAUCUGACCCAAUCCAAUUGGGACUGUAAACAUACCCGUCCCUGGGACUGUGAACACACCCGUCCCUGCCCCGUUGCGACUAUCAGGCUCUAUCCACACUAGCUGGUCCGUGGAGAGCAAGUCCAACUGGCAUGAGCGACACCAACGCAAAAGCACCGCGCCCGCCUCCGGAGUGGCACUCGUGGGAGCUACCCAACCGAGUAUGCAGCGUAUCUCUGUCGAGCUCAAACAGGCUCUCUAACUCAAGCCGAAGUCCAGUAACAACUCUGACUAGUCUAAAUACAACAAACAACGUGCCCUCGGCACAAUCCGACGCCAAAACGGCGAACCGGGCCCACCGUCAGUCCCGACGGCGCCCACUAGUACGAAACAGUCUAAACGACCUCAGAAAAAUUCACUCGGCAUACCAGCACGAGCGUAAAUGUAUUCUAAACUACCUGGAGUACUCGUCUACAGUAUGCUGCGACAGUACAAUUCUAUAACGGCUCCUAGAGCUAAAUCAGGCAGUUUAAUACAUAUGUCGAUUCCAAUCGCGUUUUCUCCUAAGUUUAAACCCAGUCCAACAUGUAUAUUUAAAAGGUAAUAAUCAUGUUAUAUAUGCAGCAUUUAUCCAGGAUAUCAUUAUGAAAAACGAACUACAACAUGAUUUACCGAACAGAAAAUCAUACAUGUCGACUAUUACUACACUUAGGAAUAAACCGAUGUAAACCCACCUUAGUCGCUAAUUCUGGCAGCAAAACACCCUCACAGCUGCAGCACCACCUGCUGGUCGAUCUACACCCUCCAAAUCCGGGAGUCGAGCUAACACCACGCUCUACAAAGCACAAAUCACCGUUUCAGUCCCAAAAUUCGCAACAGUCAGGUACAGCACGGAUUCGACCAAUCUAACCUCAACGAAAUCUGGCAAGUAAGGGCUUCGUGGAUUCCUCUCGAAGUCCUGAAUCCAGCGAAUCAAGCCUCGUCGAAAUCCGACGCUCCUACGUCGAGUACGAGCCGAAACGCCAACGGUCGACGCUGGAAAUCUGCAGGGACAGCAACUAGCUCGAAAUUGAAAAAGCUUGGAAAUUAGGAAGCAAUUCUAUGGAACACCCACCUCGACGGCGACUAGCACUGGCGCGACGUCAAGAACGGCGAAGAUCCACGCUCGCCCGGCCUCCUCACGAUGCAACGGCAGCAACCGUAGGUUCGAACGGCUCUGCGGUGCGACGUCGACGGCGAAAUCGGCUCCGCGGCGGCGUCCCUCGCGUGCUUCCUUGGUACGGCCGAACGAAAGAGAAAAGGAGAGAAGAGAGGAGAUAAACUCCUCUCUCUCUCUUCCCUGCAUGCAUAAAAGAGGGGGGGGAGGUGAUGCCACAUGGCAUUACACAUACUCACACAUGUGCACUCACACACACACACACACGUACCCUCACACACACACUUAUAUAUAUAUACUAAGUGUAGGGAUACUAGUAUACUACAUCCUCCCCCACUACAAAAAGUUUCGUCCGCGAAACUGAACGUACCUCUACUCAAGCAUCAAACAAGUAGGGAUAGGCUUCCCUCAUCACCGUCUCAGACUCCCAAGUCGCCUCCCGCUCAUCAUGAUUACUCCACUGCACUUUCACAUACGGGAUGACCCGGUUGCGCAAUUCUUUCGUCUCCCGAGCAAGAAUCCGCAACGGUCGCUCCUCGUAUCUCAGAUCCUCGCCAAUCUCAAGUGGAGUGAAGUCAAUCACGUGAGAGGGAUCGAAAACGUAUCUCCUCAAUGCUGAGACGUGGAAAACAUCAUGGAUGCCAGCAAGUCGCGGGGGUAGAGCUAUCCUGUAAGCCACCGGUCCGAUACGCUCCAAUACCUCGAAAGGGCCAACAAACCGUGGACUAAGCUUUCCACGUACUCCAAAUCUGCGUAUCCCUCGGGACGGCGAGACUUUGAGGAAAACAUGAUCUCCAACCUGAAACUCCAAGUCUCGUCUCCUGGUAUCGGCGUAGCUCCUCUGUCGGCUCUGUGCUGUCAAAAGGUGUCGUCGAACGACUCUCACCUUUUCCUCAGCCUCAAGUAGAAUCUCCGGUCCAAGUGUCCUCCGCUCACCCACAUCACUCCAAAACAGGGGGGAUCGACAUCUGCGUCCAUACAACGCCUCAAACGGAGCCAUCUGAAUGCUCGUUUGAUAGCUGUUGUUGUACGCAAACUCAACCAGUCUCACAUGUCGAUACCACCCUCCUCCAAAAUCCAGGACGCAUGCCCUCAGCAUGUCCUCUAGAGUCUGUAUGGUCCGCUCUGACUGACCAUCUGUCUGUGGGUGGAACGCCGUGCUAAAAUGCAGCUGUGUACCCAAGGCUGUCUGCAAACUCCUCCAAAACUGGGAUACAAACCUCGGGUCUCUGUCUGAUACAAUCGACACUGGCACGCCGUGCAGCCUAACAAUCUCAUCCAAGUAUAGCUGCGCAAGUCUCUCCCUGGACCAGGUAGUCUGAACCGGUAGGAAGUGAGCAGACUUGGUCAGUCUGUCCACUAUCACCCAAAUCGCGUCGUAGCCACCCUGCGCUCUAGGCAAUCCAACGACGAAGUCCAUCGUGAUGUGCUCCCACUUCCACUCGGGAACUGGCAGACUCUGAAGCUUGCCAGCAGGCACCUGAUGCUCGGCCUUCACCUGUUGGCAAGUCAAACACUGAGCCACAUAUCUGCCAAUGUCCCGCUUCAUUCCAGGCCACCAGAAUCGUGCCUUAAGAUCCUUAUACAUCUUGGUUCCCCCAGGAUGAACCGUAUAAGGGGAACAAUGAGCCUCUCUCAGAAUAUCCGCUCGAAUCUCCGGAUCCACAGGCACACACAGUCGGUCCCUGUACCGUAGUACUCCCGAACUGUCCAAAGCAAAACCCUCAGCCUGCCCCCUGUCUAGCUGCUCUCUAAUCCUCAACAAGUACGGAUCUCCACUCUGUUUCUCUCGGAUCCUAUCCAACAGAGUGGGCUGUAAAACUAGAGACGUCAGCCUCGCCGUAGACCCAGGGGGUACUAUCUCGAGUCCCAGCCGCUGUAGCUCCUCGAGUAGGGGUCUCUGCUCAGUAAUCCUCAAACUCAGGCUCUGCACUGACUUCCUGCUCAACGCAUCUGCCACCACAUUCGCCCUGCCGGGAUGAUACUGAAUACUAAUGUCAUAGUCCUUCAGUAACUCCAACCACCGGCGCUGCCUCAGAUUCAGCUCCCUCUGUGUGAACAGAUACUUGAGACUUUGAUGAUCGGUGAAAACCUCGCAGUGCUCGCCGUACAAGUAAUGCCGCCAGAGCUUCAAAGCAAAAACCACCGCGGCAAGCUCCAAGUCAUGCGUAGGGUAAUUCUUCUCAUAAUCCUUUAACUGCCGUGAAGCAUAAGCAAUCACCCUACCAUGCUGCAUCAGCACGCAACCAAGUCCACUGUGCGAUGCAUCACUGUAGAUCACAAAUCCUUCGCCCAUAACAGGAAGGGCAAGGAUAGGAGCCGACAUCAACCUCAAUCUCAACUCGUCAAAGCUCCUCUGACAGUCGUCGCUCCAGACAAAACGAAUCCCCUUCCGCGUCAAGCGUGUGAGGGGUGUGGAAAGCUUCGCAAAGCCUUCCACAAACCGACGGUAAUAUCCUGCCAGUCCCAGGAAGCUCCGUACCUCAGUAACCGUCGUCGGUCUAGGCCAAUCUCGAAUCGCCUCAAUCUUCUUCGGGUCCACUGCUACGCCCUCAGCUGAAAUCACGUGGCCCAAGAAAGCAACCUCCCGUAGCCAGAACUCGCACUUCUUUAACUUGGCAUACAACUUCUUCUCGCGCAGAAGCUGUAGCACAAUCCUCAAGUGCUCCUCAUGCUCAGCAUCACUCCGGGAGUAAAUCAGGAUAUCGUCGAUGAAGACUACCACAAACCUAUCCAAGAACGGCUUGAACACUCUGUUCAUCAAAUCCAUGAAUGCGGCAGGGGCAUUCGUCAAUCCAAAAGGCAUCACCGUGAACUCAUAAUGCCCGUACCGAGUCCGAAAAGCCGUCUUGGGAACAUCCUCGGCCCUCACCCUCAGCUGGUGGUAACCUGACUGGAGAUCAAUCUUCGAAAAGACACAAGAUCCUUGCAGCUGAUCGAAUAGAUCAUCAAUGCGCGGCAGAGGAUACUUGUUCUUGAUGGUCACUUUAUUCAGCUCCCGGUAAUCCACACAUAACCUGAGCGAACCAUCCUUCUUCUUUACAAAUAACACCGGCGCUCCCCAAGGCGACACACUGGGUCUCACAAACCCUCUAUCCAUCAGAUCCUGAAGUUGCGCCUUUAGCUCUCUCAGCUCUGCCGGUGCCAUCCUGUAAGGUACCUUUGAGAUUGGUGCAGUUCCAGGAACUACAUCAAUCACAAACUCAAUCUCCCUCUCCGGCGGCAAUGUCGUCAACUCAGGGGGAAACACAUCCGAAAACUCGCGGACUACUGGGAUGUCCUCGAGUCUCGGCGCCGCCGUAGGUACCUCCACAACUGUCGCUAGGAAAGCGAUACACCCACUGCUCAGCAUCUGUCGAGCCCUCGCCGAAGAUAUCCAGGUGGCAAACAGCGUGCUCCUGCAGCCUCUGAAAGUAAACUCCUCCUGGCCUGGCUCGCGGAACGUCACCGUCCUCGCUCCACAGUCGAUCGUAGCAUAGUACCGCGCCAGCCAAUCCAUACCGAGCACUACGUCGAAGUCCUGCAGCUGCCCUAACACCAACAGGUCUGCGGGCAUGAUCCAAGAGUCUAACUGCACCGGACAGGACCAACAACACUCUGUAACCUGCAAGACAUGGUCGGGGAUCUGCACCUCUCGUGCCUGAGACAACGCUCCUAACUCUAGACCAUGCAACAAUGCAAAUGCUCGGCUAACAAAGGAAUGCGAUGCACCGGUAUCAAAAAGAGUGCGAACUCUAAUGCCAGAAAUCAAAGUGAUACCUGCCACCACUCGGUCGGCUGCUGAAGAGUCCUCCACCUGAGCUGCAUAGACCCUGCCACUCGGAGCCUGCUGUCGCCGCUCACUCGACCGCGGCACAGACGAUCUGUCCUCCUGGCGGUAGCUCGGUGCUGCUCCGUAAGACUGCUGUGGUGCUGGUGGUGCCGAAGCUGAUGACGGUGCUGGAGAUGCUGCUCGGGGACAAGCUGCCCUCAUGUGUCCCGGCUGACCACAUCCGUAGCACCUGCCCUCUCUCUGCUCGCACUGCCGAGGCCAGUGUGGUCCCCCGCAGAUCACACACUGUGGCGUCCUCUGAGUCUGCCCCUGCUGACGGGAUCCCCUGGAACGCUGACGCCCCGAAGACCCACGACCCUGAGAACGUGAUCGUGGAGGUCUCGGCGGACGUCUGCUGCUCGACUGCCCUCCGUCAUCUGGAAAGGGGCGCUUCCUGUCCUGACCCUGCCCCACGGCCUGAGUCCUCUCCUGCAGCGACACCUCACCUCUCUCCACCCAUAGGGCCUGCUCUAUGGACGCAUCCAGGGUCCUCGACCUCUGCGCCCGCACUAACCUGAAGAUGUCCGGUCUCAGCCCCUGCUCGAACAUGUAUACUCUGUGCGCCUCGUCUCUGGCCGCAAAUGGUACACAGUUCAGGAGUCGAGUAAACUCCCGAACGUACUCCUGCACUGGGCGAUCUCCCUGCUGAAGCCUCCUCAAAUCCUCCUCGAGCUUCUGCUUCACACUGUUGGGAAAGAACAUCCCAAACAGCAUUCCACAGAACUCGUCCCAACUCAGCUGCGCCGCCACUAGCCCCUGGUCUCGCCUCGUCCUCCGCCACCAGUCAUGAGCAUCACCUGCUAGACAGUGUACUCCCAGGGGUACCUGCUCCCCCUCUGGAACGAACAGAUCCUCGAAUAACUUCUCCAUCGCACUGACCCAUCCCUCAACAAUCCAGGCCUCAGUGCCUCUGCCAUCGAAGAUCGGUGGAUCAAAUCGGCGAAAACGAGCUAACCUCUCCGUCCACCGCUCCUGCUCGGCCUCAGUCAACGGUACUGGCCCCCUAGCAGGCGCAACUGGCGCUACUGGAACUGCUGCCGAUGGAGGAACUGCUGCAGCUGGUGCUGUCACUGGAGUAGUCGGGGGUGGAACUGGCGACUCUGGUGCCCUCGGUACAGAACUCGGUGGCUGAGCUAUCCUCUCACACAACCUCUGCAAUAGCUCCCCCUGCUGUCUCGUCACCUCGGUCAGGGCAGCUAACUGUGCACUCAGAUCAGGGGGUGCGCUAGUCUCUGGUCGCGCACUCGGCUCCACAACAGGGGGUACACUCGCCCCCAGUCUGUCACCCUGCUCCUGCCGAGUACUCUGCUCCAUCUGCUCAGAUCUCUCAGAAGGUCCAGCAUGAUCCCGCGCCAACUGGGCGCGCUCCCGCAACGACGGUCGACCCCGGCGACGAUACAUAGCUGAAAGGAACAAUUCGGGGUCAGAUACAACAAAACACUCUCGACCCAAUCAAACGAAAGUCUAGAAGGCGGUCCCUGUUUCCCUCCAAAAUUAUGUCGUCUGCAGCCAACAUAAUUUCUCAGGCCGAAACAGAAACUCCUUCAGUCACUCACUCUGCUCUAAGAGGAGUUAGAACAAAUAAUCAUUGACUUUCGCAAUAAAAUUACGCCUCUCACGUCUUGCUUCCCUAAGGUUUGCCAAACUUAGGUUUCCUAGGUCCCCACGACCUACAGCAAAGCUCUGAUACCAACUUAAUCUGUCACGCCCCGGAUUACACUUUCCCCGGGCACGCCGACAAAUCCGCCGUAUACAAAGGAAUUUUCCCUGUAUACGAAGCGAUAGCUGUACCUGUAAAUCAAACACUACUACGAACAGUAGUAGAGAGCUGCUAGAGAAAACAGAAGCUAAACAAACUGAGUUUCAUAUACAUAGUCCAAAUCCAAAAUACAAAGCUACUCGCACUGGCGAGUUAAGUCCACUAUGUACAUAAACUCGAAACAAAACAUCUACCUGCAGUAGGGGCACCUCUAGCUCAGCACGUCGGGUAGGGCUCUAACUCGCGACGCCCUUACCUCGAUCCUGAUCCGCGGAAGGCGCAGCAGCCGAAACCUGUGGCUCUGCAAAACGGGGGUAACAACUGGGCGUGAGAACUACUAUAAAAACAAGUAGUCCUCAGUGGGUACCGCCCAAAACAACAUCGGUCCACCCACUAAGUCUACAGGAGGGAGCAAGAAUAGUAGGAAAAGCAGGAAACAAACUCAACCGCUACAAAUCACUAUACUAUCAUGCUCUACACUAACCAACUGUAGGAAAUGUCAAAUCUGACCCAAUCCAAUCGGGACUGUAGACAUACCCGUCCCUGGGACUGUGAACACACCCGUCCCUGCCCCGUUGCGACUAUCGGGCUCUAUCCACACUAACUGGUCCGUGGAGAGCAAGUCCAACUGGCAUGAGCGACACCAACGCAAAAGCACAAGCCUGACUCCGGAGUGGCACUCGUGGGCGCUACCCAACCGAGUAUGCAGCGUAUCUCUGUCGAGCUCAAUCAGGCUCCAACUAGCCAAAGUCAAGUAAUCGACUUAAACUGGUCUAACAACCAACAGGUAACGUGCCCUCGGCACAAUCUGACGCCAAAAAGGCGAUACGGUCCACCGUCAACUCUGACGGCACCCAACAGUCCGAAACGGCCUGAACGACCCUGCAAAAAUUCACUCGGCGAAC
RNAcentral lists this long non-coding RNA (104106 nucleotides) under Ananas comosus (pineapple). RNAcentral's name for it is "long non-coding RNA (ACOM_LNC001226)". The record is from RNAcentral. Lineage: Eukaryota; Viridiplantae; Streptophyta; Magnoliopsida; Poales; Bromeliaceae.